Molecule: long non-coding RNA, 150754 nt
Filed under: Coffea arabica (coffee)
Lineage: Eukaryota; Viridiplantae; Streptophyta; Magnoliopsida; Gentianales; Rubiaceae
Description: long non-coding RNA (CARA_LNC003140)
Source: RNAcentral
CUUCUCUAGCAACGCGAUCCACUCUGGCAUCGUAACCAUUAACUCGAUUAAUCCAGCUGAGACAGGGCACAGAUUUGACUAAAAUUCCUCCGUUCAGUAACUCCAAGAAUUCGCCCAACAGCAGCUUGAAUUUCUUUCCAGUUUCCCCUCCACCGUAUUUCCUCCCAAAAGCCGAUCUGCAUACAAUAUCAUUAGUCAGCGAAACAAACAUUUCGCUCAAAUUCACAGGUGUCGAAUCCAAAGAAGCGUCUUUAAUCUUCUGCAUCAUAAUCGACGUUUCCUCUUCCCUUAUAUUACGAAACGCCUGAACUUUUUUGUUGCUCAGGAGCUGAAGAACACAAAUACUCUUUAACUGUCUCCAAUACUCGCCAUAGGGUGCUACCGAUAUAUCCUUCAUGUUAUAGAGAAGUUUAUUAGCUGUGCUCGAAAAUGGCCUAUAAGAGAAAAUCAAAUCGUGGGUUUUCAUGAUUAGGCUAGCUCCAUCAGCUGAUGAAACUACAACCGUUGGAACACUACCAAAUUUGAGAAACAUGAUUGGACCAUAUUUUUGGGCUAAGGAGUGGAGAGGAUAGUGAGGCAGUGAGCUUAGCUGAUGAAGAUUUCCAAUAAUCGGAAGUCCUGGUGGCGAUGGUGGCUGAUUCUUUCUCGAAUUUGAAACUAAUUUGAAGAGAAACCACAGUAAGAUUAAAGGGAAAAGGGAAAAAAAGAUUGGAUGAAACAUAUAUACAUCAAACUUUAGCUCCGAUACCAAGCCUGAUGAGCUUGCCAUUUGCUUUAAUCUCCCCUGUAUAAAUGCUCAGGCUACAAGACUCUGAUUUCAGACAAAAAUUGGAAAACAAGUACGGACAAGCAAAACCAUGCAUGAGUCUCCUAUUGGGGGCCAUUCUGGCCAAAUGGCCUGUGCUCAGAGGGUGCAAAGCUUGUUCUAUUGGCCAUGCAUGACGACAGAUAUUAUUCAGUUUAUGCAAGGAUGUGAGGUUUGUCAAAGGAACAAAAGUGAACAUGUACCAUAUCCAGGACUGUUACAGCCUCUCUCUAUACCAACUCAAGCUUGGUCUCACAUCACCAUGGAUUUCAUAGAGAAACUACCUUGUUCUAGGGGGUUUGAUACAAUUCUGGUGAUCAUAGACAGACUCACUAAAUUUGGUCAUUUUAUGGCUCUCUCACACCCAUUUUCAGCAACACAGGUAGCUCAGCUCUUCUUGGACCACAUCUAUAGGCUGCAUGGUAUGCCUGAAUCUAUCAUAACAGACAGAGACAGAAUUUUUUACUAGCAAGUUUUGGCAAGAAUUGUUCAGGUUGACUGGAACUGAGCUGCAUUAUAGUUCUUCCUACCACCCUGAAACUGAUGGCCAGAGUGAGAGGCUUAACCAAUGCUUAGAGACUUAUCUGUGAUGCAUGACGUGCGAGCUCCAACUCAGUGGAGUCAGUGGUUAAGCUUAGCAGAACUAUGGCACAACACCUCUUAUCACACUAGCCUAGGAGCUACACCCUUCGAGACUCUCUAUGGCUAUAAACCACUGUCCUUACCUAUAGGACUUUACCAGGACACUGUGGCACCAGCAGCCAGCACUAUGCUACAAACCAGAGGUCAAAUGCUGCAAAGAAUCAAGGAGCAUCUGUACCAAGCACAGAAUAGGAUGAAGGUGUUUGCUGAUAAACACAGGACAGAGAGACAAUUUGAAGUGGGGGAUUGGGUCUUCCUUAAGUUGCAGCCAUACCGUCAACAAUCUAUAGCAAUCAGAAAGUGUUUGAAAUUGGCUGCCAAAUUUUAUGGGCCUUUUCAGAUCAUAGAGAAGGUUGGUGCUGUGGCUUACAAACUCCAGCUGCCUGCAGGAGCCAAGAUUCACCCAGUAUUCCAUGUUUCACUCCUUAAACCAAAACUGGGGCCACAUCAACCUACUAAUCCUACGCUUCCAGAGCUUGACCACCAAGAUCAGUGCCUUUUGCAACCUGCUGCCAUUUUACAAAGAAGGGUCAUCCUACGCAAUACUGCUCCUGUCAUACAAUACCUUAUCAAGUGGCAUCAAUUGGGUGAAGAGGAGGCAUCGUGGGAGGAUCAAUCAUUUUUUAAUAGCCAAUUUCGAACUUCCAGCCUUGAGGACAAGGCUGCUUUCAGAGAGGAAGUAUUGUCAGGCAUAGGGACUUAAUUGCAAUUGGAUCGAAAGUUUGGAGGGCAUUAGUGUAAUUUCUCAUAUGGAGCCAAAUUUGUUAAAAGUUAGUUAUAACUGAUUUUGCUGAAAGAAUAGUUAGCUGCACGGAAAUUCUUGCCAAUAAGAUUCUGUCUGAUCAUUGAAGGUGUAUAAAUCCAGGCAAUAUAAUAGAUUUGGGGACAAGAAGAUUAAUCACAUUUAUUUCCCCCAAAUUCUCUGUCUCUCUCUUCCUUCUCCCUCUCUUUCCCUCCCAUUUCUCUUCUUCUACAUUCAAACCUUUCCACGCCUGCUGGUCUCAAUCCUUCUACUAUCACAUUGCCAAGGGCCUGACACAGUAGCCUUUUAGAAAGGUUUCUAACUUACAUGACAUGCCAUAGCCCAACAAUUAAAAAAAAAAAUCCAAGCACGUUGUUGGGCUUACAAUCCGACAGCUUUUCAGGAAAAUUCCCAAUUGGCUACUGGACUAGUCAACCCGGCAAUCCAAUAGUUGAAACAAAAAAAAAAGCCUUGCUUGUGCCGAGCUUAAUUAGCGUGACAGGCAUAGUUCUAUACCAUUUUCCUGUCAGAUCAACAUUCCUGCAUUUUUUUUUCAGCAAUAAAUAAAGGAAUUAGCCCUCAAAAAGUGACUACACUUCUAUGCCUUCAGACCCAGAAUAUUUUCUGCUCUGGAAUAGCCCGCAUGUUUUCUGAGUUUCCUUGACGUUGAUCUCAUAUCCUAUUCUACAUUUCUGAAGUCUAAGCACAUCAUCCCUGUUCUGUUUGAUAAUGCCUCCAUGGGUCCAAGAAUAUAAAGACCAUUUGCAUGAUUUUAAGAGAAAAAUGCAGUUUUGGUACCUAUACUUUGAUGCACAAGCGAUUUUAGUCCCUAAAUUUUGGACGAAAAUAAAUUUAGUACCCGAACUUUCAAAUUUUGAGCACAUUAAGUACCCUUGACGAUUUUUUCCCAAAUUGUUACCGGAAAAAGCCAUGUGACCGUCACGUGUUCGGCCACAAUUGUAUAAAAAAAAUAGAAAAAUGCAAUUUUGGUACUCAAACUUUGACGCACGAGCGGUUUUAGUCCCUAAAUUUUGGACAAAAACAAAUUUGGUACCUGAAUUUUCAAAUUUUGAGCACAUUAAGUACCCUUGACAAUUUUUUCCCAAAUUGUUACCGAAAAAAGCCAUGUGACAGUCACGUGUCCAGCCAUAAUUGUAUUAAAAAAAAGGCCAAAAAAAGGUCAAAUGCCAUUCUAAUACUAAGUAUUAAAUUUAAGGACUAAUAGCGUAAUAAAGAAAAAAUUCAAGGACUAAAUAACAUCACAUGAGUCAAUUAAAAAAAAAGAAGAAGAAAACGAUGUAAAAUUCUACCAAACUUAUUUCUAUCUUUGUUCCAUCUCUCUCUCUCUCUCUCCCCAAAGAAAACCUAAGAACCGAACUUCAACAAAAAUUCAAGUUGAGCAUGACGUGAUCCAGCAUAUGUCAAAGACAACAUGAAGACUGAUCUUGAUAAUUGUGUUCUUAUAGUUGCUCUUGUUCACCUCAUUUUCAUCUCCAAUCUUGAUACUGAGGUACACUUAAAAUUGCUUCCAGCUCUUUCCCAACUGUUUUUCCAUUGUGUCAGUAUCCCCUUCUUGUUAAAAUUGCUUCCAACUGCUUUGUCCAAGGACUAGUUCAAGUUUCUUGUAUCAAGUUAGGUAGCAGAAUACAUGACCUUUGUGAAAUACAGGAUUACACAUCAUUAUUUACACCUUUGUGGCUUGAUUCUUAGAUUAAUGUACUGGAAUUGGAGCUCAUUUGUAUCGGUUCUUGGGUUUUGUUGACUCAUGUGAUGUUAUUUAGUCCUUGGAUUUUAUUUAUUAUGCUAUUAGUCCUUAAAUUUAAUACUUAGUAUUAGAAUGACAUUUGACAUUUUUUUGGCCUUUUUUUAUACAAUUGUGGCUGGACAUGUAACUGUCACAUGGCUUUUUCCGGUAACAAUUUAGGAAAAAAUCGUCAAGGGUAUUUAAUGUGUUCAAAAUUUGAAAGUUCGGGUACCAAAUUUGUUUUCGUCCAAAAUUUGAGGACUAAAACCGCUCGUGCGUCAAAGUUUGGGCACAAAAACUGCAUUUUCUCUGAUUUUAAUUCCACGUGAACAGUUUCGGAUGUCAAUUUUUUAUUGAAUUAGAUGAAAUAUCAAUCAAACAGGUGAUUCCAACUUGCCUCUGACAAAGAUCAUUGAGACACUAAGCUCCUGAGUCAAGGACAAUAAAAUCGUUUCAACCAGUCGCUGAAGUAACUCUCGAUAAUUUUGGAUAUUGACAUUACGAUAAAAAAAAAUGAAAGUCCAAUCAAAUUAUACUUACUGAUUAAUGUCCACUAACAUUAGUUUCUGUUGGCCUGAUAAGUAUACGAGAGAAUGGAUGUUGACCUCGUACCCUUGUCAUCGAUUUGGCCAAUCAAAUCAAUGUACCUUUCAUUUUCGUAGCCUUAAUUUUUCUUUUUAGAAAACUCAGAAUUGCAGUGUGCUCUACUUGAAAGUGCAGGAGCAAAGUGCAUUUCCAUCCCACCAUUUCUUACUUGAAACAUCAGGUUUUGUACUCAUUUUCCUCUUUAGUAACUCUUUAAAUUUCUGGGCUUCCCUGUUCUAGUCUUGUUUUAUUGUCAUUGAUCAUAUUUGGCCAUUAAAAUUUAUGGGAUUGUCUCUUCUUUUCCCCCCUUCUGAUGGUAUAUUUUGUCACUGACCACAUUUCAUGUGAUUUUUGUGUAGUUUCGUGAAAAAAGAUUUAGGAUUCUUCAUUAUAUCAUGAAAUAAGGGAAUGAAAGUAAUCUAAGAAGUGAAGAAAGGCUUACCUUUUUUCUCAAACGUUUUUACAACACCACUUUGCAUAAAUUAGAAGUUACAGAAAAAGUAUUUGAUAGAGAUAAUAAAACAAAAGAAUAAGAAAUUUAUACAAAUGUAUCCUUUGGAUGGUGAAUAAAACCGAAGACAAAAGUUUUUUGCUGUAUCAAUUAGAAAAAUUUGUUAAGUGUCACAAAAUAUGACAAACUCUUACUGAUGUUAUGGUGCAGAGAAUACCUUUUGAGAGACAUACUAAAGCACACCAUCAUAGCUGUAUUCCAAAUGAAUACUGAUCUCCUCUCCAUUCCAGGAAAUUGCAAGGAAAAACUUCAAUGGAUCUCCUUGAAUGGCAGAGGGAAAGCUUUCUAUGCAUCAUAUUUGCAACAAUAUCAAUGGUUCUGGUGCUAAAGUUGCUGUUGAAGAAGAAGGAAAGCAGAAAUGGCAAACUCCCACCAUGUCCCCAAAACUUCCCAUCAUUGGUAACCUGCAUCUGCUUGGUAAUAUGCCUCAUGAAUCUCUUCACAUCCUUGCCAAGAAGUAUGGUCCUAUCAUGUUCUUGCAGCUUGGGCAGGUGCCAACAAUAGUGAUUUCAUCAGCUAUAUUAGCGAAGGAAGCACUGACAACCUUUGAUCUAGCCCUGUCAAAUAGGCCUCGAAUAUUUUCAGCCAAACACCUUUUCUACAACUGCACUGAUAUGGCUUUCUCUCCAUACGGUGCCUACUGGCGAAAUAUACGCAAAAUAUGUAUCCUUGAGGUACUAAGUGCAAAAAGAGUUCAGUCAUUUGGCUUCGCAAGGCAAGAAGAAGUUGCUAAUCUAGUUCAUCGUGUAGCAGAAUCGUACCCCAGUCCCACCAAUUUAAGCCAUAUGCUUGGAUUAUAUGCAAAUAAUCUCCUCUGUCGCAUUGCAUUUGGUAAAGAUUUCUCACACGGAGGAGACCAUGUUCGGCAUAAUUUUCAAAAGCUGCUUGAAGAGUAUCAAAUGUUGCUGGGAGGAUUCAGCAUUGGAGACUUCUUCCCAUCCAUGGAAUUUCUACACAAAUUUACCGGGAUGGAAUCAAGACUAAAAGACACUUUCAGACGCUUUGACCAGUUUUUUGAUGAGAUUUUGGAGGAACAUCGAAAUCCGGAGAACAGGAAAGACCACAAGGACCUGGUGGAUGUGUUACUUGAAAUACAAAAACAUGGGGAUCCUGAAACUCCUCUCACCACUGACAAUAUCAAAGCAAUAAUUUUGGUUAGUUAGAGCAAAGUUCUUGUUUCAUUCUUGACUCCAGCUUAAUCCUACUAGAAGAAUCAAAUGCUCUGCUCAAAACUAUUAUUUUCUAAUGCUGUCUUACUUAGCUCCAGUUUCUAAUUGCUUCGAUAUUGUUGAUGCAGGACAUGUUUGCAGCAGGUACAGAUACAAACUUCAUCACCUUGGAUUGGACAAUGACAGAGCUCAUAAUGAACCCCCAGGUGCUACGAAAAGCACAGGCCGAGGUCAGAAGUAUUGUUGGAGAAAGAAGAUCAGUUUCAGAGACUGACCUGUCUCACUUGCACUACAUGAGAGCUGUUGUGAAGGAAACUUUUAGGCUACAUCCCCAGCUCCAGUAUUACUCCCUAGAGAAUCCAUGGAGGAAGUGACAAUUGAUGGCUAUCCCAUUCCUUCCAAAACAAGGUUCUUCAUCAAUGCUUGGGCAAUGGGAAGAGACCCUGAAACAUGGGAAAAUCCAGACAUAUUUGAACCAGAGAGGUUCAUGAAUAGUCCUAUUGAUUUCAAGGGCCAAGAUUUUGAGCUCAUACCAUUUGGUGCCGGUAGACGAAUGUGUCCUGCUGUUACAUUUAGUACAGCAACAUUUGAGCUUGCUUUAGCUCAACUUCUGCAUAGCUUUGAUUGGGAGCUUCCUCCAGGAGUUAAAGCAAAAGAUUUGGACCUGACUGAAGCUUUUGGCAUCACCAUGCACAAAAUAUCUCCUCUCAUGGUGCUUGCAAAACCAAACUUUUCUGAAGGUCUCAAUGGAAAAUAGAGACCAAUCUGAGAGGUGUGAUUCCAUGAAAUCGCUUCUAAGGAAAAAUGCUAUGUCCCUGAACAACUGGUAUUUCUUUCGGUCAAAUUAUAUAGUCUUAAGUACCUUGAAUAACCGAAGGCGGGGCAUAUUCACAGUUAUGUCCAGUCUUUGUACCUGUUACAGGAAUCAAUGUGCAAUAGUACUAACUCUGUGUAUUCAGAUUUUGUAAUUAAUGCACCAACGACAAGCACCAGAAUGAAAGCUUAAUUGUGUCAGCUCCAAGUCCCCGAUAGGUAAAGAUAGAAUGACCAAAAACUAAAGCAAGUUAAACUAAAUUGUGCUUCAAUUAAAGAUUGCUUCAGAGCCGUCUGAAAAUUGAUAUGGUAGCAGCAAUAUAUAUUCACGAAAUACAUCUGCCUGUUCUGUGAAAAUUCACAACUAGCAAACUUCUCAAGUAUAAACUGGCCAACUUCUCACAGGUCCAGGCGGUUCUCGCAGCAAGAAUUCACCGAGACAACAUUAUUCCGCAAACACCUACAUUUCUUUGAAUACAUCCCACUAAUUGUUUGGAUCUUGAAAUUAAAUGUAGAAGAAAAUUGGAAGUCUUUGAUGAUCUCGCAGGCUUUUUUUUUUUUUAAUUAACCUCACAGAAAGGACAGUAACAUGGGCUUUAUAUUCAACUGUAAUUUUCCUCCUCUGGCUUCCUCAGGGAGGCAUUUUCUUUGAUAUCAUAUUGUUUGAAGGUCAAAAAAGUGGGGGAGUUAGUCAAGCAUAGAACUUGAAUCAAGACAAAUUGAAUAUCCAUCGUCAAUUGUAUCAUCAUAAUAUUUUUAGGUUCACCGGUAGUGUAGAAUCAGGACAAAAUGAUAAAAUCAGAAUUCAGUAUCUUCUUUAUUGGAUCCUAACGAGUGUCAUACAUUAGCGUGACGCGGAGUUUAAUCGAUCUACUCUCCUUGUAAUGUUCGAAACUCUAGUAUUUGGUUGGUGCAACUUGCAAGACUAUGCCGUCGGUAGAAACUAGAAAGUUGGAUCAUCCAAUUGAGCUACCAAUUUUCUAAUUAAUGGUCUCUCAAUAAAUUAAGCUAUAGUACAGUAAAAACCGUGUUUCUAUUUUUUUUUUUUGAUAAAAAUCAAAUUUCAUUAACAAAUUACAAGAACCGUGUUUGUACAUCGCUGCUUUAAUAGCCUGUUAAACAUGCACUAGAAAUUACAGAUUUGUAAUUUAAUCAAUAUAAUAGAUUUGAAAAAUUAUGAACAACUCUGAAAAAUACAAGAAAUUUUAAAGUUGUCUUCUAAUAGAUAAAUCACUGCAAUCCUCUCCUAUACAUGAUGCAAUCUAUUAAUCAACGGUUUUAAACUCCAAUGAUGAUGAUGACAUCUAUCAAAAUAGAUCAAAGAUCCAAAAAAAUUUUAGAUCUAACAACCAAAUCUGAAAUAAAUUUAGAUCUAAUCAACAAAAAAAAGAAAAAAAAAACAAAAAUCUCCACAAGAAUCUCUGGGGAAAUAGAAAAUUCUGUUAAUAGAAAAUGAAAACUCUUACUAAGAAAACUUAGGAGAGACUUUAUUAAAAAAUUAAAUAAAACAAACUGAAAUUCAUGGGACGUGGUCUCCCUCCUUAAGGGGAAGGCCUUUGAAAAGGGAAGAAGAAGAGAGAAGAGAGAAGUUGAAAACCAUGUUUCUAUUUGUUGUUGGUUUUAUAUCCAAAUCCUAUGUUUUGUCAUUGCACUACACUUGACAAUAAAAACAACUCCCAAAUUGGACUCAGCAAAACCUGGUUCUGCAUAAAUUCAAUGGUUAACUAAGCGUGUUUGCUGAAAUGGUAUGCUGAAAUGGUAUCCUUUCUUCUUCCUUUUCUUUCUACAUUCAACUCCCUACCCUCUGCAGCAUCAGACCUGAUCUAUGGCAAUUUUGCUAAUUGCCUAAUAAAGAUAGGGAUCCCCAAUGACCAAAUAUCAAGAAUUCUUUACAGCCCCAUGAAUGUUUCCUAUAAUUCAGAUCUACAAGCCCAUACAAGAAAUGGCCUUACACAAGGGCGACAUGUACCCCAAAACCACUUCUAGCCCCCUAUAAGGGCUACAAGCCCAUGUUUUUUAUCAUUACGGUGAAAGAAUGAGUGAAAUUCCAGAAAGUGAAGCGCCUUUCCCUCAUCGAUCUGGGAUCCUGUUCAUGAUUGAAUAUUCAGUGAACUGGCAUGAAGAAGAUCCUGCAUUUGCCAAGAAGUACAUAGAGCAGACAAGGGAACUACACAGUUUAUUGACACCUUUUGUUCCAAAAAGUCCUAGGCAGGCUUUUCUGAAUUAUAGGUACCUUGAUAUUGAUACUACAGGACAGACAAUGAGUUACAAUGAAGGAAGAGUUUAUGGGAUCAAAUAUUUCAAGGAUAACUUUUACAGAUUGGUGAAAGUCAAGUCCAUGGUAGAUCCUGAAAAUUUCUUCAGGAAUGAGCUGAGUAUCGGACUCUGCCUCUCAGGCCACUCUAAUGGGGGUACAAUAAUGCUACUAUUAUUGAAAAUUUCCAAAGAUAGUAUAGAUUUUGAUUUUCCAAAAGGAUUUCAUUGUGUUUCCACACAACAAUCUAACAACAGGAAAAACACAAAACAUGAUAAUUAAAGUCUCUAGAAUUGAAGUUGAUUGUAAUUAGUGUUGGGCUGGCCCAAACAAUUCUAUGUAUAAAUCCUUAUACUAUAUAAGAAUGAGUUUAAAACUUUAAUUUCAACAGCAAGAGUGGCCUUUUUUUUGGAAAUGUGAGAGUGUUUGGAGUGCAAUUAGAGUAUUGAAUAUGAGUCAUUAUAACUAAUUUAGUUUUGUUGUAAUUACUUGGAUGACCUUUUAAACAUUUAAAGCUAGGGAUAAGUUUGAUAUGUGACAGUGUUUGAUAUCCGAUUAAACAUCGGGUACAACUGAAUUCAGCUUGUGUUUUAGUGAAAUUACAUAAAUGCCCUUCUAAUCAUUUAAUUGUAUUAACAUCUAAGUCUUUUAAUUUCUUAAAGCCUUUCUCAUCAGUUAUUUGCAAAGUUAUGAUAUAUAGAUGUUAAAACACAAUUAAUGUCAAUUAGUAGAGAAGUCUGGUUUCUCGACCGUUACCCCCAUCUAUUCAAAUUCAUUUCAUUUACUUAUAGGUUUUGUUCCAGCACAAUCAUACAGUAUAUUGAAUUCGGAUAUUUCUACAUUAGCUACUCCUCUUCUCCAUUUUGCAACACCUUUUUCAAUAGGUAUGUUUUUUUUUUAACCAAUCUACUUUUUGGUUGUAAAAAAUCUGUAAUAUUGCAAGUUGUAUGUGCAAUAACUUUUUAGUGUUUUAAUUCAAUUGUCCAUGUUAGACAAGCUUGAUACGUAAGAGACCACAUUUGUUAAUUGUUAUUUAUGGUUUAAAAUAAGUUUAUCAUCAUAAAUUUUCCCAUUUAUAGAUUGCAUCUACUUCUUUUGUUGUUUUAACUAUUAGUUAGGGUAAUUUCAAAUCGUUUGCUACUUUAUUGACUAUUCCAUUUAGACAAUUUUUCACUUCAUCUGAUUUGCCAAUAUGUUUAACUAUCUACUUAAAACUAUUUGGCUAAUAAUCUAAAGUAUGUACCUCAUUACUUUUAAUUGUUUUUCUUGAAUUGAGUGGAUUAGGAUGCUUUAGUACUUUUUUGAGGUAAUUAUUCCUCUAAAUUAGCAUGUUAGUUGUUGUAUAUCUUUGCAACUAAUACAAAACUGAUAUUUCAUGAUUGUAACCCCUAUCGAGAAGGAGAUGCUUUGCUAUAUGUCCUAAAUCAUAUAAUAAAUUAUAAUUAAUUGCUUGCUCAAUGUGAAGGCCUCGUGAUGAUAUAUGUCCUUGGAAUCAAUAUAAAUUCAAGAAUUUGGCUUGCAAGAACCGAAAUUCCACUAGCAAUGAUUUCCUCAAGUAUGCUAAUUGUUCAAAUCUCACUUAUAUGACAAGAUAAUUUGGUGGAUUGCCCUCAUAUCAAGAUUAAAUUCAAACUAAAUAACAAAUUUUAAUAUCCCUAAAAUGCAUGAGCAGAUAUAAAUAGGUCUUUUAUUAUACUAGGUUAGAUGCAAAGUAGUUGAUCGUAUCUUAUAAUUAUGUUUUAUUGCAUAUUAUAUUUUUUGACACAAUAUGUAACUUAUGAUUUUUUUAAAUUUAAUAUCAUAUAAUAAAAUUUUCAUACUUCAAUUCUUAUACUAGAAAAUGCCAAAUAAUAAUUAUUAACCAUCUUUAAUUAUAGGCACUAAACUCCCACGCGUUGCGUGGGCUUUUCCCCCUAGUAUAUAUUAUAUAAAGAUAAAUAAUAUUUGCACUCUAAUAAAAUUCUCAAACACUCUAAACUUGUAAUUUUUUUGUUAAAAAUGAUAUAAAGAUCCAAAACCUAUAUUCUCUAACAAUGUGAAUAAAAAAACUACCCCAAGGCAUAGUAAAUGAUCGGUUUGCAUUAUUUUCAUAGAGACCACUACAGUUUGGAUUACAAAAUCUCGGUUAAAGUUGUAAAAGUCCACUAAAGAAUAAUGAACGAGUCCAAAAAUAAUGCUCAACUCCAAAUCAAAAUGACUAGUACUUAAGAAUUACCAAAUAAGUUAUACACAUAAAGAAUUUAUAGAAUAAUAAUUUUAAAAAAAUUUCCUCCAUUAUUAAUAUUACAACAAUUUAGGACUGAUAUAAGAAUAGUGAAAAUAAGACAAAUUGAAAAGAUGAAACAGGAAGAGUUACCGAUAAAUGCAUAGAUGGCCAAUUCGUCUCUUAGAAUAUUUUAUAUGUUUUUGUAUCAUUUCAUUAACCAAAAAAAAAAAAAAAAGAAGAGGAUGGAGUACUUAGAGCAUUUUUGGGAUUGCCAAUAUCAGUUGUCUAUAUUAAUAACACUCUAUAGAGUUUAUAAGUAUACAAUUAUAAUGUAAAAACCUAAUAUGUAUAAUUAUAUGAGAGUAUAUAGUUAUUAUUACAUAUUGUAUAUAUUUACAGCAUAUUUUAAUUAUGAACUUGUGCUCAGCCCCAAGUAUGCUCGGAAUUCCAUUAUUUUUGUGAGUCGAGUAUGAUCUUCACAGUAAGAGGUCAAAGCUCAAAACCCAGAAAUUCUAUUACUUUUGUGAUUCGAACCUCGAAAUGCCAAAGCCUACCUUGAAUAACUCGGUUGAUAGCCCUGGGUCUUUCUUUAACAUGAAACAGUGACUAUGAAGUCACGUAGUUGAUUACUCAAAAUUCUCCGUCACUUUCAUCCUUAACUUUUUAGUUGUUUUUUUUCCCCAAAUUAACAGCAUCAUCUAACCAUUCAUACAACAAAAAUUUAUUCUCUCUUGUGAUUCUCAACUAAAUAGGGAAAACGAGGGAAUCCAUUAAAUGAGGAGGCACUUGCAGUCAGAUUAGCUCUCCUAAUGGCCAAGGAAGCUGACUGCAGGAGAGUGGAAAUACAAUCUAACUGUAAAGCACUCAUUCAUAAGAUCCAUGCUCAGGAGACUCAGGUCAGUGAAACUGCAAAAUUCGGAUUCUUGAAUUGAGAGAGCUGUUUGAACAAUGUAUAUAUCCAAAGGAAAGAAAUGCUUGUAAUCAUAGGUAGCUCAAUUUGCACUUUAGUUAGUUAAUGAUGUCAAAUGGGAUUCUAGUAUUCCACUGUCACUUAUUUAUUUCUUUAAUCAAGAGCAUCGACCAAUUGCUAUUUCUUAAUGUCCAAAGUGAUAGAGAAAGAUUUUUUACAACUAUUGCCUCUCGGAUCUUCUAGUGUCACUGCUCGGGCCAUUGCCGGCCUGAGAUGGCUUCUUCAAAGCAUGCUUACAUGGUGGCCUGAAGGCGACUUAAAGUCACUACAGGAGGAGAAGGCGACUUUAAAAUAGUCAUUUGAGAUGGCGAUUUUGAUUUGUUUUUCUAUUUUCUUUUUCUACUUUUUCACCCAAAGUGAGUCAUCUAGCUAAAAUAACAAAGCGAGUCACCUUUAUAAAUGGCGAAAUCUCUACUGUUGGAAAACUUCAAAAUUUACUAUUAUUUUCAUAAUUUAAAAAAAAGGAUUAUUUAGGUAAUUCACUCCAUCAAUCCUAUUCUUGUAUUCGAAUCAUUCUACAACAAUUCAAUGAGGUAGCCCUCCUCAAGCUUGAUUUUGCCAUGCCUCCCUUGUUAGAAGCCACCGAGUUUAUCAAUCGUUUCUUCUCGUCCAUAUUUGCGGGAUUCCUGUUGCUUAAUCUUCGAAAAUUUAUCGUUUGGACAGUGAAAGAUUUUGGCUGCUGGUGGAAGAUAAACUAAUCUCUGCUUGAGCUGGCAAAUGCCAAUUAAGAUUGGUCUUUCAAUAAAUUAAGCCAUAUUUACGAUAUGUUUUUUGUUUUCUUGCUGGUUUGCGAGGAAUCUUGGGUUUAGAAGGCCAGUGCACAAACAGAUAAACAUGUUUUUCCUUUCUUGUUGGUUUGUAUAUAAAUUUAUGAACUUUGUUGGAAACUAAUAUUUGUUCACGUGAAAGUGGACGGCUAAAAUGCUAAAUCUUUUGUGUACAAUUGAAAAAAUACAUAGUUUUGGGUGUAUAAUUAUCGUAAAAAUUUAAUUACUACCUCAAAGAAAAAAAAAUACGUAGUUUUUGAUGUAUAGAUAUUGUCACCUUAUAGUAUAUUUAUGUAUAAACUCUUUUUAAAAAAAUUGGGAUUGUAGUUCAAUAGUUGGAAUAAAAUAAUUUCUUGAUAUAGAUAUGUGAAAAUGCUAUUUAUAAUUCUUUAUUUAAAUUAUUUAUCUAUUAAUCAAGUUGAAUAAUAUGCCAAAUGUGGAACAUGUCUACUGUUGGUUCUGAAUUAAUGAGCAAUUCACUCAUAGCCUAGGGGUGCAUAUUGCUAGUAACUUAAAUUCACCAAGUAUAAAUUGGUAUGGUACAUGGAAAUUGUGAUCAACACCAAGUCCGCAUCUUAGAUUGCCUGCAAUGUUACCCUCUCUUCUUCUUCUUCUUCUUCUUUUUCUUUCUGCAUUCAAUUCCCUAACAUCUGCAGCCUCAGACCUCGUCUUUGACAACUUUGCCCAUUGCCUUGCAGGAAAAGGGAUCCCAGAUGACCAAAUCUCAAGCAUUCUUUAUAGCCCCAUUAACGCUUCCUACACUUCAGUUUUACAAGCUUAUAUAAGAAACAGGAGAUUCAACACUUCCACAACCCCAAAACCGCUUCUCAUAGUCACAGCUUUAGAAGAAUACCACGUCCAAGCAGCUGUUCUAUGUACAAAAAGAACUGGGCUGGAACUGAAAAUCAGAAGUGGCGGUCAUGAUUUUGAAGGAAUCUCAUACGUUUCCAGUGUUCCAUUCGUCAUUCUUGACAUGUUCCACCUUAGUAGUAUUCAUGUUGAUAUUGAAAAUGAAAUUUCUUGGGUACAAGUUGGCGCGACACUUGGGGAACUCUACUACAGGAUUUGGGAAAAGAGUAAAGCACAUGCAUUCCCUGCCGGUGUAUGCCGAUCAGUAGGCGUAGGCGGCCACAUAAGUGGGGGAGGUUAUGGCCCUAUGCUACGCAAAUACGGCCUAACUGUAGACAAUGUUGUUGAUGCACGAAUCGUCGAUGUUAAAGGCAGGAUUUUGGAUAGGGAAGCAAUGGGGGAAGAUCUUUUCUGGGCUAUUAGGGGUGGUGGUGGUGCGAGUUUUUGCGUUGUUUUGGCGUACAAAAUCAAGUUAGUCAGGGUACCAGAAAUUGUAACAUUUUUCAGGAUUGUUAGGACCAUGGAAGAAAAUGUAACAGAUCUUGUUUAUAGCUGGCAACAGGUAGCCAACACGAUUGACAAUGAUCUCUUCAUCAGAGUUCUGGUCCAACCAGUUACUGAACAAAUCAAUGGGCAGAGUCAGACUACAAUUGGAGCAACAUUUAUAGCAUUAUUCCUUGGAGAUGCCGAUGGACUCUUAUCUGUUAUGAAUGGAAGGUUUUCUGAAUUGGGAUUGAAGAAACAGGACUGUUUGGAAAUGAGUUGGGGUGAAUCACUCCUCCGGUGGGAAGGUUACGCGAGUGGUACACCCAUGGAAGCUAUCCUUGACAAGACUUAUGCCAACUUCGCGAAGAGGAAAUCAGAUUAUGUGCAGAAUCCAAUUCCAAGGCAUGGGCUGGCCUCCAUAUUCAAGAAAGUGAUUGAGCUAAAUAAAACAGUACUGGAAUUCAAUCCUUAUGGCGGAAGAAUGAGUGAAAUUCCAGAAAGCCAAACGCCUUUCCCUCAUCGUUCUGAGAUCAUUUUCAAGAUCGAGUAUUUAGUGAUUUGGCAGGAAGAAGGUCCUAGAUUUGCCAAGAAAUACAUAGAGCAGACACGGGUGCUAUACAGUUUGAUGACUCCUUUCGUUUCAAAAAAUCCUAGGCAGGCUUUUCUGAAUUACAGGGACCUUGAUAUUGGAACCACAGACAACGGGAAGAACAGUUACAACGAAGGAAGAGUUUAUGGGCUCAAAUAUUUCAAAAAUAAUUUUUACAGAUUGGUGAAAGUCAAGACCAUGAUAGAUCCUGAAAAUUUCUUCAGGAACGAGCAGAGUAUACCAACUCGGCCCUCCGGCCAUUUUAGUUGGGGUAAAACUUUCAAGCUUAUUAACACUUUUACUCUUUUACGAUCCAGAAUUGGGUGCAAAAGUUAUUAUUUAAAGUUUUUGACUCGGCCUGGCUGCAUUUUUAAUUGAAGUACAGUUCUCAACAUUCAGGCCCAGUAUAUUUCUGGUCAGGAAUAGCCUGUGUUCUUUGUCUUUGCCUUGCCAGUUUCUUGCACUGAUAUCAUAUCCAGAUCUACGUUCCUGAUUGCUAUUUGCAACAUCUGUUCUACAAAUAGCAUUAUUGUUUUGAAUAGCUCGGGUCAAAAUAUAUUUUGUGUUACAAAUAGUAUAGUUUCAAAUGGCGUGUUCUAGUCAUUAUGUCUGUUAUACAAGGUUAAAUGUAUAAUAGUACUGAAUUGUUUGUUGCACUCGAGUUUUGGUUGUUGUAUAGACUUGUUUAAGGAGAACCAGGAGGAGAACACGCGCGAUGCGCGGUGAAAAUUUUCAUGUUUGCCCAGUUAUUCAUGGUACAUAAUUAAAUUUCAAGUUUGUCCAAUUAUUUAGGGUUUUCCAGUUAUACAAAGUACAUAAUUGUUGCAAAUUAUAUUAAGCUGAAUCAUAAAUAUUGUAUUCAUCCAUUCAAAAUUAGAUAAAGCUGUAUCGUAUUUAUCCAUUCAAAAGUUUCUAAAACAAUUAGCAAGAGUAAUUUUUGAUGAUACUGUAACUGUGAAGUGCAUCCAUGUUAGCAAACUUAAGAAAAUGGACUCUCAUCUAGAAAGAAAAUGAAAAGUAUAAUUGUAAGUUACAGACUUACUGGAUUUCUUUCUCCACCAAAUUUUACCAUUAGAAAGCAGUAUCAGUACAAUAUUCUUAAUGUUCCAAAAGGUAUAAAUUAUAAAAAUACAAAAAGCCUAUGAAAUGCCCUUUUUCUCUCAACUACUAACACCCAUGAAGACUUCUUUUUUUAAUGUAAAUAGUAAGAGAUGCAAGACUCAAACACAAUCUGGAGUGGAGAGCUGCAUAUGCUUCCAGUCUGUGAUAAGAUAAACAAGUCAUUAUCUCAAGUUUAGAAGCUUAUUGAUAUAGCAAAUGAGAUACGAUAAAGCAAAUGAAAUAGAUAUAUAAUGGAAAUAUUUUGGGUGCAUGAUAACAACAAAGAAAGGUAUCAAUACCUUUCAAAAUGGCAUUUGAGGCCAAAAUAUUCAUCCACCGACCCAACAAAUUUUAUCACUUUAAUCUUGUUUUCCUACAACAGUUGAAACUUAUUCAAAACUGUUUUUGAAUCUUGGAAUUAAAUCACCAAAUUGCAUUAGCUGUGACAGCUCCACCUCCCCCUAAGGCGAACCAAAGAGUUCGGCGGACCGCUUGCCCAACUCUCGCCAGGACUACGGAGUCGAAACUCACAAAUCCUAUAGUACGCGCGAUGGGACCCAAAGAAAAAUGAACAAUCGGAGACAACUAAGGUGAGAACAUGCUUACCAAACCAUAAGAUCUUAAUAUCUCAAAUGAAUACACUUAAUAGACAAGAUUAAACACUUAUACAUAUAUUUACAUCGGAGUCUUUAACAAAUUAACUAAACUACGAUACAAACCAAAGUAUUCAUACAAUUAAAAAUAUAAUUCGGGUUUCGGUUAUAAAAGAGCUUAACAAAAUAAUAUUUACACUAGCUCGACCCUUUCUUCCAAAAUCAAGGAUUCAAAGUUUGCCCCCUGAAAGGAAAACAAAGUUAACGGAAAGGGGGUGAGUUUACGCUCAAUGAGGUACCAAAAUAAUAGCAGUCAAGAAUCAUGGAGUUUCAUGUUCACUUAGUCACAUAUGCAUAUCACAUAGAGAAAUGAACAAACACCUUAGAUAGGAAUGAUACAGGUAGCUCUCAGGAGCCAAAAUUCCCAUUGCCAUACUUGAACCAAAUUCGUUGACUCUCCGUCAACGUAUAAAGAACAACCAUGUCCGUAGACCCCACUUUACACCAAAUUCCGUCUACCGAACAUACCCUUACCGGACCCGAACACCACAUACAGAACAGAGAUGGUAAUACUCGAGUAUACCGGAAUCAAGAGUCUCAAUACUCAAAGAUUCCCAGAAACAGACUACCGUGGCUCGUUAUCUAAUCAAUCAGGCCCUUGCCGGCUCGACUCGAGAGACUAACCACAGGUUUUGAGCUCAGAAAUCACUGAAGGGUCGUUGGAUACAAGCCUCCAAACAAUGUCAGAAUAGACUUAGAUACAGAUAACAGAGUCAAGUAUACACAGUAAAUAGGCAUACAGAUAACCAAGAGAACGAGUGUGAUAAAGUACACUCUCGUCUCAAACAGAAUAAACAGAUAGUACAGUCAUUCAAAUUACAGAUUUCAUGUACAGAAACCAAGUUAAACAACAAAUGAGGGGAGUGUUACACUCACCAGUUCCAGUACAGAUACUUCAAAAGUUUUUACCCAAAGUGGCUUUAAUCGCCAAGAAACCCUAAAAUAAUCAAGAUAAAACAAUUAUAGUUCGCACAUCUACAAACCCAGUAAAUGGAAUGCAUAAAUGAGACUCGACUACAUGUCGUACGCCUUUCCAGGUUAAGUACUAGUACAAAAGAAUAAAAUAUGACUUUUGAGCAAAAAGAUAACAAUUGGUCUUAGAGUUACAAAUAACUCCCAAAAUCCCUUCAUUUUUACCAAGAUCAAUUCAACUUGAAGGAAUCGCGUAGCCCUAAAAUUUUGGGCAGCAUGCCCUCUGUAUUUACCUAUUUUCCAAUCAUUUAUGGCUUCAUUAUUUUCCUUAACUCAGUCCAAUUCAACACAUAAGAAAUCUCAAUACAAUAGCCCUUCAACUAGGAUCAAGUUCAUCCAAAUACAAAGCAUAGUCUAGGAAUGCAAUUGGAAAUCAAAUUUUAAGGACAAAAGCUAAAUAGCAGGUUUGACGUCUCUUAGCGUAUCGGUCACAACCGAAGCUACACUUAUCGGAUUGGGGUGUAAUUUAUACCGUUUCGAAGCUAAGAUAAAGGCCUACAACUUUGAUGAAGACCACUUAGUCCAGUUAGUAGUGUAUCUAGGUCAAAUUUUCAAAUUACAGAACCAGCAUCUCACAAUCAGACUAGUUAACCGUACUAUGAUUAAAUGACAAUAACUCAGGCUACCGAAGUCCGAUUGAGGUGUAUCUUAUGGAGUUUCGAAGCCAAGAUAUAUACCUACAUUUCUUAUGAAGGCCUCAAAAGUUAAAUCAUGCAUUUUCAGAGUCAAAAUUGAAAUCUCCACGAAGACAGAAAACUAUCCGCGAAACAGGGGUUAUGGGCAGUCAAGGGUAUUUCAGUCAUUUCACAUGAUACAGUGCUCCGAUUGAGCUGAAAUUUUACAAACAGUUAUAAAACAUUAUUUCCUACAACUUUUAUGUUUUGUGCUAAGCCUAAUUCGUUCUCUAACAUGGUCAAACAGAACCGGGUAGAACAGGGUAAAUUGGAAACUUUAAAACUGAAAUUUAUGCACUCUAGUUGAAACUUUUUGAAGGCAAGCAAAACUAGCAUUUUCAAGCUCAAAAUUACUCAUGACAACUACCAAAUCAUGGCUAAACAUCAAUCAUCAUAUGAGGACAGAAAAUUUACUAUAAAAACUGAAAUUCACCAUGCCCCUACUUCAAACCAUAAACUUGUCCAUAAAGCUACAUAUUUAACCUUUCCAAUACACUAAUUAACAAUUAUUACAAACAAAGAGGGAUUUUGCAAGCAAAGUAUCUUGGAUCCUCAAGAAAGAUGGUGGUUUAGAGAUCUUCUUCCCAAAUUAGCUCCACAAACACCUUGAAAACUACCUUAACUAGUACUUUUAUGGAGUAGUUUGCGAUUUAAUCAGUUGGAACUCAAGAUUUGGACAAGAAAUUGAAGUGGAAGAUGAAGAACUCUCUUGGUUUCUCUCUCACUAAUUUCAGCCAAAGGAGACAAGAAAAUGAAUGAAUUUUGGUCAAAAAUCUGAUUUAGUAAAGUUACUAACCUUGGUCAAAAGUCCAACUUCUAAUAGCAUAGUGACACUUGGCUCCUUUUUAGGGUUUUAAUCUUAUCCUUUUGUCUACCAAUGGUGAUUUAUCUAGCUAACCUCUAAUUGUCUCCUAGCACCUUGUACAGUAAUAUUCCGUUAUACAAAACUUUAAUUAAUCAGCAAAAAUUUAUCGCACUUAACGCACUAACGGGCUCCACAUCCAUAAUACGCUUUAAACUGAAUAUGAACUAAUUUAAACUAGGAAAAUGAUUUAAAAACUCUACUCACUAAUAAAAUGUCUGGAAAAAUCAAUAUAAUAAGGUAUAAUGAAGAAAAUGCAUACGAGAAAAUAAAAUAAAAUAAUAUAAAAAAUAAGGAAAAUUUACGGGUCCUCACACCAGUUGGUUGGGACUCAUGAUUUUUCAGCAAUAAUUCAUUAUUUUGUUCAGUCAAGAGAAGACAUGCGAUAAAUUCAGAAUAUUUUUUAAAUCUCUUCUCUCAAUAUUGCUACUGCAAGAGCAUAUUAGAGACAUGAAAAGUAGAAAAUGUCUUCCCUAACAUAUCUUCAUCAGUGACUUUUUCGUCACAUAAUGAUAAUUGAGAAGUAAUUCUGAACAUGACUGAAUUAUAUUCAUUGACAGAUUUAAAAUCUUGCAACCGUAAGUGAAGCCAAUCAUAUCUGGCUUUUGGGAACGACCAACUUCAGGUGGUCGAAUCUUUCUUUCAAAUCUUGCUAAAGGACAAGAGGAUCUUUGACAGUAAGAUACUCUAUUUUUAAUCCUUUAUCUAAAUGAUGACGAACGAAAAUCAUAACUUUGGCACGGUUUUGGUUUGAGAAUUCAUUUUUUUCAACAAUAGUAUUACCAAAACCCAUUGCCUCAAGAUGAAUUUCAACAUCCAAUACCCAUGAUAAAUAAUUUUUUCCAGAAAUGUCAAGAGGUGCGAACUCUUGUUUUGUAAGAUUAGUCAUAAGAAAUUAAAAUAAGUUUUUGACUUAGAAAUUUACCUCGGAAGUCAUCUUUGGCUGUCAUAUUUUCUUUUUCAACACAUUGGUACCUUGCUUUCUCAGGAAAGUGGUAAUUAAGCUUCUAACAAGUUGAGAUCAUUCUGUGACAGAAACUCUUGUGCAGUUUCUUUUAAAAUUAGCAAAUCUGAUGAAUGGUGGCUCAUUAGUAAAAAAUAUUUCUUAGGACAGACUGCAUUUGUCAAACCAAAAUAGUUCUGCUGGGUUAGGAUUUUCCAAAUAUUAAGUUGUGGUUUUUCUCUUGCUUUAGGGUUUAGCAAUGGUGAUGCACAAGAAUCAUGAAGGACCAGCUGUUUUUGAGAUGCUGGACAGGGCUCUGGAAUUGGCUCGUUCCGAGAAAAAAGUCAAUGAGGAGAGGAACAUAAGAAUACUAACUGCACAGAUGCAUGUAGUAAAGGUAUCCAGUUGGACUUUCUUAUACAAGAAUUUGAAGCUGUUCAGAAAUUAGGAUCUAAAUCUAAUCAAGGAAUGAUGAUGCAUUCAAGUUCUGGGUCAUUAUGCUGUGUAUACAUUCUUGAAAAUGCAUAUCCACUUUAAGAUCAGAACAAUCAUGUUUUAGGAAAUAGCUAAAAUCCACAACCAGUAAGAGAAAGUUGGGGGGGGGGAGAAUCUACGUGAUGCCCUCGUGAUCAAAAGUCUAACAUCUAAAUCUACGUGAUGCCCUCGUGAUCAAAAGUCUAACAUCUAAUAUGUUUUACUUCUGCAGGGGAAUUAGAGGAGGCCUUGGAAAAGUUUCAAGCUCUUAUUAAUGAGAACCCAAGGGAUUUUCGCCCUUAUCUUUGCCAAGUAAGUGUUUUUGUUUUUGGAUUUUUUUCUAUUUUGCUUUUUUGGCAUUUCAUCCUUUCACCUCUGCUUGAUGAAACUUUCCCUCCAAUUAUGUUUCAGCAAGGAUAUGAAAAGUUUUUUUUUCCUUUUUUUUCCUAUUUGGCUUUUUUGGCUUUCAUCCUUUCACUCCUGCUUGGUGAAACCUUGCCCACCAGUUAUGUUUCAGAGGAUAUGAAAAGGACAUGGUGCUAGUCUGCUAUAUGUAUGACUGUAAAUUCACUUGUUUGACAUUGUCAGUUAUAAAAUUUUAGGAGCAAGCUGAAAGCUGCACAAAGUCACUCUUAAAUAACAAAAAGCUACUGAGCCACAAGAUUUAUUUUUCAAAUAUUAGGUUCAUGAGGGUGUUUUAAACUUUGGCAUCUAAAUGGACAAGGAAAAACAUCAAGAAAUUUUGGAGAUGACAUUGCUAGCUAUUUAUUAGUCUACCCUGAAACUACAUAAAAGACAAGUAAAGGAACAUCACAUAUUUGAUUUUUUUAGGGAGGGUCAGGAGCAACAGGGAAGAUUAAUGAUAUGGACUUUGGACCUUAUUUUGAUGGGAAAAGUAAGGUGAAUGGAACAAGGAAUGCCAUUCUCUUUUGUCCUUCCUAGAAAUGAGUUAAAAGGAGUAGGAGAAUGGCUUCCCUAGGUGAUGUACUAAUACAUUGCACUUCUUUUCUCCUCUUCCUGCUCUUUACCAAGCAUAGCCUAAGUGGCACCCCUGGCUAGGUCCUGGAAGGAGAGACAAUUGCAAUUUAGCUAUUGGCUUGGCUUACUAAAGUAGUUUUAAGAAAGUGAAACAAAUGUUGCACUUGCCAGAUGUAGGAAAUUAUUGAUCCCUUGGAUACGUCUGUGUGAAUGUGUAGGAUAAGCUCAUGCUGAACACAACAACAAAGAUCAACUUACCUCUCAGCAUAAGCGCAUGAGGCUCCUAUCUUUACUAGAUUUGUGCUUUUGAUCUCUAAUCUUCUCAAUAUAACUAAAGGCAUAUUGCUAAGAAGAAGGCAGUGGGAUGGCUAGAAUCCAGCACUAGGAGAUUGACCAUCUUAAAGGGCAAAGGCCAAUUGAAGUGCCUAGGCUGAUUGAAGUAGGUUUGUCUUGUGUAUAAACUCAUGUCUAAUCUUUUGGGGAAGCUAAAUGUCACAAAUAUGUAUUGAAAAAGGCGGUGUCGAACAGGACACAUUUCACUUUAUUCGCUUCACAUUUUUUUGGUACAGUGCUUUUGUGAAUUUGGGGUUUUUUGUUUUGCGCGCGCGUGUGUUCAUGAGCACAUUUAUGUCACGAGUUUGUUGACCAUUUCCCUUGGCUGUUCUGGCAGGGUAUAGUUUACAGCCUGCUUGACAAAGAGAAGGAAGCUCUAGAACAGUUUGAGAUAUAUCAAAGUCUUGUACCUGAACUCAUUUUUUCAAGGAGGCUUUGUUAGCGAAUAAUCCACCAUUUUUGGUCGUGGUGGAUCAUUAAAUGGUGACUUUAUAGCCAAAGCCACAUGAUCUAAUGAUGUGAGAAAUGAAAGUGACUUACCUAUCCCAAGUGUUUCAUAGAUAUUACCUUGAAUAUACACCACUUGAGAACUUACCAAAGGAAAUGUCAUAAGAGUAUCUUGGGCAGGAAUACCUUUAGAACCUAUACUUUCACUGCACUCCUCAAGAGGGGUGAAAAAUGAGUCAUUAAAACUCACCUCUUUAGGCUCAAAGUUAGUUCCAAAGAUAUUAUCAUGUGAAAUGGACAUUUGCUCAUUGAAACACAAUUGAGAUUCAUCAUUUUCAUCAAAAUGCAACCCAUUUUCACAUACAACAUUCCCAUCAUUCAUGCUAGGAUCAUUUUGCACAUUAUUAGAGGAAAUAACUUCACACAAUGCAUUCAAUUGCUCAUGUAUUCGACCAAAGUGAGAAGCUAAUUCAUCUAUUCUUUCCUCAAUCCUAUCAAAACGAUCGGAAGUUGCAUUUGCUAGCUUUUCUAUUGCUAAAUCAAAUUGAUUAGAAAAAUUUUCUACAGCUAGCUCCCAAGAUGCAUUAGAAUCAUUAGCUAAUGGUUCACUUUCUAACUCCCAAGGUAGAGGUGUAUUAGCUAACUUCUCUAUUGCCAACUCCCAAGAUGGUUUUGAUUCAUAUUGGACACUUUCAGGUUGGUGAUCAUAAAAAUAUGAAUUAUCACUAUAAGUACAUUGAUUAUUCCAACCAUAAGCAGGAGAAUUGGUCCAAUUAGCACUAUAUUGAUCAAAACAAGGAUUGUAAUGCUCUAAUUCAUCAUAAUAAUCCACAUUUUGUGCUUGCAUACAUGUAUUAGUAGCAUGAUAACCUCCACACAAGUCACAAAUCACAUGAUAAGAAUUAAAAGCAUUAACAUUCCUUCUCUGCUCAAUUUCAUGCAUCAUGGUGUCCAUUUGAACUUGUAACUUAAUUACAUCAAAUUUUGCCUUUAAGCACCUUAAACCAUCUUCAAAAGACAUACAUUCAGUAAAUUCUUGGUUACCUCUGUUGAAGGAGCUUUGCACUUCAUAACCAUCCAUUGCCAAUCUUCCACUUCUCAAGCAUUGUCCUCCAAAUUGACCUACCCUCCUCAUUACCUAAAAUUGCUUUUAAACAACUUAAGAGCAAAAUUAGUAAGAAGACUAGGUGAUAAAACACAUACACAUAUAAAAUACUAAAAUAACAGAAAAUAACAUUCACAAUAUAACUAAUAUUAUGUCUAAACUAAUAAAGUUGCUCUUCACACCGAUAUUGCCAAAUCUUCCCCGGCAACGGCGCCAAAAACUUGACGGGUAUUUUACAUACGUGCAAGCUAAAAAAUAUCGAAUUACACCCGUUCACUGCAAGUAUACAGAUCAACUAGUAGUUUAGGGUAUAUAUCGGGUCGAUCCCACAAGAAAGAGUGAACAAUUACCGGUAUUACUAAAGCUUCUCUAUUAUUUAGACUAUCAAUGAAUUAUAACAAAUUUAACCUACUGAAAUUAUACAAAAUAACAAAUGAAAGCUCCUUAGGUUGUGGUAUCCCUAACUACUCAUGCAAGUGCUAUAUUUGGAUCAUUAAUUACUACAUCUAGGCUAGUUAUGGUGUAAUUUCCUUAUGUAUUUGAAUCCUACUUUCGUAGUGAAUCAAUUAUACUUAUAACUAAUCCAUACCUAUUCUCAUGGUUAUGAAAUUAGCUACAAGUUCAUUUCUUCAGUGAAAUUACAUGAAAUGAAUCACUAAAAACGACAUAAGUGCACCUCUACUUUCGUGAGUGUACUCCCUAUGUUUAGCACUUCUUGAACUAGUGUUAAAUCUCAAUUUUCAUUGCAGAAACAACACCUUAAAUAAUCACAAUCAAUGGUACCAGAUUAAUCAUGAUUUAAAGAGCCAAAGUGCUAAAUAACUUGCUCAAAUCAUAGCAGUCAAAUAACCAAAUAAUAAACACUAACAAUUAUAGAAAGUUCAACCAAACCCAAGGCUUAAACUUUAGAAACACAUAAUGAACACAAAAUCCAGAACUUGUAUAUUAACUAAACUUGGAAUCAAAUACAGAAGAUAAAGAGUUUGGAAGGAAUACAACCCUUGUCACAUGAGCUUUCUUCCUUGCCUUCUUCAUCCUCCAUUUUCAUCCUAAUCUAGAUAAUAAACAAGAAUGGAAAAGCUACACUACUCUAUACUAAGCUAAACUAACACUAGGGAGAUGAAAGAGCUACAUUUCUGCAGCUUCAAGCUUUCUCCCGUAGCUCUCUUCUAUUUUUCUGCUAUGGACUCCAAUCUCCCCUUCUUGCAAUGAAUUUGGCUCUUUUAUGAUGAAAGGUGGUCAAGAAAUGAGGAUUACAUCUCCCUUUUACAGCUGGGAAUGUUUCUCACAUGUCUAGCAUCCAAUGUGAGUUGGUGGAGGUGAAAUUGAGUUUUAUGCAUACAGAGCAGCCUUUUCUGACCACAAUCCGGCCAGGAAUCCGGCCACAAAUCCGGCCACAUUCCGGCCGGAUUGCUACAGUGACCAUUUGGUCACUUCUGGUUCAAUUUCCAGCUCUGCUCCGAUUUUGCAUCAAAUUCCACUGAAGUUUUCUUGAUGAUAAAAGCUGAUUUAGCUCUUGACCAAAACAUAAAACUUGUAUCCCUUUGAGUUAGCUUUCCAAUGCAUCAAGAAUCAUCUCAUUUGGAUCUGUGUAGGCUGAGACAUGACCGAAAUACCCUUACCUGCUCAUUGCCCUGUUCCAGUUUCGACCAGUAGAAAUUUGCUAUUGUAAUUCGGCAUUUUGACCUGGAAAACCUUCAAACUGGAUUUAGAUGUCUUCACCAAAGUUGUAGAUCUAUCUCUUAUCUUCAAAUUGGUUCAAGAAUCAUCUUAAUCCGAUCUUUGUAACUCAAGUUAUAGCCGAAAUACGAAAAUGUGUCAAAACUGUCAAAAUACACAAAAUCCAAGUAAAAAAUGAUAAAAACCUCAUUUAAUUACUUAAAAGUAUUUUUCACCAAUUAUAGCCAAAAUGAUUCAUAUUCUACCAAUAAUAUAACUAAAGUGACUAAAAAUAAUAUAAAAUAUCAUACAAUUAUUACGUAAAUUAGUCACUUAUCAAACUCCAAAUUUUCUUUUCUUUGCUCAUAAAGUUUGCAUUUCCAAAUUUUAAAGCUUUUAUAUUUGGCUGUGGAGGAACCUGUUCGCAUCACUGAAAUACGAGUUUAUAGUAUUUUAAGAAGUGAAGAAGAUAAAAACAAAUGUUCGAAGUAUUCAGUAUUUUAAUUAAGUAAUGUGUCUUGAUUAUGUAAUGCUUCAAUUAUGGAUUUAGCAUGGUGAAAUCUUAGAAUUGUAGGAUUGGGUGAUUUUGAAUUAUGCAAUUUAUUGGUUAGGGCCAGCGAAGUGGCAGAUAGAUUGGCUGCUCGAUCCACGAACACCCAAGCUACUACGAGCAAUAAUUUUUCCAUCCACUUAGGGUUAAAAUUAAUAGCAAUCCCAUAGACACAGUAUAUGCUAGCUCCUCUUUGCUGUGCCCAUCGGGAAAAGUUAUUCAUAGCAUCCGUCCUACAUUAUCAAUGAGUAUUGAUGUCGGGUACCGAAAAUUCCAAAACCGUAUUAAAAUCAAGGUCAUUACACGGUUUAAGAUAAGCCAGGCUAUUAAAAUCUUCCCAGUUAAAUCCAGAUGAACAAAAGUCCUUGUAGCAGUCUAAAUCCAUUGCUAUUGAUAAUUAUACUGGCGGCUACAACAUUUCUUCCCCUGUUAGAUCGUGAUCAAUGUCCUUGCAGCUAUCCAUAUCUACUUACCUCUACUAUUGAUGAUUAGGCUAUGACGAGUCAAUGUUAAUUUUGGAUGUCGCUUGCAGCACUCUCAUGCAGUAAAUUUCCACUGAUUACUUUCAUCUCCUUGCAGCCCAAGUCAACUUAUGACUAGAAAAAUAUUAGAAUCCUUUUUGGAUUGCAUUAAUAUUUUGCACAAGUUUUUAUUGGGAAUAUUAUUUGUGGGAUUAAACUUGUAAGGUGUAAAACUCGAUGGACCAAACCUUACUUGGAACUUGCAGAGUUAAAACUGAGAGUAGUCAACAACUAUAAUGCAGAAGAUUUAGUUGAAAAUUGAUGCCAUUCAGAUGUCAUGCACCUAGAUAAUAUGUAAAGAACAUGUUCUGUAUUAACUUAUUAUCGCAAAACAGCAGGUGAUUUAUCAUUUAUUUAUCAAACUAUGGAGUUUUUCUUAAUAACUGAAAUAUAAGUCAAUUAUUUUCCAGUAAAAUUGUUUUUGGUUCGGAAAUUUGUCCUAAUGCCGCCAUGUUAUUUUUCUACAUAUCAUGAACUCCAAAGCAAAUUACGCGAUAAACUUGAGAAUGAAAGGCCGACGGAAUACUUGGUGCACAAUAAGUCAACCAAGUUCCUUGAUGUUAAGAAAUUGGCUUAAUUUCUUUUAGGUAGAAUUCUUGUUUUGUGUGGAAGUAACUAGUUUUCUAAUUGAUUUUAGUUACAUAAAAUAGUAACCAAAGAAUAUUCUAUUUAGUUUAGGAUUAAAAGUUAUUUCCUAGUCUAUACAAGUUUAGGAAUUAGAAUUGGUUUCCUAUUGUUAUUUGGUAUUUUUGGCCAAAUAAUGUUAUCUAUAAAUAGGUGGGUUGACAUACUACAAAGGGACACACAAGAGACACACGAGAUACACAAGGGCAUCAUUUAGUCUUAUACAUGGGGUGUGAGGGAGGGUUUUUGGGAGAUGAGAGAUGAUAUACAAGGGUUGGGUUUGGGUUCAAAUUGUAUUCUUGUAUAGGGUUUUCCUUUCAUAACAAAGAACGGGUUUCUCUCCGUGGACGUAGACUCAAUGGUGAAGUCGAACCACGUUAAAUAUUGUGUGUCGUCUAUCUUUUAUGUUUGUAGCUUGUUUCUUAUUAAAUUGUUGUGCACUUGAUAUAUCAAUAGUUGUUUAUUCCGCACUUGAAUCCUAACACUUGAAACUAAUGUUGAGAUGGAGUAAAUAAAGUCAUUAACAACCCUUUAGGUUGAAGGUAAAAUGGGAAGAAAAGGGACCCAAAAGAAAAAAUAAAAUGAAGGGAGUGGAAUUAUAUAUCUAUAGCAUGAACAAAAGUAACAAAUUGAACGUGAGCAUUUAGAUUUUUUCUUAUUCGGUCCAUGUAAACUUUGCCCCUCCAUAAGCUAGUGAGUAAAAAGUCAAAGGACAAAAUUGGUCCAAUAAUAAAAAUGGGGCAUUGUUCCAAGCAGAGGUGCCAAAUUAGUUCAAUCGCAAAAUUAAGGGACAACAUUAGCCUAAAUUAAAGUAGAAGAACAAAAGUGGUUCAGUAAAAAAGUUGGAAGACAAUUUGCAUCAUUUGCCAAAAAAAAAAAAAUCAAAUGAAAGGGGUGUAAAUGUAACAUCUAUUGCAUGAAGAAAGAUAAGAAAUUGAACAUCUCUUGAUGUAUUAAAUCAUGAUGUUAGCAACACCACAACUCUGAAGAUGGAAAAUUCUAUUUAAGCUGAAUUAUUAUUAUUAUUUAAGGUAAGCUAAUUUAUUAUGUCACCAAACUGGAGUUGGAACAGCAAGAAGAGGAACUUUUUUGUGAAUUAUUAAACCAGUACAUUCAGUCAUGUCCAAAUCUGUUCCCUUAGCUCCAUCAGGCAAAUCCCAGUCAAACUUAAGCAUAAGAUUUGCUAAAACAUGUUCAUCUGUAGCCAUCGCGAAAGAGAUUCCAGGACAACCCCUUCUUCCAGCUCCAAAUGGAAUCGAUUGAAAGUCAUGACCUCUGAAAUCAAUGCCAGAAUUCAAGGAUCUCUCAGGCCUAAACUCAUCUGGUUCAUCCCAGAAUGAAGGGUGUCUUCCAAUGGCAAAAGCAUUGGUAAUGAUCAUAGUUCCAGCUGAAAUGUCAAAGUCCAUUACUUUAGCGUCGUCGAUUGCCUGGCGCGGGACCAGUGAGGGUAUCGGAGGAUAUAAACGUAGUGUUUCUUUAAGCACUGAUUUCAAAUACUUCAUCUUUUUCCAAAUCCUCAUCAGUGAUCUCUGGUCUGCCACCAGCAAUUCCUCUCACCUCCGUCUGUAGAUCCUCAUCGCUUUUGGGUGCCUUAAAAGCUCUGUCAUUGCCCAUUCUAGCACGGUAUAGGUAGUUUCCGUUCCACCAGCGACAAUGUCCUAAAGCGAGAAGUAAAAUAAUAAACUUAUAAUUAUCUUGUCUUUCAAUUUUGGAACUGAGAUGCACAUUUCACCAAGCAAAGAUUAAAGGAUUGAAGAUAGAAAAUAGGAAAUUUUAUCUUAGACUAUGCUCAUCAUAACACCAGUAUAUGGAAGUCAUAAAUUGGUCCCCCUGCGUAUUUUUAAAAAUCCCUCAAAGUCCUUUUUUUAAAAAAAUAAAAAAAUAAAUCCCUCACAAGCCAUGUAAAUUUGUUGUUCUACAUAACCUAAUGGGAAAAAAAUUACUAUUAGAAGUUUUAUGCACUAAUGAGUCUAAAGGUAUAUCAGAUAUGUGCAAAAUUUAAAAAUCAAAAUCAUUUAUUCGAAUGUGUCAUCAUCUAAAAUCAUUAGUCAAUGUAACAAAGUUUAAUCCUUAUAUUAUAUGGUGCUAUAAGAGUCUGAUAAAGUACUCCGGUUAAGUGAACAUUGAAAGGAAUCUUCAUUUAUGUGCAGAUUUCAUAGACUAGCCCUGGCUAUUACAGUGUACUACUUGUGGAGAACCAGAAACUUGGUGCUAUUUCGGAAUGGUAGUUUAUAUCCGGUGGCUAUUGUACAGCAUAUCAUUGACACUAUUCGUCAUAUUGGAGCUUCAUGGAGGGGUGUACCAAAAACGUACGCUGAAUGGAGAAUUCCCCUGGAAUUGCAGAAAUUUUGGGAAAAUAUAGUAAAUAGGGAGGGGGUAGAAAAUCGAACAGAUUAUAAAUCCCAACUUGUGAAUAACUCUGAUGAACACCCUCACUUGACUAAAUUAGGAAAAUAGGGACAAAUUGAAUGAACACCCUCACUUGACCGAAUUAGAAAAUUGGGGACAAAUUAAAUGAUCCAAAAAAUGCUGAAAUAUAACCACUUCAAGGAUGAAAAAGGGCCAGAAAUCAUCCCUGCAAGGAGACAAUUAGAACGGUGGUUUUCUUUUAUUUUUCUUUUGGACAAAUUAUACUUUACCCCCAUGUGGUUUAGAGUUUUUGUACAUAACUCCUCUAUGAUUUCAAAAGCUAUACAUAACUCCCUCAUAGUUUUGAUUAAAGUGUCAAAGUGAUAGAAUUUGCAAUCCAUAACGAAGUCAUCUAAAAUGUCAAAAAUACCCCUAUGUAAAGUUGAAAAUUAUUUGUUAAAAAUAGGGGAGUUAUGUGUAUAUUUUGAAAACCAUAAGGGGGUUAUAUGGUAAAAUAUAAAACCCUACGGGGUUAGUGUAUUAUGUAUAUUAUGUUUAUAUAUUUUGAUCAUUUCAACCAUUUUAAUUUUUAAACAAGACUAAUUUCGACAUUUUCAAAGGUUCUAUUACGAAUGAUCAUUUCUAUUGUUUGGAUACUUUAAUCCAAAUCAUGAGGGAGUUAUGCAUAAGUUUUGAAACUAUAGGGUUUUAUGUACAAAAACACUAAACAUAGAGGGGUAAAAUGUAAUUUGUCCUUUUGCCAAAUUUAAAGUUGUGGUUAAGGUGAGGAAUCGUUGGACGAACUUAAGAAUGCAGGGAAACCGGCAGAGAAUUCUAGAAUUUUAGAAAUUCUGGAUGGAGAAAACGAUAGAGUCGUAUGUUUAAGUUAUGGAAUUGCCGCGAAAGUCGCUCAAAAUUACAGCAAUCUCCACCAUUGAUGCUAUGAAAAUUGAUAACUAAUAUUGCUCAAAAUUAUAGCAAUUGCCAUUGAAAAAUUGGACCAAUCAGUUGCCGGAUAACAUCCAAUCAAUUUUGUAUAAUUCAGCAAUCCAAUUCCACUCAUUCACGUCUCGUCUUUAUAGUAGUAAGGAUAUAUAUAUAUGAUGAUUUUGGACCGAUGUGAAAACACAGAAAAUUUUUCAACUCUUGAAUUCAGAUUAACGUUUUGUGGUUGUAGUUCUAUUUCUUUCUUGGAUGAAUAUACUACUUGAUUUUGCAUUUUCUACCUCUGAGUAUUGAUGUUGCAAUUUCGUUAACCUUCUAAUAAAUCCGCCAUUAGAAAUGGCACAACAAAAUCUGAAGGAUCUCUCCUCCAAAAGAUAUCAUCACAUAUGAAUUUUACCCAACUGAGCGCUUAGUACUUAAAACCCAAAUUGAUUAGAUGCUAAUAUUAGCUAUUGACUUGAGUAAUGAAUUGGCAAUACUGCAUAAGAAUACAAACAAAGAAGAUAAAGGAAGGAUAAUGUGAGUGGUCCUUGAGGCCUGCCAUGCAUCUCUCAUCUCAUCAAAAACUUUCCGUCCAAUGUAGAAAUAAUUAGACGAAUAAGGAUUUGGACGGCUAGCUUUCGCUACUCCUAAAUGGUUCACAUUUGAUGCUCGAUCUAAGAAUUUUCAAUGAUCUGAAAACAAAACACCACAUCAUGAUGUUUACCUUUGGCCAAUUGCUUGAUAAACACGUAUACAAUAAGAACUUAUCUUAUUCUUAGCCCUGCUCUUAAAUAUUAUUAACGACUCCGUGUGCUCUAAUUAAGCGAGGCAAAAUAUGCUCGAUCAUUUUCGUUUGGAUUAGCUGUUUUUAGGGGUGUUUUUGAAAAAUUUUAUUGUAGCAGAGUUUUUACAGUAUAUUUUGGGAUAUUUUUAGAAAAUAUUUUGAAAUAUUUAUGAGUAGUAGAGUUUUUAAAAUAUAUUUUGAAAUAUUUUGAAAUAUUUUUUAAACAUUAAAAAAAAUUUAGAAUACUUUUUAGAGUACGUUUUAGAGUAUUUUUUAAAAAUUUUUAUAAUAUUUGAAAAACAAGAGAGCAUAGGGUCUUUGAUUCAAAUGUAUGAUCAUCAACACAUUGCAGACAUAGCCAAAUCGAUCAUUUUCAGUCUUAACUGAUUGUGAUAGGUUAGACUAGGUAUUCUGUGCUUUUGCACUUGAGUCAAAAGGGCUGGAUGUUACAUCAUUUUGGAAUGGGUAAAAAAUAAAAAAGCCCCCUGUGGUAAACCUAAUACACAGAAAAGCCUCCCGUGGUUUCAAAAUAUACAACACGACUCCUCAUACUUUGAACUAAAUUGUAAAGGUGACGGAAUCCGUUAAACUUAACGGAAAUGGUCAAAAUGACCAAAAUACCCUGAUAUAAUUAAGCAAAAGACAGCUCAAAAAAAUCAUUUGUUUUAUUUUCUAAAUAGAGAGAAUUGAGGGUUAAGGGGUAGAAUUGGUAUAUUUGAUAAAAAAUAGGUAUAAAAAUUUUUUUUUAGGUUCCAAUUAGGGUUGUUGGUGAGCCGAGCUACUCGCGAGUAGCUCGCGAGUAGCUCGGUCAACAACUCGACUCGAACUCGGGUUGACCGAGUUCGAGUCGAGUUUCGAGUAACUCGACUCCAAAUCGAGUCGAGUAUCGAGUCCCAUUUUCCGAGCUCGUGGCUCGUCGAGUAGCUCGACGAGCCAGAGUUAAUUAAAUAAAAUAUUUAUAAUUUAAAUAAUAUAUAUUUAUUAUAAUUAUAAAAUGACUAUUAUGGGUAUAAGUUAUAUGAAAUUUACAAUAUUACCUUCUUUAUAAUAAAAUCCUAUAAUGGCAAAAAAGUAAUAACAUAAUUGUAAAAAACACUAAAAAGAAAAAAUGUCUAAAAAAAAAGGAAGAAAAGACUUUCUUCCUUCUCUCAGUUCUCUGUGCCGACUGUGCGACUUUCUUCUCUGUUCGAAGCCUAGCAAAAAAAUUCACUUUACCAAUCUACACCCUCACUCCGUUCGUCGCCGACGCCGUUGCUCGCCGCAUCUGUGAGACUCCAUCGCCAUCGCCAUCGCCUUAACAAGUCCCAAGUCCCAAGUCCCAAAUCGAAGCUGCUCUCUGCCUCUCCGGCCUCCGCCAGUCCGCCGCGCUGUACGUCUCCUGUCGGCUGUGUCCUGCCGUGCUGGUUCAUCGCUGCCGAGUGUCGAAGACGAAGCACCAAGAUCUCACUAGUUCAUCGCUGGUUCAUCACUGCUCAUCUCUGGCUCACUUAGGUAAGUGCUCCUCUGUUUUUGGCUCUGUGUCUCUGGCAUUAAAAUGGGCCAAGAUCGACUAGGAAACUUGUUAUCCUGAAUUGAUAAGGGGACGAAAUCUGAGCUUCCAAUUGCAAACUCUAACUGUUGUAGUAGUUUAGAUUAGGUGUGAUAUAACAUAAGCUUUGUAUUUUAUACACAAGAAGCUCUCUCCAGUUGUGCAGCCUUUAAAAGUUAAGGCCUUGGGGAAAAAUUCCACCUUUUACCCGUUAGAAAGAUUGGCCUCAUGCUUUUGAAUAUACAUGCCGCAUACGUUGAUUGAGCUGAAUGUCUUGGUUUCUGAUCAUUUUUGGGCUAGUUAUUGCUUUAAUUUGAGUGAGAAUCCGGCAAAAUUUUAAUGCCCAUUUACUGUUCGACAAAAUGCUUGAUUGAAAGUUUUAGUUGAAGGGUGAUUGGUCUGCAUUUUUGCACAUGAAAAAUACUGGCCAAGUCGGCCAGUUCACUUCCUCGCAUCUAAGAAUUUUUGGUGUGUUGAUGUCUUACAUUUUUCUGCUCCUUAUGCUUCCGGUCGAGUGAAUUCGAAUUGAUGUUAUGAGAGGGAGUGUUGUGAGUCUCAUUGUUUGUUGGAAUGGUUAGAAAUUGAAGCCAGAUUUCUGGUUGCUGUCUUGCUGAAUGGUAAUUGAUAUUUGCUCGUUGGAGAAGAUGAUCACUUGUCCAAAAUUGCAAUUUCAGUCCCUCCGUUUUCUUUUUGUUUAGUGAUUUGGUCCUGUCUUUUCCUGAGCUUCAUAUUUGCCUCCAACACCAUCAUAAGUCCCUUAAUUAGGUCCCUGCUUUGUUGCAUUUUAAUCCCUCAAGUCCCCCUUGUUCACCGUAGCCUCAAAAUUUGGAAAAAUCAAAUCCAUUUUGCCUUUCUUGAGCUUAAUCCUAUGUUUGCCUAUUUUAUAUGACUUUUUGGGAUAAAUUAAUUCUUGACUUUAGAUCAUAAUUGUGGCUUAAUAUUUUUUGUUAAUUUGUUUAUGUUAUUGGGUUUAGUAUUAUGGUUUAAGUUUUUUGGGUAAUUAUAUUUGAUUAGGCUUGUAAAAAUUCUUUUUCUUUUUCUGCUCCUUCUUAGACCACACUUUGCUGUUUUAAGUUAAUUUAUUCUUUUGGGAAGUUAUGUAACUUUUUUUGUGUUUUUACCUCUAUGCUUUUUGUAGGAAGCCAAGACAAUCAAACAAUUCGACUUGCCAAAGCUUUGAAGAUUUAUGUUUCUAAAUCUAGAUUAGCUCAUUAUUUGGACCUUGUUAAUUUAUGAGACGUAACUUAUUAUGUAUUGUGGAGUAUGUUUAUAUUUUAAAGCCUUUUUCUUUCAUUUGCCGAAUGUAUGACUAUUGUGUGAGCAGGCUGGCCGCUGGUUAAUGACAUGUUAAUGUGUAGGAUAAAUGUCUAGAAAACUUGUUUUUUGAGUGUGUCGUGUGUGGUAUAAGGUUCAGAGGUUUUGCUUGUGGGUUCAAUUCUUUUGCUCUUUCCUCUGUUUAAAAUGACAGCCUGGAAAGAGCCGUUGCAAUUUGCUGUAAAAGGCUCCAGCCUCUGGGAUUGCAUUUUAAUGGUGGUAUUGAGGUCAUCUUUGCUGGGUCAGGUUAGUGACAAGAGUUUUCAACUUCAUUCUUCUAUAUCCUGUCCAAACACUUGUAAUUCUGCUGGACUAUGGUCCAUUUCUGAACCAGGAACAUAUUUUUCUGACAUGUUCUUGUUUAAAGCAGCUUUCUUUAGUUAGUAAUUAGUGAUAUUUGUGGGGAAAAGGAAUUUCUGGAUAGAUCUUGGCAUUGGUUUCUGAAUUGAGCUUGAGGUAGUUGGGAUAUUGUGGCUGUUUGAGAUAAUUGUUUGUCUCUCAAUUUGGUGGCUCAGCUCAUGUUUUGCUGAGUUUUGAAAUUUUGUGGGGAAUUUUGGUUAGUUUGGGUACUUUUGCAGCACACUUAGGAACUAUGAUCCGAGGAAUUAGAAUCAUCCAUAUUUUCUGCUCUUGUGGGCACCUUACCAUUGGUGGGUAAUUGCUGAAUUUGAAAGUUUCAUGUCAAGCAAUCCAGCAAGUGGGAAUUUCCCUUUUUUCUUCUCUAUUCUUCUUUGUGGUGAAUCUGAUUUUUAGGGGUGUUAAAGAUGCUAACUGUGGGAGGUAGAAUGUGGAUACUUUUAGUUGUAUUUGUAUUGAUGAAUCAUGGAUUUUAUGCCUCAUUUACUCCAGCUGAUAGCUACUUGCUUGCCUUUGAUUCUUCCCAAAACAUCACCUUUGAUCUGUUUUUUUCGUCAAAUCGAGUCAAAAAGCUUGAUAAGACUCGACUUGAUAAGGCUCGAUUAAAGAUCGAGCCUUAUCGAGUCGAGUCUCGAGCCUGAGGAAAUUCUUCGAGUCGAUCUUCGAGUAUCGAUUUUCUUGGCUCGAUCGAGCUCGAGUCGAGCUCGAGCCUCUGUGUGUAUGAGUCGAGUCGAGCUCGAGUAUAGUGAUACUCGAGCUCGACUCGGCUCGAUUACAUCCCUAGUUCCAAUAAGUCAUUUCCGUUAAGUUUAACGGAUUCCGUCACUUUUACAAUUUAGUUCAAAGCAUGAGAUGUCGUAUUGUAUAUUUUGAAACUAUAGGGGGCUUUUCUGUGUAUUAGGCUUACCACAGGGGGCUUUUUUAUUUUUAACCCUUUUGGAAUUAUUGAAUUAGUUUAUCAAUAGCAUAAAGUGGUGAUCCAGAAUAAUUAGCUGUUGAUUCUUUUUAAGAUUGAAUAUUACACAAAUAUAUCACAAUAAUUGCGCAACGGAUCUUCUGUCCUACACUCUGUGCCACUUUUUAUUAUAUUGAUAUUUCUCCUGUAUAAACAUCACGUUUUAGUUCUUUUUUGCUUCACCUACUUCCAAAAUAUAUACACAAAAUAUAUGUAAGACAUUUUUAUUUUAUUUUGCUUCGCCUACUUCCCUCCUGCCCAAUGCAAAAAAUUUACUUAAUAUCCGAAUUCUUCACACCCAUUUCUGAUAUGUUAUCAUGCUCAUCUAGGUGUCCAGCCAAACUUGAUGUGCCUCAAAUAUACGUCGUUAACUUUUAAAAUAAAAACAGCCAUAUUUUUACAAAAGAAAAUUGAAAUUGUUCAAAUCGUGCCAAAUUAGUUGUUUUGAUUUCUUGUCAAGAGAUGUAAAAUAAGCUAUCUUUAGAUUUUGUUCCAAAUGUCUAGCAGCCAAAAAGGAUGCCACGAACAAAAAGCUUCAGCAAUUAUCUUAGAAAGCAGUCUUCUGCCCUCCAUGGAGCUGAAUUCCAAACUUCAGCCGCCAAAAUUAAUGAUAUUGCUUCUUGGUUGGAUUUGAUUAUCAUGUUGUGAUUGUAGUCUUGUCCCUUGGCAAGUUCAAAUUUUCAAUUUUCUGACAGCUAACAAGAUUGUUUAAAUCGAUUUUAUAAGGGAUUAUUUCAUAAUGCUUUGCAUAAUAGAUUGCUGUCGUGGCAUUACUCUAAUCCAUCCCAUCACAAGUUAUAAUUACUAUUGCACUAUUCACGAUAACAAGUUUGGUGCCUCCUCAUUUUUUCAGUUCAAAUCUGGUCAGAGAUUAGACCUUCUAUUGCACAGUGCAAUUGCAGCCCUUCUCAGGAAUCAAUCCAACAUUUGUAUCAAGACAAGAAUACAGAAUCUGCAGCAUUCGGCCAUGUGAAGAAUUCAAGAAAGUGGAGAUGGAAUAACAAGAAGAGGAAUUUUGCGACGAACUGCAACGCCAGGGCAUUCUGUCAUAUCCAACUCUUUUCCCUGUGCACCAUCAGGAAAUUGCCAAUCAAACUUGCUUACCAAAUUUGCCAACACAAGUUCAUUGCUGGCAACAGCAAAAGCGAUUCCAGGACAACCCCUCCUACCAGCACCAAAUGGGAUUAACUGGAAAUCAUGCCCUUUGAAAUCUAUAGACGAAUCCAUAAAUCUCUCUGGCAUAAAGUUCACAGGUUCAUCCCAAUAUGCAGGAUCUCUACCUAUUGCCCAAACAUUGAUGAUCACCAUUGUACCAGCUGCAAUAUCAUAUCCCAUUAUUUUGACAUCUUCUCUUGCUUCUCUAGGAACCAGCAACGGAAUUGGAGGAUGUAAGCGAAGAGUUUCCUUGAUCACUGCUUUCAAAUAAUGCAUCUCGGCCAAGUCAUCCUCGGAUAUCUGUUCUUUGCCACCAACAACCGCUCUUAUUUCAGUUUGCAAUUUCUUUAGGAUAAUGGGGUGUCUUAAGAUCUCUGCCAUUGCCCAUUCUGCAACUGUAGCCGUGGUAUCAGUUCCAGCAGAGAAUACAUCCUACAGUCAAAAAGAUAUACACUUAAAAUCAAUGAUUUGUUGAUUGUCCGUGAGAAUGAUCAGAGAUGACGCUUAAUGAAGCUUAAUGAUUUUAUAUUCAGAAAAAAUGAUUUUAUAGAAGCUUAAUGAUUUUAUACUCAGAAAAUGAAGCUUAAUGAUUUUAUUUUCACUGCGCAGAGAAAAUUGUGCUUACCAAUAUUAUAGCUUUGACGCUGUCCCUGUCCAUGGUUACACCCGUUGCGUUAUCUUUAUAGAUUUUCAGCAAAAUAUCAAGAAAGUCUUCCCUGCUUUCACCAUCAAUCGUCUCACCACUUGGCCUGCAGGAAUAUUUUUCCACUGCACCAUCCAACCUUUCUUGGACCACGCCCUCCAAGAACUCAUCUACUUCUCUAGCAACGCGAUCCACUCUGGCAUCGUAACCAUUAACUCGAUUAAUCCAGCUGAGACAGGGCACAGAUUUGACUAAAAUUCCUCCGUUCAGUAACUCCAAGAAUUCGCCCAACAGCAGCUUGAAUUUCUUUCCAGUUUCCCCUGCACCGUAUUUCCUCCCAAAAGCCGAUCUGCAUACAAUAUCAUUAGUCAGCGAAACAAACAUUUCGCUCAAAUUCACAGGUGUUGAAUCCAAAGAAGCGUCUUUAAUCUUCUGCAUCAUAAUCGACGUUUCCUCUUCCCUUAUAUUACGAAACGCCUGAACUUUUUUGUUGCUCAGGAGCUGAAGAACACAAAUACUCUUUAACUGUCUCCAAUACUCGCCAUAGGGUGCUACCGAUAUAUCCUUCAUGUUAUAGAGAAGUUUAUUAGCUGUGCUCGAAAAUGGCCUAUCAGAGAAAAUCAAAUCGUGGGUUUUCAUGAUUAGGCUAGCUCCAUCAGCUGAUGAAACGACAACCGUGGGAACACUACCAAAUUUGAGAAACAUGAUUGGACCAUAUUUUUGGGCUAAGGAGUGGAGAGGAUAGUGAAGCAGUGAGCUUAGCUGAUGAAGAUUUCCAAUAAUCGGAAGUCCUGGUGGCGAUGGUGGCUGAUUCUUUCUCGAAUUUGAAACUAAUUUGAAGAGAAACCACAGUAAGAUUAAAGGAAAAAGCGAAAAAAAGAUUGGAUGAAACAUAUAUACAUCAAUCUUUAGCUCCGAUACCAAGCCUGAUAAGCUUGCCAUUUGCUUUAAUCUCCCCUGUAUUUUGCUCAGGCUACAAGACUCUGAUUUCAGACAAAAAAUUGGAAAACAAGUAUGGACAAGUAUGGACAAGCUUGGCCACUAGCCAUUUGGUCCAGUGGCCAUCACCAUAAAAAGGUGAUGAUGGAGGUGCCAUCACCAUAAAAAGGUGAUGAUGGAGGUCAGGGGUUCAAUCCCUGCCUCCCACAAAUUUGCCACAUUUGUGGCGGUCUUAAUUGACCUUCAUCGAUGGAGUCUGUACUCACAUCGAACCCCAUCCUCUUCCCCUUAGACUAGGCUCGAACCCCAUCCUCUUCCCCUUAGACUAGGCUAGAUUAGGUUAUAGAACAUCUAUCGUUGCGACAAAAAAAAAAAAAAAAGUAUGGACAAGCUUGUGUCAGUUGGCAGGCGUGUGGUAUCUAUAUGGAUAGACUUGCAGAAAAAUGACAAAAGAGGAUGGAAAAAUAAGGACAAAUCUAUAAGGACAAAAUUACACUUUACCCCCUUAUAGUUUAGUAUUUUUGUAUAUAACCCCCCUAUAGUUUCAAAAAUUAUAUAUAACCCCUCAUGGUUUGGAUUAAAGUGUUAAAAUGACGAAAAUGAUCAUUCGUAAUGAAACUUUUUAAAAUAUCAAAAUCACCCUUGUUUAAAAAUUAAAAUGGUUGAAGUAAACCAAAAUAUAAAACAUAAUAUACAUAACACACUAACUCCGCAUGGUUUUAUAUUUAUCAUAUAACCCCCUUAUAGUUUAAUAUUUUAUCAUAUAAUCCCCUUAAAAUUUUUAAAAUAUACACAUAACCCUCCUGUGGUUAAUAAAUACUUUUCAACUUUAUAUAGGGGUAUUUUGACAUUUUAUAUGAAUCCGUUAUGAUAUUUUAAUUCAAAUCAUGAGGAGAUUAUAUAUAACUUUUGAAAUUGUAGAGGGUUAUGUACAAAAAUACUAAACCACAAGGAAUAAAAUGUAAUUGCCCGAAAAAAUAAGGACAAAUCGAAACCUCUUACAACAUGAGAACAUAUGAGAACAACAAGGACUGGUUUUUUUUUUUUUUUUUUUACUACGUGCAUCGAACUAAAGAAUUUCAAACAAAACUACAACUUAAAAUUUAUAACUCUGGGAUAGUAAAAAAAAGGGAGAGAAGCUAAAACAAUUUCACCUGAGUUUUUUAUAUUUUUAUUUCUUGAUUAGCUGUUUGUUUUAUUGAAUCUUGCUCGAUUCCCUUCACAAAUGAAAAAUAUGAUUAAACAACAACUGCAUUAUAAUCAAAAUAAUAGUACAACCCAAUACUAAAGAAUGGAAAUUAACAUACAAAAUGAAUCCAUAUGUCCAUAAUCCAAAAUGAAUUUGGCAAAUAGAGGAACAAAAAUAAAACCACAAUUAUAGGGUAAAAAAGAGGAAAAUAAUUAAUUCUUCCGCAUUUCAGCUUCACGAACAUAAUUUGGCGACGGAAAAACAAAGGGUAAAACAAUACUAUUGGUCCAAAAAGUAAACACCGCGGAUCGUAAGCCCCGUUCUGUUAGCCUCAAUGGACCAAGUGAAUAACUGUUUUUCGGCCAAGGUACUUCUGGACAAGAGUCACAGGGCUCCACACGCGUCUCCGCCCAUCACAUGAAUGUGAUAGCCUCCCAAGUCCAAGAAGUUUGCUUGUUUCCAAGCCUGUAUUUCUAUAGUAAAUGGCCCGAGGACUUUGCAGAGCCUGGCACCACAUAUGUGUUGACCUUGACCCGCUCACUUCGUCCGCGGUGCAAUGCUUCGCUGGACUUCAAAACAUAAAUUAAACAUGGGCAUACUCUUAAGAAUUCACGAUGUGGGCUCUGUUUUCAAACUCGGACCGGACCGGCCGGUCGAACCGGUUGAACCGGGAACCGGCCAGGUAGCCGGUCCGAGUCACAUUAGAAAACCGGAAAUUUAAAACCCGGUCAAAGCCGGUCAAAAACCGGGUUUGACCGGGUUUGACCGGGAAAAAACCGGUUUUUCCGGUUCAACAGUAUUUUUUUAAAAAAAAAAAUUCAAACUUUUUAAUAUUAUGUUUUGACCCCCUAAAUUGUUAAAACUUAUUGAUAUACCUCAAAUAUUUGAUACUUUAUAAAUAUUGUCCUAAAAUUUGAUGUUAUUUUUCAAUUAAAUUCAUAAUUUUAAUUCUAAACUUGUUAAUAUUUAUUAAAUAAUAUAAAUUGCUACUUGAUUGUUCUAAUUUCUUUGUAUUUUCUUGUUAAAUAUAUUUGAAACAUCAAAUAUAUAUGAAUAUGCCUUUAUUAAUAUCAAUAUAUUAUUAGAUAUUAUAUAUAUAACAUUUUAAUUUUAAAAUAAUUUUUAUUUAUGACGUCAUCCGGUUCGACCCCUAUCGACCCCCGGUCGAACCCAUUGACCCCUGACCCCUGACCUCGGCCGAGUCGCUAUCCGGUCCGGUUCUGAAAACAUAGGAUGUGGGAGGAGUUAAUUUCUACUCUUUAGCUAUUGAGCUAGCUAGGUAAUGGAUUCGAAAUCCCUUGCCUGCAUUUCUCAUCCAGAAUUUUUUGAAAUUUUUUCGCAAGUAAUUUUGUUCCCCUCAAGUUUUUAAUAGAUUAAUCGCGUUGAUCCCCACACUAGGCAAAACGUUAAGGUAGAGAAGUAAAAGAGCAGGGAAAACCGGUCUUCUCAUUAAAUUAUUCUAGCAGAAAUUUAAAGAUUGAAGAAUCCGAGGUCCGACGUGAUUGAACUUUCCACUAAAUGCCAAGACAUUGUGGAUGUUGCAAGUGUGCUAAGGAGGAGCAAAGUUUAGGUACUUCCGGAAUGGAUUAUUAUCACUUUACCUCCUUAAAACUAUAUCACUAUUAUUAAUUUACCUCCUAACAUUAUCUUUUAAUCACUUCACUUCUAUAGGUAAUUCAAUUCAACAUGUUAACAAAUUCUGAACAAAAAUACAUUUUUAUUUUAUAGUAUUAUUGCAUUAUUAUUAUCACUUUAUCUCUUGAAAUUAUAUUGAUACAGUCACUUUAAUAUUAUAUAUUUUAUCGAAUUAAGAUUUUUUUGGAUUUGCAGAAUUUUUGUGAAGAGUACACAUGCUUUGGCAUAAUUAGCACAUGCGUUUGGAAGUCGAACGGGUUGGAUCAAGAAUUGACACAAGUAAUUUGUUUAAUUAAUUUUUUUUUUUUUUUUGUAAAUAAGAGAUAUUGAAUUCAUGGCAUUCUACUUAUAAUUUCUCCCAUCUUAUCAUCCAACUCAAUCUUUCCCUCAAAUUAAACUUAUUAGAUAAAUUGUUGAUUAAACUUGCCAUCAAGUUCGAGCAAUAAAAGCGCAAAGCCACCCACAUCCACUUAUUUUUUUCAUGAGAUUUGGGUCGGACAAUCAAUUGGUUCUUCGUUCAAUCAGUUGAACCGGUCCUUCCAGUCCAAUUUUCAAAACACACCGCCUUCAUUCAUGUUCAUGUCCUCUGGUUUCCCUCCAUCAGGCAAUGCAACAUCAUACGUGCCCAAACAUGUUGCUCAAAUGAAGUCAUUAAUGGCAAUGCAAAAGGUCAUUAACGGCCACUAACUACCAAAUAGAAUUGAUCCAAAGCUGAACGUCGAAAAUCAACAUCAAAUGUGGAGAACCUUGCCCUGGAAUUCUUGCUGCUUUUCUCCUCAAUAAUGGAUUUUGCCAACUGCCCAAUAAUUCACAAAUAUUAAUUACAUGGUACGGCUGCAACAGGUCAUGGCCACAACGGAUCUUCUAUCCCACACUCUAUGCCACUCUCUGUCCCACUUUUUAUUAUAUUGCUAUUUCUUCUACAUAAAGAUCAUAUUUUAGUUCUUUUUUGUUUCCUUAAAAUUAAUAACUAUUAAUUGAGUAAUACACAAAAUUUAACAAACUCAAAAAAUUAAAAUGCAUAAAAAAUGAGAUUUUUUAUGAAUUUUUUGCUAUAUUUUUUAAUUUUCUAUUAUAUAUUACUUUUUUUAAGCUGUUGUAUUUAUUUUUCACUCAAUUAAUAGUUAUUAAAUUUUAAGGAAGUAAAAGAACUAAAACAUAUGUUUAUAUAGGAGAAAUAGCAAUAUAAUAAAAAGUGGGAUAGAGAGUGACAUAGAAUGUGCGACAGAAGAUCCGUUGUGGGUCAAGGCCCUUUUCGUUGAUGCUUGGAGCCAAGUUUGACAGGAACCACUAAUGGUGUAGGAACAUGAGCCAUAAAAACGUGGCCCCGUUUGGAUUGAGAUUUUUCUCAGAAAAAUUGUUACGUUUUCCGUGAACACAUUUUUCUAUCACUUUUUUAUCUCAUAUAUAUCAAAUCGCUACAGUAAUUUUUUUACAAAAAAUCCAGAAAAAUACAAUUUAAACGGGGCCAUUUUUCCGUUAUUCAUUUAUAACCCAUAUCAAAAGUCGGCAGCACUGGAUCCAAAGUGGAGCAACUUAAUUAUUAUUAUUAUCAUUAAUCUUUUGUCUCAUAGCUUUUCUAUACUAUUUUGCAAGCCUCUCUCAUGCAAAUGAUUUCAAUUGUACAAUAUAGAAAUUCAAUAUUUUGACCAAAUCCCUAGUCAUUAAGAGUAGGCAUUUAUAAGGAGUACAAGGGCAGAACAAUGGCAAACCGAAGGCACUCAACCUGUACAUAGGUGGUUCUAAGCUUCCUAUGUGUUGACCUACUUGAUAAGUUAUUUAGAUCACUCAAUUGUUUGUUCUAACCAUACUUGUACAUGACAUCAAGUAAACAUAAAACGAUGGAAAUAUGAGAACUUUUAUGACUAGCGUGAACUUCCACUAGAAAUAAGACACAAAAUAAAAAAGAAAGCAUAUGAAUACGAAGCCAUUAACAAAGAUAUGGAGUGGCAAUAGCAUGUAGAGGAUGUUUUCUGUGAACUGUGAUACCAGAUGCUUCAGUCAUGUCCAGAUCCUCUGGCUUCAUUCCAUCAGGCAAUGCAAAAUUAAAUUUGUUGACCAAUUUUGCCAAUGCAAGUUCAUUUACGGAUAUGGCGAAGUUGAUACCCGGGCAAACCCUUCGUCCAGAACCAAAAGGAAUUAACUCAAAGUUAAGACCUCGAAAAUCUAUUUUGGAAUUCAAAAACCUCUCAGGUUGAAAUUCCUCAGGGUUCUCCCAUAGAAUGGGGUCUCUUGCAAUUGCACUAGCAUUCACCAACACUAGUGUGCCUGCUGGUAUAUCACACCCCAUUAUUUUGAUGUCUCGAGUUGAUUCUCGAGGAACCAGUAAUGGAGCAGGAACAUGAAAUCGUAGAGUUUCUUUAAUCACUGCUUUUAAGUAUCUCAUCUUCUCCAAAUCAUCUUGAGUUAUUUCUGGUUUUCCCUGGGUCAGUUCUCUUACCUCAGCCUGUAAUUUCUGCAAGGUUAUAGGUUUCUUUAGCAGUUCUGACAUUGCCCAUUCCAUAACUGACUGUGUUGUGUCAGUUCCAUCGCCAAACAUGUUCUGCAUGACGGAAUGAAAGAAAGUGUUGCUUUAGAACAUGCAUAGAUGCGCCUUUUUUUUUAAUCUAAAUUUCCAAUUUCAAAAAAAAUUGGCACGUUUGCACCCAAGCAAUAAAUUUGUAUCAUACCUUUCCAAGGAAAAAGAAAAAUGAAGACAAAUUAACAAUAUUCAUACUAUCGCAAUAAGCGUUUAAUUACCACAUACAAGACGAAACAUUAUGUUACUUUUCCCUCUAAAAUGUUGAUUAUUAUUGCUCAUUUUUCCUCCAAAAUCUGCAGUUCUGGUAUGCAAUCCAAUUUUAGAAACUCAAUCGUGAAGUGCAAAAGCUGAAGAUUUACGUAGUAGAGUUGAACUUGUCAAAAGAUUAAUAGGUUUAGGUACAUGUAAAUUUAAAAGUUACCAUGUUAUACAUUUAUUUCAGUCAGAAGUUUAAUGCAUGUCAAGUUUUUUGCAUCACUGGACAGAUAACAAAUCCUUAAACCUUAUCGUUUUGGAAACAUUAAAUGGUCUCAAGUUUAAGUGCAUAAAGUUCGGUUAACCCAAGCAACCAUUGAGGAUUUUUUUUUUUUUUGAAAAUUUUUUACAAGAGAAGGUAUUCAAAUGCAAGGGAUGAAUUUUUCUUUUAAUCUGAUAACAAGGGAAGGUAUUCAAAUAUAAGGGACGAAAAUGAGUGUGAUUACAUACAUUCAUAGUAAUUUUGAUAUAAAUUAAAUAUACUAAAGAGUGUAUAUAUAUAGAGUUGUGUGGUAAUUUUAGAAUUUUUAUAGUGAGUCAACCCUUUUUGUAUGUUUAUUUAAUAUCCUUACCUCUUGUUUGGUAUGCAGUAAUGUCCAAAAUAAUAAGGUCUUCUACCCAAAAUGGCAGGGAUAAAUAUUUAUCAUUAUUCAUUCUUCAAUAUUUAGUGUGAUCAAUAUUUAGAUGUUAGAAUAGAAUACAAUUAAUACAUAUUUGACUUAAUUAUCCUAGAUAUGUUUAUGACUUUUAUUUUUUGUUCUAGUAUGUUAAUCUUUUGUUUACAUGGAAUUCGCUCAUUUUUUGCUUCAGAAUCUUUUGUUUACAUGGAAUUUCUACUAUGUAAUCUUUUGUUUUCAUUUUUUUAUGAAAUUCAAAAAAAAAAAAAUUCCAUACAACUGUUGGACAGAAUCAGGUCAAACCUGAUGAAUCCGAAAAGAAAACAAGCCGAAUUUAGGUCACCCACGGGUUGACCUAUUAACCUGUUUAUGAAUUAAAAAUAAUUUAAUAAAUAUAAAAAAAUUUUAUCCAUCUAAACUAAGUUAUUCUUUUUUUUCCAAGGUAUUAACCACUUAAUCCUAAAUAAAUUUGUUAAACUUGUGUGAAUCAUUAUGUUUGGACAAAUGAUGUAUUACAUUAUUUUCUAAUUUUAUAGGGUCUUAAUUUAUUUUAGAUCUGGUUUGGGAUAAAAACACUUUUACGGUAUUUUAAUUUAUUUCAGAUCUGGUUUGAAAUUGUUUUAUCGAGAUUUUUAUUACUUCAUUAUGCAAUUAGUCUUGUGAGAAAUUAGUUCUGUUAAAAACUACAAUGGUAAAUUAGUAAAUUGAAAUUAUGUUUCGGGUCAUUCAGGUGAUCCGCCAACCCGAAAAUUUCGGAUUCAGGUCAAAUAUUCUAACCCGUUGUGAGUUGACGGAUUGUGUUCGGGUCAGCGGAUUGUCUAUUGUACAUGGGUCUCAACCCGACCCGUCUACCCAUAUCUGACCCAACUGCCAUUCACAAGAUUUUAUGUUAAAGCAAGAAAAAAAAUAAAAAAAAUGAGUCAAACUCAAACAUAAACCGAUCAAACCGGACAAACCUGGUAAAACUCCAACUGUUGAACAGGCUAGCCACUAGAAAUUUUUUCCCUUUAUAUAAUUGGUAUUAUUCAAAUUUUCUAAUUAUAACUAAAAUGAGAAAACAUUUAAUUGAAUUAGUGGUUGAACCAUGAAGGCAUGAACAAAAAGCUCAUCCGGUUCAUUCAACCAUCCGAGUUUAAUAAUAUUGAAUUCAGUAAACCUUACAAACCAAAUAGAUUUUGAUCUUGCACAUCGGAGUAAAGGAGGAGGAUGCCAUUUACUAAGUUGUCAUGUCCAAGUCAACUAAACUAAAAACAUUUGUAUGACAGUACCAAACAAAAUCCAAACCUUCCAGCCCAGUGCAAGUCACUACCUUCAAAACUAGUACUAGAUGAUUUAUUACUAAUAAACAAAAUUCUUUUCAGAGUUGAAACUAAUUAUAAAUUCUCAUAGUGCGAUGCAAUUAAAGAGAUGGAGAGAGAUCUAAUUUACCAGGAUGAUGGCUUUCAUAUCAUCACGGCCAAAAGCGAAGCCGAUAGUUCUUUCCUUAUUAACCUCGAUCAGAAUGUCCACAAAGUCUAGGCAUCUUGCCUCAACGGAAUGGUCAUUUUCAGCCUCACCUUUCCUCUUAUUUAUGUGCUCUUCUAUCACACCCUCAAGAAAUUCAUCAAUCAGCUUAACAAAUUUCUCCACUUUCAAGUCCAAACCAUUGAAACGAUUAACCCAUGAAAGCCAAGGAAUGUAGUCUCCUACAUCAAAAACACCCAUUAACUCAACAAAAACCCUCAAAUUUUCCAUAAUUUUCCUCCCUUUUUCUUCCUCACUAUACUUCCUCCCCAGGGCAACCCUACAAAUUAUAUCAUUUGUGAGAGUUACAAAUAUUUCAGUUAAGUUUACAGGUGAAGAAGAACACAUCUGACUGAUCUUUUCGAUCAUGAGUGAAGUCUCUUCUUCUCUAACAUGCUGAUAUGACUGAACCCUUUUGUUACUCAAAAGAUGCAGCACACAAAUGCUUUUGGCUUGUCUCCAAUAGUCACCAUACGGUGUAAAUACUACGUCCUUACUUCCGUAGAAUAGUCUGUCUUUAACGCUCGAUUUAGGCCUGUUUGAAAAAACCAGAUCAUGGGUUUUCAUGAUCUGGCUAGCUGCAUCAGCGGAAGAGGCUACCAGCACUGGCUUGCUUCCAAAAUGAAGUAGCAUGAGUGGGCCAUAUUUUCUUGACAAUGAUUGGAGGGAUCUGUGCGGAAGCAAGCCAAGCUGGUGAAUAUUUCCAAUUAUUGGGAGCUUUGGUGGAGAUGGUGGUAGCUUUGUUUGGGGUUUAGAAACAGCAUGGAACCAUUUCAAAAGGGCUAGAAGGAAUACAACUGAGGAAACUGAGAAAAAUAAAAGAUCAAAAGAGAACGCCAUGGUCUAUAUGAUCUUGGGUUUGCCUAUUAAUGGGCUACUCUUCUUAUAUAAGAUUACAUACUGCUUUUAGAAUUGAAAUCCCAAUAAUACACCAGACAACAUUAGGAUGAUUUAAGCCGCGCGGUAUUGCAUAUAGGAGGGAUGAAUUAGAUAGUGCAGAUAAAGAGAGUGUAGGUGAGAGGUUUUAAAUUUAAAAUUUUUAUCUAAACUUAAAAGAAAAAAGGGGCCCACAUGUUACACAGGACAAAAUUAAUUGAUUGGUCUCUGAUUUAUCUUUUGGAGCUAUGGUUUUUUUGUCUGAUUUAUAUUAUUGGUCUCUGAUUUAUCUUUCCCAACGCUCUUGGACCUAUGGUAUUGGAAUCAUGGAGAAAACUCCUUCGUGAAAAAAUAACCAUUCACAUUUUGCAAAAUUUGAUUCCAAGAAAUAGGAAAAAGACGUUUAGCAUAGCAUAUCUUUUUCUCCUUGGAUGAAGAAAGCCGGAACAUCGAUUAUUCCCUUUCGGCCAUAGUCCACAGCCGGCAGUUGAUUCUCCUUGUUGCCACGCACGUCUUAUCAAAUUAUGUAACAAAAUUUCAACGGUUAGGUACAGAAAUAGGUAACUCCGUCUAGGUUGCCACAAUCAAUUAUAGCUAUCAUUUUGUGUCUUUGAAGAAAAUUUGACAUGCAAUUUUCGUAUUUUCAAGUUUGAACUAAUGUUUGCCAAUCCUAAGACUUACAAGUCUUGGAAAGUUGGGAGGUCAAGGGUUCAACCCUUACCUCCUGUUAAAUUUGCCACUUAAUUGUAACUGUCACUUUCAGGUGGCUUUCUUCGACGGAGUUUCUUGUCGAUUCCUCCUCCCCUUAGACUAAAUUAGAGUAGGUUAUACGACUAUUAUCGUUGCGACAAAAAAAAAAGUUUGAACUAAUGUUUAAUAGUAUAAAUGCACCAUAUGCUUGUGACUUGUGAGUUUGGAUUUUCUUUCGGAAUCUUGAGGAACUAAUAUUUGGAAAUUUUAUUAAUUAACUUUUUCUACCAAGGCACGAUAUUCUUCAACUCUAGAAAUAUUCGAAUAUAAAGUAUUACCUCGUUUGACAAAAAAAAAAAAAAAAAAAAAGAGUAUAGUGUAUUACCUCAUGAAAUGUAUUACCAUGAGCUGAUUAAGCUGUAAUUGGUUUAUGUUCAUAAUACUGGCUUCUGUAGGUGAGUGUGAUGGGACCAUCACAGAUCAAACCACGUGAUUUGAAGAUUAUGAGUUUUAUCUAUAGUAAAUUUGGCAAUUGUUACGCCUUUCAAAAACUAAUGAUUAGUCUAACUCAUUGGAUAAUCAAAAGAUUUUGCUUUACUUGGUUUUAUUUGUUAUACAAUAAAAUUUCUGCUCCAAAACGCUAUAUAUAGCAUUUGAAGCUAUGCUAAGAUGGAAUAGCCCCAUGGCACUCUCUCUGCACUCGUAAUAUCAUAGAGUAAUCAAAUCAUCAAACCAUUCAUAGUUUGCAUAAUAGCCCCCAAGAAACAGGAAAAAAAUGGUUUUGCUGAUAAAAGUAGGUCCUUGACGCAAUUAUGCACUGCAACAUCUUAUCAAAUGAAAGAAGUACAGUUUUCCAAAAUCAAUCAUAGGGAAUUUGAACUGUUAUUCCUUCGAAACGAGGGAUUUAAUUACAAUUUUCUGUUGUUUCAAAUUUUCAACUGUUAGAUACAGAAAGCAUCCUUCUCUCUGAUGUUCCCAAAUUGAUGCAAAUUCUACAUCCAACUCAGAGUUAUCCUGCAGCUGAACUGUUGGAUAGGCAUAAUAAGAGAUAACUCAGUAUACAAACCUUUUUUAAUUAUUGAUCAGUAGCUUAAAUACAAUUUGCCAACACUAGAUAUUUGCUGUCUGGUUAUUUGGAGAAUAGAUCAGUAUAAGGUCCACAUUUAUACUUGAAAAGAUAGGUAAAGAAGGCCUCUAACUUGUUUACCAGUUUUGCCAAUGCAAGCUUGUUGACAGCCACAACAAAGGUAGUACCAGGGCAACCCCUGCGUCCAGCACCAAAUGGAAUUAACUCAGAGUUAAAACCUCUCUGGCUGAAAUUCUGCAGGCUGAAUCCAAGCAAUGGAUCUCGUGCAAUUGCCCAAGCAUUUACCAUUACUGCUGCACCUGCUGGUAUAUCAUACCCCAUUAUCCUAACGUGUUUAGUUGAUUCUCGACGAACGAAAUAAUGAGAUUGAAGUAUGAAGUCGUAAAGUCUCCUUGAACACUGCUUUCAAGUACUGCAUUUUGUCUAAAUCAUCUUCACUGAUUUCUGAUUUUCCUUCAGUUAUUUGUCUUACCUCAGUUUGCAAUUUCUCCAGGAUUUUGGGGUGCCUCAGAAGUUCAGUCAUUGGCCACUCCAUAUUGCAUCAGUCCUGCACCAAACACGUCCUAAUCAUGGGAUUUGAAAAAGAAAAAGGAAAUGCUGUUUUAUUGAAAAAAAUGACAUUCAAAGUUGAAAAAAAAUGACAUUCAAAGUUGAAGAAAAUGACAUUCAAACACAUCUUUUCUAUUUCAAAGUUGACGUGGAUUUAUAUGAUUGUUUAUCUGAAAGUUAACGUUGAAUUGUAUACCAUAACAAAACAAAACUAAUAGGGUAGCAUAAUAAUUUGUUCUCUUUUUUUGAUACUCUGUGAUUGAUUUUAUCUCCUACCCUGCAAUUAAAAAAAUCUAAAAAGUGUGUUAGAUCACCUCUUUAGUUUAGAUGAGCUCGUCUUCCAUCUAACUCCUUAUACAACCCAUUUAGAUUCCCCCUCUCUCCUAGAAUAGGAUAGUAUAAAUGUAGCUAAUUGACAAAAAAAAAAAAAAAAAAAUUCUAAUUACGCAAAACAAAAUGUUUAACUCCAGGUACAAGUAGAAUAGAAUUUUAGUCUUCUACAAAAUACUGUUUAUUACUAAAGCUCUGUAUGGAUUAGAUAUUUUUAGACCUGAUUUUCAUAAAUUUUACUAUAACAGUAUAUAUGAAAAAAUUGUUACUAUAGUUUUUUAUUGAACUGUUUUUAGAAUUUUAAAUAUUAUUGUUGGGAUAUUUGUAAUAUAAAAAUCCCCCCUACCUCCACCCCUGCCCUCCUCCUCUCUUCUCUCUCACUUUUUCUCCCUUUCCUUCCUCCCCUCUCCCUUAACUUCUUCGAAAUUAGGAAAUGGAAGAAAGCCCAAUUUUAUUUUUUCUUUUUUUAAGUGCUAUAAUUGGCUAUUUGCCUAAUCUUGAAGAAGCAUAGGAAUAGUAAGACCAAGAUAAGGAGAAGAGACAAUGAAAAAUCCAAAAUGAACAAAUUAGCAAUGAAAAUGCAAAGGUCCUUGAUAAGCCUCUCGUGGUUAUGGUUGUGUUUAAAUAACAAAUCCAUGCGUGUGGCUUGACUCUUGAAUAUUUCAAACACAUAUUAUUGUACAAAAGUAAUUUUUUUUUUUUUGAGGAGAAACAAAAGAGUAAGUUGUCUUUGUCAAUAAUAAAUCUUGAAGAUUACCAUCGGAAUUGAACCCAAUUAAAGUUUUACUUACACAUAUAUACUCCUUGUUCAAAUUAUGUUUGGUUCAAUAAUGGAAUUACUUCAUACACGUGAACGCAGCAGUAUAAAUAUGUAGUCAUCGAUUAACAAUGGAGAAUUACUUAAAGGUUGGUAUAAUAAGAAUUGAACACUACAAUAGAGAAGGAAAAUAAACUGAACAAAGAAGAAAAAAAAAUAAAGGACAACAAAUUACAAUUAAUAGGAAUUUGGCACCGAUUUUUGUUAUUUUAUUUUCCCAAGUAAUUAAAAAGAUAAAAUUACUAGAUAAAAUAAAAUAAAAUAAAAUAACUAUAGGAUGAGAUAAGGGUUCCUAAUAAACUGAAACUCUUACCCAAACCACCUACUAGUAGGUAGUGCUAGGUUUAGGAUUUUAUUGAAACCUUAACAAGAAAAAUAACACCCUCCUUGCCUUUCUUUCGUCUGCCUCCCUAGAGCAAGAGCCGUCAGAGAAUAGAGAAGGAGAAGCAGGUGACACUGUCAAUCGAUCAGACGACUAGGCACAUAAACCUGUAAGUCCCGAGUUCACGUAAAAUUCCUCUUUUAAGUUUUAAUAGUUGAAUUAAUUGUCCUAGAAAUUUUACGAAUAUGGAUUGUUGCUAUAUAUAUGUAGACAUAUAUAUUUUUAGGAAGAUUUAUAAGUGGAUAUGUAGGAAUAGGGUGUUAGAUUUGAAUCUGUGAGUAAAUAGGUUGCCCAAAUCUGGUGCAGGAAAAACAAAAACAAAACAAAAAAAAGGGAAGAGAAGAGCUGCUGCUCUGUUUUGGCUAGGCGUUGCAGCAACGCCGCACACACAAAAAGGAAAGAGUGGGGGGCCGCCAUCUCUGGCGGCAGAGAAAGAAUUUGCAAAAGUUGGCAUUUCGGCCAACCCAUCACCGAAGCAAAAAAAAAAAAAAAAAAAAAAAAUAUUGAAUAUGAUGUCGCCAGCACUUGCUGGCAACAAUGAACAAAAAGUCAUGGUUCGCCUUUUGGCCAACCAAUGGAAGCAAAGGGUCGCCAGCAAGUCUGGCGACCAUGGUCAGACAACUGGUUGGCCAUGGGUUCAACCCGAGGACGGAGAAAAUUUGGCAAAUUAGACAGGGGCCAAAAUAUAAUAUAAAAUGUAGUAAAUGUGUAAUAAAUUAUAAAUUAUAGCUUAUCGUGGGUAUUAAAAAUUCAGGACCCAAUUUAAAAUAAUUGUUAGAAUUGAAAGGUUAGUCAUGUAAAAUUAUACUUAGUUAAUUACGUAUAAGAUACUUAAAUGGAAAUCUAAAAACAUUAACUCCAUUUGGACUAGCUGAUUUUAAGGGUGUUUUUGAAAAAAUUUACUGUAACAGUGUAUAUGAAAAAUUUUUACUUUAAAAUUUUUUUUGAAGUAUAUUUGAUAUAUUGUAUAGACGAAAUGUUUUUUGAAUUAUUGCAUAUUACUGUAACAUUGUAUUUGAAAAACUUGUUUUUGAAAAAUGGUCAAUCCAAACAGAGCGAUUGUAAUUUAGUCGUAUUAAGCCAAAUUGGACAAGGUGAGAUAAGUUUUAAAUGGCUAAACGAAAUGCUUAAAAUAAUAAUAAUAAUAAUGCUGAUAAUAAUACUAAUAAUAACACUAAUGAUAAUAAUCCUAGUAGUAAAUAAUAAUGUUGACGAUAACACUAAUAAUAACGAUAACAAUAAUAAUGAAUAAUUAUAAAUUAUAAAUAUGUAUAAUAAGAUAAUAGUCAAGAUAAUAAACAUGAUUAGGAAUAAUUAUUUUCUUUUAAAUUAUAAAACUUUACAAAAAGGCAAACUUUCCAAAUUAAGAAACUUUCUAAAAAUAGAAACUUUCCAAAUUAGAAAACUUUCCAAAAAUGGGAAUCGUCCAAUUUAGGGAAAAUGCUGUUAGGGUUCAUACAAUGGUCUAGACACGAAUAUUCGACUUACUCAGAGUUUGUAUGUUAUGUAUUUAUAGGAAAUAACAACUAAUUAGGAAGCUUAUGCAUUUGAUAGGUACGGUACCAGUUUAAGAGAUCUAAGGUAGUUCUACUCGAGCAGUCAAACGAAGGUAGGUGGUACUUACCCUUCUGAGAUUUCAAAGGUGCAAAAAUGAAAGUUUUGUUUUCAAUCUUGUUUUGUUGUGUUGACUCGAAACAUAUUUGAUUAAAUGUUUUACUUGGGUAUUGAUGAAGGUUAUAUUUUUACUAUAUAAAAAUGGACCAUGUGACUUAUUUGAAAUGUUUUGAUAUGUUAUUAUAUACCAAACGAGUUGAAUCUUUUAUGAAAUCAAAGAUUUAUGUAUAUGACGUGUGGAAUGAAUUUUUGACAAGUAAAACUCAAAACAGUCAUGGAAUAGACGGUAGGGGCUAUAGUCCUGCUUAAUCGUCAUGGUAGUCUAGUAUAAAGUCCGACCGAUUGACAAGGUCAUGGUAGUCUGGUAUAGAGUCCGACCGAUUGACAAAACCAUGGUAGCCUGGUAUAAAAUCCGGCCGAUUGGCAAGGUCAUGGUAGCCUGGUAUAAAGUCCGGCCGAUUGACCCAUGUAUGAAAAGAGGCCAAUCGGUAGUCAUGAAAUCUAUUGGUCGCCCACCUAGAAGGGGUUUAAUCUCUAAACUGAGUACUCAAUAGCCGAUCAUCACAUGUACUUGUUAUGAGUUAAUAUGAAAUGAUUUAUGAGUUAAUAUGAAAUGAUUUAUGAGUUGAUAUAGAAUGAUUUAUGAACUGAUCUGAAAUGAGACCUAUAAACUGAUUUGUGAAUUGAUUUAUGAGUGGAUAUGAAGAGACUUGUGAAUUGAGAUGAAAUGAUUUAUGACUUAUGAUUUUCCAUAUUCAUUUAUCAAUAGGGUGCUUUUAAAUUGCUUGCCACUUGUUACUACUGAUUGCUUUAUAAACGACGUUACUUUCAAAAUUAUGGAUGUGAUUGAUGCCCAAAUGAUUUGCUACGUAUCUAUAUGUAUGUAUCUAUAAAAUUACGAGUACAUGGUCCAACAGAGGGGUAGUUAUUACCUACUGGGUGAUUUGUCGCUCAACUCACUUUUUAUCAUUCUUGCAGAUUCUGAAGAGUAUGAGUUGGUUUACGUAGAAGACCCUGAGGACGACUUUUAUUAGCUUUAAGUGAAUAGAAGUUGGCAGGCUAGCUACUUCUAGUUGUUAGUCUUAUUUAUUUUCGAUUCCGCUGUUUCCAUUAAAAAAUAAAUAUACGAACAUAUUGGAUAUUCGUAGAUUACAUUUUUAUGAGAUUUGUACCGCAUUUUAUUUUAGUUAUAUUAUUUCGUACUUUUGAAGUUUAGACUAGUUAAAUGAUGCCUUGUAUUCUUGAGCGGGAUUUGAGAAUACGGCAAGAUGUCACGUGACGGGCACGUGCGGGCUCGGGGCAUGACAUUUUUAGUGGUAUCAAAGCUUAGGUUUUAUGAUCUGGAAGUGUGAGAAAUGAUGUGUGGAUAUUAAUGAUCUUGGAGAUGGAAAGGAGAUGCAAAACAGAUCAAGAGAUUCCUAUGAUAUUUAGUGGUAUUAUAGCUCAAGUUGUGAUAGAAUGAAGUAGGUGUAAAGAUACUGGAGAUAUUUGUGAUUUUGAGAAUUGGAAUGAAAUGGAUAAGGGAUUAAAAGAAAAUUAGUGACUCCAUAACAUUUAAUGGUAUUAGAAUUUUAGGUUACGAAUUUACUGGAAUGACCUCAGGUAUUGAGAUGGUGAUUACUUUUAGUAAGUAAGUGGUGACUAAAUGUAUAUGUUAAGUUGAAAAGGUAACCAAGCCCACUUGCCAAAUAUGAUUGACACUUACAAAAAAUAAUAAUAAUAAUAAAAGGGUAUUUAGGGUGUUCUUUUUGUAAGUUUUGAUCUCUAUAGUACAUUUGAAGUUUAUCAUUUACAUGUCAGAUUUAUGGAUGAUCUUAUGUCUAGUUGAAGUCUAGUAAAGAGAAAACUGAAAAUAUUGAGGAAAUUAGAGUGCACAACGAGAGUAUAAAUGAUCAACAAUAUGAUGUCAUCGAAUGCAAGCAAUAUACGUUGGAUCUUGGAAUUUUGUUGACUUAUUUUGAGGUUUACGAUAAUUAGAUCUAAUGCUCAAGACAUUUAUUAAAUUAGUUGAUAUUAUUAGUUCUGGUAUUAUUACAUCAUGAUCAGGCAAGACAUAUUUUAUAAAUUUCUUACAGUAUAUAACUUUACAUAAUUUUUACCUAAAAAUGAAUAAACGGUGAAACCAAAAUUUUAUUUGCACAAAUAGUUUUUAAUCAGAAUUUUUAAAUAUGUACCUUUACCUUACAGUUGCUUGGUAAGUUUAGUUUAUAAAUAUAUAUGUAUAUAUAUCUAUAAGAAAAAAAUAAAUACAUUGAAUAAUUAUAUCCUACAAUCUUGUGCAAAAUGUUUUUUUUAUACUCACCCAAUCUCAAAAGAGCUUUAGAUAUAUGUAUUCUACAAAAAAAAAAUUUAUCGUAUAGAAAAAUCUAACAAUAAUUCUUGAUAAAUUCUCUUUGUACUCUAAGUUCUAAUAGUAUUAGAAGUACAAUUAGUUGACUUAUGUUUCAAACACUGGUAGGCUUCUAAACUUGUGUGAGUUUGAAAUUCUAUGCAUAGAUAAUACUUUACCAAGGUUAUGAUAAAAUUAUUAAUCUCCUAUAUGAGAAUUUGGUGAUAAUUUUUGUACAAAAUUUUCUAUAUUUUUGUAUGACCAAGAAGUUUGUGAAAUGAUAUUUGAGAUAUUAAUGUUUUCAGAAAUUGAAUUGAGUUAGGAAAAAGAAAAUGACCAAAGGAAAUAAGAUUCCCAUGGCAUUUAGUGGUAAAUAACUCAAGUUAUAGGAUCUGGAAAUAGGAGUGAUGCUAUUUGAGGUAUUAUUGAUCUUUUUGGAAUUUGAAAUGAGGUAAAUAUGAGAUUUGAGGGAAGUAAAGGAUUUGCAUCACCAAUUACAAAUACAGUGGGCAAGAACCCAUAUAUCGAGAUAAGGACUACUUUUGCGAUAGUGGAUAAGUAAGUUGUGAUAGAAUGUGUGACAAAAGAAGAAAUGGUACUGUUAGUGUUUAUGGCAUCCUUUCUAUAGGUUGAUCUCUAUAGAGCGGUAUAAGUCGAUAUUUAAAAUGUUGGAUUUGUGAGAGAUAUUAUGUUCGUCUGCGCUAUAUAACUAUGAAGAUGGGAGGUAUAAGGAAAAAUAAGAGUGCGUAGCAGAAGCUUGAUGGAAUUAAAUAAGGAAAUCCAAUUUAGACAUUAUAGGAAUAAUCUCCAAGAUGUAUUGCAAGAACAUUGGGAAUUUUGUUAACUUAUUUUGAUGUUUAUAUCUUGUAGGUUUCGAGAUGUUUAUAUUUUGUUAACUUAUUUAAAAGGGGGAGAGAAUGUGAUAUCUUGUCUAAAAAUGAAUUAUGAAAGUAGUGUCGAAUUAGGACCCUAAAUUCACGUUUAGAUUUUAGUCGACCUAUCAAGAGAUUAUGGAGACUGAUAUCUAAGACUAAAUACCGUCUUCCACCCUCAGAUGAUGGACAGUCGGAAAAGACCAUACAAACUCUGGAAGACAUGCUCCGAGCCUGUGCACUAGACUUCGCAGAUAGUUGGGAUAGGUUGGUGAAACUAAUGGAGUUCUCGUACAAUAAUAGCUAUCAUAGCAGUAUAGGUAUGGCACCGUUUGAAGCGUUGUAUGGACGAAAGUGUAGAUCCCCCUUAUAUUGGGAUGAAAUAGGUGAGAAACUGAUCACUGGCCCUGAUUUGGUGGAACGAACUUUGGAGAAAAUUAAGAUUAUUCGGAAAAGAUUAAAAGUAGCUCAGGACCAAAACAAGAGUUGGGCGGAUUCAAAAAGGAGACCUUUGCAGUUCCAACAGGGAGAAAAGGUAUAUUUGAAAGUAUCCCUUACCAAGGGAGUGUUGGGAUUUGGACGAAGUGGUAAGUUAAGUCCGAGGUAUGUAGGACCUUACGAAAUACUGGAUAGAAUUAGACCUCUAGUGUAUCGACUGGCUCUCCCACCUGUUUUGUCAAGGAUACAUAAUGUUUUUCAUGUCUCCCAACUGAGGAGGUAUGUAUCAAACCCGAGCCAUAUUUUGGAGGACUAGCCCGUCGAGGUGAGGGAGAACUUAUCAGUGGAGGAAGUUCCUUUAAGAAUCAUGGAUCGGAAGGACCACACCCUAUGUCAAGGUGCAAUGGACGAAUCAUACACCACGAGAGGAAACGUGGGAGUUAGAAGAGGACAUGCGGAAUAGAUACCCAUAUCUUUUUGAUCAAGGUACGUAAGUUUCAAGAACGAAACUUUUUGUAAGCGGGGUAGAAUGUAAAACCCACAAUUUUUGGCACCGAUUUUUGUUAUUUUAUUUUCCCAAGUAAUUAAAAAGAUAAAAUUACUAGAUAAAAUAAAAUAAAAUAAAAUAACUAUAGGAUGAGAUAAGGGUUCCUAAUAAACUGAAACUCUUACCCAAACCACCUACUAGUAGGUAGUGCUAGGUUUAGGAUUUUAUUGAAACCUUAACAAGAAAAAUAACACCCUCCUUGCCUUUCUUUCGUCUGCCUCCCUAGAGCAAGAGCCGUCAGAGAAUAAAGAAGGAGAAGCAGGCGACACCGUCAAUCGAUUAGACGACUAGGCACCUAAACCUGUAAGUCCCGAGUUCACGCAAAAUUCCUCUUUUAAGUUUUAGUAGUUGAAUUAAUUGCCCUAGAAAUUUUACGAAUAUGGAUUGUUGCUAUAUAUAUGUAGAUAUAUAUAUUUUUAGGAAAAUUCAUAGGUGCAUCCGAAUGAAUAGGGUGUUAGAUUUGAAUCUGUGAGUAAAUAGGUUGCCCAAAUCUGGUGCAAGAAAAACAAAAACAAAAACAAAAACAAAAAAAAAGGGAAGAGAAGAGCAGCGGCUGCUGCCGUUGCUUUGUUUUGGCUAGGCGUUGCAGCAACACCGCACACACAAAAAGGGAAGAGUGGGGGGCUGCCAUCUCUGGCGGCAGAGAAAGAAUUUGCAAAAGUUGGCAUUUCGGCCAACCCAACACCGAAGCAAAAAAAAAAAAAAAUUGAAGAGGAUGUCGCCAGCACUUGCUGGCAACAAUGAACAAAAGUCAUGGUUGGCCUUUUGGCCAACCAAUGGAAGCAAAGGGUCGCCAGCAAGUCUGGCGACCAUGGUCAGACAACUGGUUGGCCUUUUGGCCAACCAUGGGUUCAACCCGAGGACGGAGAAAAUUUGGUAAAUUAUACAGGGGCCAAAAUAUAAUAUAAAAUGUAGUAAAUGUGUAAUAAAUUAUAAAUUAUAGUUUAUCAUGGGUAUUAAAAAUUCAGGACCCAAUUUAAAAUAAUUGUUAGAAUUGAAAGGUUAGUCAUGUAAAAUUAUACUUAGUUAAUUACGUAUAGGAUACUUAAAUGAAAAUCUAAAAACAUUGUAAUUUAGUCGUAUUAAGCCAAAUUGGACAAGGUGAGAUAAGUUUUAAAUGGUUAAACGAAAUGCUUAAAAUAUUAAUAAUAAUAAUGCUGAUAAUAAUACUAAUAAUAACACUAAUGAUAAUAAUCCUAGUAGUAAAUAAUAAUGUUGACGAUAACACUAAUCAUAAUGAUAACAAUAAUAAUGAAUAAUUAUAAAUUAUAAAUGUGUAUAAUAAGAUAAUAGUCAAGAUAAUAAACAUGAUUAGGAAUAAUUAUUUUCUUUUAAAUUAUAAAACUUUACAAAAAGGUGAACUUUCCAAAUUAAGAAAUUUUCUAAAAAUAGAAACUUUCCAAAAAUGGAAAUUGUCCAAUUUAGGGAAAAUGCUGUUAGGGUUCAUACAAUGGUCUAGACACGAAUCUUCGACUUACUUAGAGUUUGUAUGUUAUGUAUUUAUAGGAAAUAACAACUAAUUAGGAAGCCUAUGCAUUUGAUGGGUACGAUACCAGUUUAAGAGACCUAUGGUAGUUCCACUCGAGCAGCCAGACGAAGGUAGGUGGUACUUACCCUUUUGAGAUUUCAAAGGUGCAAAAAUGAAAGUUUUGUUUUCAAUCUUGUUUUGUUGUGUUGACUCGAAACAUAUUUGAUUAAAUGUUUUACUUGGGUAUUGAUGAAGGUUAUAUUUUUACUAUACAAAAAUGGACCAUGUGACUUAUUUGAAAUGUUUUGAAAUGUUAUUAUAUACCAAACGAGUUGAAUCUUUUAUGAAAUCAAAGAUUUAUGUAUAUGACGUGUGGAAUGAAUUUUUGAUAAGUAAAGCUCAAAACAGUCAUGGAAUAGACGGUAGGGGCUAUAGUCUUGCUUAAUCGUCAUGGUAGCCUGGUAUAAAAUCCGAUCGAUUGACAAGGUCAUGGUAGCCUGGUAUAGAGUCCGGCCGAUUGACAAAACCAUGGUAACCUGGUAUAAAGUCCGGCCGAUUGAUCCAUGUAUGAAAAGAGGCCAAUCGGUAGUCAUGAAACCUAUUGGUUGCCCACCUAGAAGGGGUUUAAUCUCUAGGCUGAGUAUUCAGUAGCCGAUCAUCACAUGUACUUGUUAUGAGCUAAUAUGAAAUGAUUUAUGAGCUAAUAUGAAAUGAUUUAUGAGUUGAUAUGGAAGAAUUUAUGAACUGAUCUAAAAUGAGACCUAUGAACCGAUUUGUGAAUUGAUUUAUGAGUGGAUAUGAAGAGACUUGUGAAUUGAGAUGAAAUGAUUUAUGACUUAUGAUUUUCCAUAUUCAUUUAUCAAUAGGGUGCUUUUAAAUUGCUUGCCACUUGUUACUACUGAUUGCUUUAUAAACGACGUUACUUUCAAAAUUAUGGAUGUGAUUGAUACGCAAAUGAUUUGCUAUGUAUCUUUAUGUAUGUAUCUAUAAAAUUACGAGUACAUGGUCCAACAGAGGGGUAGUUAUUACCUACUGGGCGAUUUGUCGCUCAACCCACUUUUUACCAUCCUUGCAGAUUCUGAAGAGUAUGAGUUGGUUUACGUAGAAGACCCUGAGGACGACUUUCAUUAGCUUUAAGUGAAUAGAAGUUGACAGGCUAGCUACUUCUAGUUGUUAGUCUUAUUUAUUUUCGAUUCCGCUAUUUCCAUUAGAAAAUAAAUGUACGAACAUAUUGGAUAUUCGUAGACUACUUUUUUAUGAGAUUUGUACCGCACUUUAUUUUAGUUAUAUUAUUUCGUACUUUUGAAGUUUAGACUAGUAAAUGAUGCCUUGUAUUCUUAAGCGGGAUUUGAGAAUACGGCGGAUGUCAUGUGACGGGCACGUGCGGGCUCGGGGCGUGACAUGAACUAUCAUCCGAAAGAAUAUACAACUCAAACUAUUAAUAUUAAGUUAUAAUUCAAAAAGAUAUACAGAAGCUAAAAUGAAUUUGGCUUAAUGCCAUUUCUCACCAGGUAAUUUAAUAUUUUGUCCUUCCUUCCAUGUGAUCGUGGGGGAGGUUUAAGCUUCAAAGGUCAAAGCUCAAAACUCCAAGUUGAUUGACUAUUUCAAAAUUUCAAUUGCAUGCUUUGCAUAUCGAUGCAGAUCAAAUCUAUUUUUUUCUGCAAUUAAAGGUAGAAUAUCAUUCGACUAUUACCAUUAUCAUCAGCAGAUAACAUUCUGAUAAGCAUUGCUUUGUUAAUUGUGCUACCACAACUGAGGAUAAUGCUAAUUGGUGUAUACAAUCAAUGCUUCAUGCCUCCUCAAUAAAACUAGUUACAGGGGGGAGAUGGGAGCAAAGAGCAAAUAACAGAAAUUUAUUGUGGUACCUAAGGAUAAAUUAAUAUACCAAACAUCAAUAUUAGAUAUCCACUGGCUGGAUCUUUACUGAAUAAAUCAGUAUAAGGUCCAUAUUUAUACUGGAAAGGAUAGGUAAAGAGGGUGUCUAACCAGAAUGUGGAAUAGCAACUGCAAACAGAGGAUUUUUUCUAUGGAUAGUGAGACCAGUGGAUUCAGACUUGUCCAAAUCCUUUGGUUCAAUUCCAUCAGGCAAUGCAAAAUCAAACUUGUGUACCAAUUUUGCUAACUCGUUAACGGCCACAGCAAAGGUAGUACCCGGGCAACCCCUUCUUCCAGCUCCAAAUGGAAUUAACUCAAAGUUAAAACCUCGAAAAUCGAUUGUACUGUUCAAGAACCUCUCUGGCUGAAAUUCUUCAGGCUGAUUCCAAAGCGAUGGAUCUCGUGCAAUCGCCCAAGCGUUCACCAUUACUCGUGUCCCUGCCGGUAUAUCAUACCCCAUAAGUUUAACGUGUUGUGUUGAUUCUCGAGGAACGAGUAGUGGGAUUGGCGUAUGAAGUCGUAAAGUCUCCUUGAUCACUGCUUUUAAGUAGUCCAUUUUGUCUAGAUCAUCCUCAGUGAUUUCUGGUUUUCCUUGAGUGAUAGGGUGUUAAUUGCUAGUAAUUUUGUUGUUAAUUUCCCCUUUUAUUCUUGCCAAAUAUUGUUUUAAUUAUUAAUAUUUACUUAUAUUUGGUAUUGGAACUUAAUUUCAGGAACAAAACAGAAAAUUACCAAAAAGGAGGGACUUUUAUGGGAAAUGGAGACUUCUAAGGACCUUGGACUCUUGAAUUGGUGGGGACCACAAGCUAGUGAAAGGCAUUUAGUCAUUUUGGCCUUUCAAAGAAAGCAACGUAGAGAGACUUGGACCAAGAAGUAAUUUGGAGGCUUUGUCCACAUGUGUGGGAACCACAGGAAAUAGCUUUUAGGCUUCUUUCUUUUGGCUUUUUAAGGGAAGACGUACAGAAGCAAAAGGAGAUCUUUUUUUUUUUAGACGGCUCUAGUUUAGCUUUCAGGAUAGCUUUAGUUUUUCUUUCUUCUCACUGGCCUCUGACACACGCCAGGUGUUUGACAAUAUUCCCCAACGGAAAAAACACCAUUUAUCCCUUGUUUUCUGGUAAAAAACCGCAAUGCCUUUGCAAUCCAUUAAUUCGUGUGGUGAUUUAAUUAUGCGGCGUGGUUAAGCCUUCCUUCUAGCCGAGGGAUCAACUGACGAAUUGGUUCAACGUUUACUGUGAGAUCUAAACCGUUUUUAAUUAUUUUCUUCAUUUAUUGGUAUUUAUAUGUUCCCUGAUUUUAAUUGUUAUAGCCUUAUGUAUGAUUGAUUAGUGCGCAAUAAUUGAUUAUUCACGUAGGCUAUUUUGCUAAAUAGAGGUAAUUGAAUCCGUAAUUGUUCGUUAUCUCUACCUUAGUAGCAACUGGCGUAAUUGGGAUUAUGUCAGGGGAGCAUACGAUCUAGCUUAAACAAACCCUCGUAGCGUGUUUGUUAGUUAGGAUUGGGCCUUUCUAAUUAUUAAUGCAAUCUAGAAAUUAAAUCCUACGGUCGUACCUAGGAUUGUUUUUGGGUUAGAGAAAUAGCUAACGGUCGUACCUUAGCUAUCGAUAAAUUAAGGAAGGGUUGGUUGUUUAGCGCGUGCGAGACAACUAUAACCAAUCUAUUAAUAAAUAUUGGAAUUAUCUGUGAUUCGAUGAUCAGUGCAUGAAUCAUUUCUGAAGUGUACCCUUGGCUAGAGUUUCUCCAAUUAUUUCUUCAAAUUAAUUAUUUUCUGCAGUUACUUUAUUUUUAGCAUUUAAUCGUGAAAACCCCCAUUUGUCUUGAUUCGAAAAGGAAUAAAUUUCUCUCCAGUCCCUGAGGAGACGACCCUACUUACCACUGUCUACUAGUUAGUGAAUUCAGUUAAAUAAUUAAUUCAAGUAUAUCGGAUUAAGCAAAUUCUUCGGGAAUAGGGUGAAUCAAGUAACCCAUUGCACACCUAGAGUCCCUGCUCCAGUACUAGAAUUGAUUAUUGACUGCUUCAGGUGGUAGUUAGGUUUUAUUUAUUAUUAUUGCACAGGUUCGGCACCUGUCAAUUUUUGGCGCCGUUGCCGGGGACUGGCGUCUGAAUUAUUUGUUUCUUUUUGAAUUCAGUUUUUUUUAUUUAUUUUGUUUUAUUUUAUUUUUCUUGAUAUUUUUGCUAGUUUAUGCCCCGUUCUUCUCGCACAGGUGAAUUGAUAUACGAUCCUGGGGUUGAGAAGGCAGCGCGUAGGCGAAGACAAGAACCCAAGAGACGAAAAGAAGGGCACUUAUCUUGUGCAAACGAGUCAGUAGAAGACGAAUUUAGCAUGGCCAACACCCAGACAUUAAGGGAGCUGGCUACCACAGACCUGACUCAUCAGCCCUUGUGCAUCACGUUCCCAACUCUGGCUGAAAAUACUUCUUUCGAGCUGAAAUUGGGGUUGAUUCAGCUCCUGCCUUCGUUCCAUGGUCUUUCUGGUGAAGAACCCCACAAACAUGUCAAGGAAUUCGAAAUAGUUUGCUCUAGCAUGAAACCUCCUGGGGUCACUGAGGAGCAAAUAAGACUGAGAGCCUUCCCCUUCUCUCUCAAGGAUGCAGCGAAGGAUUGGCUAUACUACCUACCUGCAGGUAGUAUCACCACGUGGGCACAAUUGAAAAAGAAAUUCCUCGAAAAAUUUUUCCCUGCAUCCCGGGUUGCGAGUUUGAGGAAGGAGAUUUGCAGCAUCAAGCAGUACUCCGGGGAGUCCUUGUACAACUAUUGGGAAAGGUUCAACAAGUUGUGCACUAGAUGUCCACAGCAUCAAAUUAGUGAACAAUUGUUGAUCCAGUAUUUCUAUGAAGGGCUCCAGUCAACUGACAGGAGUAUUAUUGACGCUGUGAGUGGAGGAGCCCUGGCAAAUAAAACACCGAGAGAGGCAUGGGAGCUCAUUGAAGCCAUGGCAGAGAACUCUCAGCAGUUUGGCUACCGUGAGAGUAACCCCCCUCGAAGGGUUAACGAGGUAGAAACGUCAUCCAUACAGCAGCAACUGUCAGAGUUGACGUCUGCUGUCAGGCAAUUAGCCAUGAGGGACACACCGCGAGCGAAGGUGUGUGGCAUCUGCACUAGCAUGGAUCACUGCACGGACACGUGCCCCAUUUUGCAAGAGGACGGGACGGAACAUGUAAACAUGGCCGGAGGCGUGCUCGCGCCCCGCAGGCAGUAUGACCCGUAUUCCAACACAUACAACCCCGGUUGGAGAGACCAUCCCAAUUUCAGUUAUGGGAACCGACCGCAAAAUUCACUCUCAAAUCGCCCACCAGGGUUUCAGCAACCAUGGCAGCAAAAGUCUCAACCUUUGUCCGCAAAUUCAAGUAGCUCUCUGGAGGAUAUUGUCAAGAGUCUGGCUACGACUACCGCCCAGAUCCAGCAAGAGACUAGACAGCUCCAGCAGGAGACUAGGUCAUUGACCACGAAUAUGGCUCAACUCCAGCAAGAAACUAGAGCCUUAACCCUGAGCACCACGCAGUUCCAGCAGGACACCAGAGCAGGCAUGAAGGAUAUGGAUGCUCGAAUAAGCCAAUUGGCCACUGCGAUAAAUCGCCUGGAGUCCCACGCUCAUGGAAAAUUGCCAUCUCAACCCGAGGUGAAUCCUAGGAAUGUAAGUGCUAUGACACUGAGGAGUGGCAAGGAACUGGAAGAGCCUAAAGUGAAAAAUUCAAAAAGCAAAAGUGAGGAGGAGAUAGAAAAGGAAAUUGAAGAGGAAGGAUGUAUCCGAGAAGAUCCUAAGGUAACCUUCACUUCUCCACCCACUACUACAUCUAACUUACCUCCUUUUCCUUCCAGGUUAGCGAAGACAAGGAAAGUAGAGAAGGAAAAACAACUUUUGGAUGUGUUCAGGAAAGUAGAGAUUAACAUCCCCUUACUGGAUGCAAUCAAGCAGAUACCGAAAUAUGCCAAAUUUUUGAAGGACUUGUGCACCCACAAGAGGAAGCUAAGGGGAGAUGAACGAGUGGCGGUGGGAGAAAACGUGUCAGCCAUGCUCCAAAGGAAACUCUCGCCAAAAUGUGGAGACCCAGGUAUGUUCACCAUUCCCUGCAAGAUAGGAGGUGCCUCGAUUAGGAAGGCAAUGUUGGAUUUAGGGGCGUCAAUCAAUGUAAUGCCUAAAACAAUUUAUACGUCCCUUAAUCUUGGUCCAUUAAAAGGCACAGGCAUUAUAAUCCAACUUGCAGACCGUACCAAUGCUUACCCAAAAGGGUUAGUUGAAGAUGUUUUGGUGCAGGUCAAUGAGUUAGUUUUUCCUGUAGAUUUCUAUGUCCUAGACAUGGGGGAUGAAAGGGCACUAAAUCCGUCUCCUAUUUUGUUAGGUAGGCCAUUUUUAAGCACUGUUAGGACGAAAAUAGAUGUAAAUGAGGGUACUUUUUCGAUGGAGUUUGAUGGAAAAAUUGUAAAUUUUAAUAUUUUUGAUGCGAUGAAGUACCCAGAUGAGACUAACUCUGUUUAUGCUUAAAGUGUUGUCGAGCCCCUUGUGCAGAAAAUAUUUGAAUUGGAUGGGGUUGAUGCACUGACAGUGGCAUUAGCCAAACAUCUUGAGUUGGGAGCAACUCCUGAUGUAGAAUUGAGUGAUGAGUUAUACCGGGCUGUUGGAGAACUGCAUUCGCUCCCACCAAUUUCUCCAAGGUAUGAGCUUACUUCUGUCUUUGUACCAGAAACUCAGGCAAGGUUGUUGCCGUCUAUUGUGCAGGCACCUGAAUUGGAGCUCAAACCUCUCCCAAAGCAUCUGAAGUAUGCUUUUCUCGGGGACAAGGAGACACUGCCAGUCAUCAUAUCUGCACAUCUAUCACCAAGGCAAGAAGACAACCUGAUUCGUCUUCUUCGAGAUCAUAAGGAGGCGAUUGGGUGGAGUGUAGCAGAUAUCAAACGAAUUAGCCCCUCCUUAUGCAUGCAUCGGAUCCGGCUUGAGGAUGAUGCAAAGCCAGUUAGACAAGCGCAACGGAGAUUGAACCCACUAAUGAUGGAAGUGGUGAAGAAGGAGAUACUUAAACUCCUAGAGGUGGGGAUCAUCUUCGCCAUCUCAUAUAGUCCUUGGGUGAGCCCCGUGCAAGUAAUCUCGAAAAAGGCGGGAGUAACUGUUGAGGAGAACCAAGAGGGUGAGAUGGUCCCGGUGAGGAAACCCACAGGAUGGCGCCAGUGCAUUGAUUACCGGCGUCUGAAUGCUGUGACAAAGAAGGACCACUUCCCUCUGUCUUUUAUUGAUUAGAUGAUAGAAAGGUUAGCUGGCCGUGUCUAUUAUUAUUUUCUUGACGGUUUCUCUAGUUAUUUUCAGAUCGCAAUAGCACCAGAGGAUCAGGAGAAAACUACCUUCACCGAGGAUCAGGAGAAAACUACCUUCACCUGCCCCUUUGGUACAUUUGUCUACCGGAGGAUGCCUUUCGGCCUCUGCAACGCCCCAGCAACUUUUCAGAGGUGUAUGGUAAGUAUAUUCUCCGAGUACGUAGAAAAGAUUAUUGAGGUGUUUAUGGAUGAUUUUAGUGUGUAUGGAGAUAGUUUUGAUGAAAGCCUUGAUGAUUUAGCUUUAAUUUUGAAAAGAUGCAUUGAGACAAAUUUGGUUCUGAAUUUGGAAAAAUGUCAUUUCAUGAUGGAUCAUGGCAUUGUUUUAGGGCAUGUAGUGUCGGCCAGAGGUAUAGAGGUAGACAAGGCAAAAGUCGAUAUUAUUUCUGCUUUACUUUACCCCGCAAGUGUGCGGGAGGUGCGCUCCUUUUUGGGUCAUGCAGGGUUCUACAGGAGAUUCAUCAAAGAUUUCUCCAAAAUUGGAGCGCCCCUGUUCAAACUGUUGCAAAAAGAUGUAGUAUAUGACUUCACCGAGGAGUGCAAGGUGGCAUUUGACAGAUUAAGGGAGUCAUUGACAUCACCACCUGUUAUCCAACCUCUAGACUGGAGCAUCCCGUUUGAGAUAAUGUGUGACGCGAGUGACUAUGCAGUGGGAGCGGUGCUGGGGCAACGGAUUGGCAGGGCUGCACAUGCAAUCUACUAUGCAUCAAAAGCGUUGAAUGGAGCUCAGCUCAACUACUCUACAACAGAGAAAGAAUUACUUGCUGUGGUUUUUGCAUUAGAAAAAUUUAGACCUUAUUUGUUAGGUGCAAAAGUAAUAGUUUUUUCUGAUCAUGCAGCCUUAAGGUACUUGAUGACGAAGAAGGACGCUAAACCAAGGCUUAUCAGAUGGAUCCUGCUUCUUCAAGAGUUCAACUUGGAGAUUAAGGAUAAAAGUGGGGCAGAAAACUUAGUCGCUGAUCACUUGAGCCGCUUACUUGCUCAUAAGGAGGAGCCACCAUUGAGGGAGGCAUUUCCAGAGGAGCAACUACUUGCCAUUAACUCGUCUACACCCUGGUAUGCUGAUAUAGUAAACUUCUUAGUGACCAAUCAAUUGCCUGCAGGGUGGCCAAAGGCUAAGAGAGACAGGUUGAAGAGUGAUGCUAAAUAUUACAUCUGGGACGACCCGUACCUGUGGAGACAAUGUUCAGAUCAAGUUAUAAGAAGAUGUGUAAAUGCGGGUGAAUUUCACUCUAUUUUGAAUUUCUGUCAUUCAUUUGCAUGUGGGGGGCAUUUUGGGCCCAAGCGAACAGCUCGCAAAGUGUUAGAGAGUGGCUUUUACUGGCCUUCCCUUUUUAAAGAUUCGUAUUUAUUUUGCAAAUCCUGUGAUAGGUGUCAAAGGGUGGGGAAUAUUUUUCGUAGGGACCAAAUGCUUCAAACCCCCAUGUUGUUUGUUGAAUUUUUUGAUGUUUGGGGGAUAGAUUUUAUGGGUCCUUUUCCCUCGUCUUUUGGUUUCCUAUACAUUUUACUUGCUGUAGAUUAUGUCUCUAAAUGGGUGGAAGCCAAAGCCACCUGUACUAAUGAUUCUAGAGUGGUUGCAGAGUUCUUAAAAUCUAAUAUCUUUGUCCGUUUUGGAAUGCCAAGAGCUGUGGUUAGUGAUAGAGGGACACAUUUCUGCAACAAGACUAUCACUGCCUUGUUUCGAAAAUACGGUGUACUCCAUAAGGUAUCCACACCGUAUCACCCGCAGGCAAACGGUCAGGCCGAAGUGUCAAAUAGGGAAAUCAAGUCAAUCUUGGAAAAGAUGGUGCGUCCGGAUAGGAAGGAUUGGAGUUUAAAGCUAGAAGACGCACUAUGGGCGUACAGAACCGCGUAUAAGACGCCGAUUGGGAUGUCUCCGUAUAGACUUGUCUUCGGUAAGGCUUGCCAUCUCCCCGUGGAGUUCGAACACAAGGCGUUUUGGAUAGUGAAACAGUGUAACAUGGGAUUAGACGAAACAGGGGUCCAAAGGAAAUUGCAACUACAAGAGUUAGAGGAGAUAAGAAAUGAAGCGUAUGAGAAUGCCACGAUCUAUAAGGAAAAGAGUAAAAUCUUUCAUGAUCAACAGGUUUCCAGAAAAUCUUUUGUAGUGGGGACAAAAGUCCUCUUGUAUCACUCGAGGCUUAAACUUUUUCCCGGUAAGUUGCGUUCUCGUUGGAUUGGUCCAUUUGUCGUUUCUAAUGUGCUUCAUUAUGGUGCAGUAGAGAUUCAAAGUUUAAAAACGGAGAAAAAGUUCGUGGUGAAUGGCCACCGUCUCAAACCUUGUUAUGAGGGGUUCUCUGUUGAAAAAGUAGAAGUUGAACACCUCCAAGAUCCACUUUAUCAUGCUUGAGGGUUUUGGCCAUGUCUAGCCAAAGACAUUAAAGAAAGGCGCUACUUGGGAGGCAACCCAAGACUAUUUGUUUCAGUUUUCAUGCAUUUUUGAAGUUUUAGUUAAGUAUUAGUGUCAAUUAAUAGUUUGAUGUUUGGUGACAGGGAAUUGGCAGUUAGACGUGCCCACGCCAGGUGGUCACGCCUGAGGGAAGGAAAUUUUCGUUCAGGAUCUGCGGACUCUAUAGCAGUUAGACGUGCCCACGCCAGGUGGUCACGCCUGAGGGAAAGAAAUUUUCGUUCAGGUUCUGCGGACUCUAUAGCAGUUAAGCGUGCCCACGCCAGGUGGUCACGCCUAAGGGGAAGAAAUUUCGUGUAGGUUCUGAGGACUCUAUAGCAGUUGAGCGUGCCCACGCCUGAGACAGGAGUUGCUUGUUUUUAAAAAAAAAAAAAAAAAGGGGUGAAAAGACGAAAUUGCCCUUACCAAAUGUAAAAAAAAAAAAGGCUAAACAAUUUUUCAAAGGGCACGAAACCCUACUCUCUUCUUCUUUCCUCUUUCUUCUUCUUCUUCCUCCUUUUUUUCUCCUUGUCCGCCGCCGCCACCCUGCAAGCCGCCGGAUCGCCGCAAGCCACACGGCCGCCCAUCGCGCCUGCUGCCCAGCCGCGCCUCGCCACCAGCAGAGCUCCAAUAACCAUCAGGCGUUCCUCCUCCCGCGCCGCACGACAGCCGCGCGCCUCCUCCGCGGCCAGCGCGCGACCAUCUGGGCAGGAGCCCCUGCGCGCCUGUUCAUCCUAGCAGCAGCACUAGGUCAGGCCCGCACACCCCAGCCUGCAUUCUGCGCGAUUUCCAGCUUCUGCACUCCAGCGCAGCCCAACACCACAGCCACAGCAGCCCGCGGACGUCGCGCGCCUCCUCCGCGCAACAGGCUAGACGACCUCCAUUUCUGCGCAGUCUGCGCGCGCGAUCCACGUGCGUGACCCAGCCAGCGCGCCAACUCACCCACUCAGCGCGCGACCAGAGGAGCAGCAGCCAGCUAGCUCCCGCGAACCAGCCACGCGCAACGAGGGGCAAUCGCGCGCCGCCUUUCUCCUUCUCUAGCGCCACCUGCGUUCUUUUUCUUUUCCACCCAUAGCAACUACCGGUUAUUCCCCCUGGUGAUUUCUUUCUUUAAUUUUCUGUCACUAUGUAGCUGAGGCCAGAUUACUAGCUUUUAUUAGCUGAUGCCAAAUUUUAAUUUCGUAGCUGAGGCCAGAUUGUUGAUUUGCUAGCUGAGGACAGAAAUUUUGUGCUUGUUUAGGUGUGUGGUAUAUAUAUCUGUGGUUGAUUGCUGACUAAUUGUUAAAUUUUGUCUUCAACCAGUGAUAUUUGGGGGAAGUUCUUAUUUGGGUUGCUAAUUUAAUUAAUUUCUGGGGGAAUUUUGUUGUGUUGCCUAACUAAUUGGUUUUUGAGUUGAAUUGGUAGUGUUUGGGAAAAUUUUGAUGUUUACAGGUUUAAUUAGUUUCUGGAGUGAGUUUAUUGUCCGUUUUUGCACUUGCCUGUGAUUGGAUGCUGUGACUGGGGAUCAUUUGCUUGGGUGGUUGUUUGUUGACAUAUUUUGAACGCCGUUUCUUUGCCUUUGUCUUGUCCACUGAUAUCCAAUGACCAAACCCAGACCCAAAGGCAAGAACAAGCCUUCCACUUCCACCCCUCAGCCUACGGUCCCCUUAGGGGGACCUGCCCCCUCGACUGAGCCAGGAGGGCCCCGUACCCGCCUUGGACGGAAUAGGGAGGUUCAUAUCUCCUCUCCCGCCCACUUUGACGGCAAUUUGACCUUCACCCGGGCUGCCGACAAGGAGCGGUAUGCCUCGGCUUGCACAAGGAAGAUUAUUCCUUGUAAAUACAUCCAUGGCCCUACACUUGAUAUGCUAAACCUGAGGGAUGAGGUCACGCAGCACUUGACUAACGUAGGCUGGACCCGCUAUGCUUCUAUCAUUUUACCUGCCUUCACUGAACUGACGUGGGAAUUUUAUGCUACUUUUGAGUUUAAUAUUCCUGAUGAAUUCUCCGUUACCACUCCUGGGGUAGUGAGGUUUCGAUUGAUGGGUAGGGAGUUUAACCAAUCUAUCACUGAGUUUAAUUUGGCUCUUAGGUUUAUUGAUAUUCCCUACUCCCAGAGUGAGGAGUAUAUGCACAGUGUGUGCGAGUACUCGGAGCCAUUUUUCUCUCAUUACAUUGAUUAUUGGAGAGAGUUGUCGGUUGACCGACACUGCUAUGACCCCAGUCAGUCUAAGGCUUCUUAUCUUAAGAGCGCCGCCUACCGUUAUUUACAUAGAUUCAUGGCCUAUAGUUUCUCAGGUAGGAAGGAUAGCUCGGGUACUAUGACCAAGCCCGAGUUCUUUUUCGUUUGGUGCAUGGUCACUCGGACUAGGGUCAAUUUGGGUAGCUGGUUUGCCCUCCACCUCCGAACUGUGCUAAGUAAGAAAAAUAAGCCAUUAAUCUUAGGCUCAUUUAUCACUCAGUUGGCUGUAAAUCUUGGGGUUUUGGACUUAAAUAAUCAUAACUUGCAUCGUGCUUGUACUAUGGAACCCCUCGAUUUGGUUUGUUUGGAAAAAAUGGGUCUUGUGAGACAGGUGGCGGGCGUUUUUCAGUUUGCUCCCCCGGGGCCAAUCUCCGUUCCUCCAAAGCGCAGAGCUUCCAAAACCGCUGACCCGGAGGCUGGUGGUCCUUCUACGGAUGCCCCCGGACCAUCCUCUUCGGCACCUCUACCAUCUUCCUCCGUCGAUAGCCAGCUUGCAGCUCUUCGAUUCCAGAUGCAGCACAUGGACACUCGCAUGGAGCGGAUGGAGUGUCAAAUAGCCGGCAUGGCUCAGAAUUUAGCAGAAUACCUCCACCACGUGGGUUUCCGCCCACCGUGCCCUCCACAACCUUAGUCCACCUCUGCCCUCCGCCGUAUUAAGGGAAGUGUUGUUGCCUUUCUCGUUUUAUUUUCAUCUUUAUCCGCUUCCAUUGAGGACAAUGAAAGGUUUAGGUGUGGGGGAGGGUUAAUUAUGCAUUAGUUGUGCUUUGAACUGUUUUAUGUGCAUUUUCCUUGCCUUAGUAGUUCCUUUCUUUAAACUGUGAUGACUGCAAUUGAGAUAUGAGUACGAGUAGUAAGUUCAUACCAUUGGGUGCUCUAUUUACCUCGAUGAUGGAUUGAUUGAUGAAUAUGCUGAAUUUGGCAUGAAUUUGAUCACUUAUGCGAUUUUUGGGCCUAAUUUUUCGUUUGUUGAGUGAUUAGUGCACAUGGUUUGUCAUUCUAGAACUUGCUCGAUUAUGCAUGUCAAUACCACAUUUAAAUGAGUUUAAUGCAUUGAAAUGAUAGGGCACCUAGGAAUGAGCCAUUUUUGGACUUUCUUAAAACCAAGCCUUGGAUUAUUUAUCACUAGGGAGCCAAGUUGAGCCUUAACCCUUAUUCUUCGCUUGAGACCCUAGUUUUAGCUGUAAAACCUCUUUUUAGACUUUCUUUUUGAACCUCGUGUGAAGAAGUGCUUUGAUUUCAUUAUACAGAAUUUUGGAGUAUUAUUUGAGAGGCAUUGCACCUAUCUAUGAAAAAAAGGGAAAAUGUGAAAAGAAGACAAAGUGCAGGAAAUCAGCAAGUAAAGUUGAUUUUUAUGGUGCUGGUUGGGAGUUAUAGAAAAAACAAUAAAAAACAAAAAAAAAACAAAAAAACAAAAGAAAAAAAAAAGAAAAAAAGAAAAAAAGAAGGGGAGUAGAUGAAUGAAAAGAUGAGAAAAGGCGAAGGUUGUGGCAAGUGCUAAUUCACUUCACUUGUGUGAUGGUUGAGAUGCCUUUAAGUUUCAAAUGUGCAAGAAUCUAUGUAAUGAAUUUCUGGGCACUUAUUUUAUACUUUUACACCAUUUUGACUCCUUUUUAUCCUACCUUCUCACCCUAACCCCAUUACAACCUUUUAAAGUCCCUUGAUUGCUGCAUUUAAAUUCAUAAGUAAGUGGUGGAGAUAUGAUAUAUGAGCAAGCUUAUGGUAGUGUCAUUCUAUUGUGUUGAUCUGAGAGUUAUCUUAUAUACAUCUCAUAUACAUUUUGGAGUGAUUGAGUGCACUUUAAACGGUGAGAAUUGUUGAUUUGGUAUACUCUGAUUUCGAUGAGGUUAUUGGGGAAUUUGGAAUGCCAUUCUUGGUAUGAACUGCUGUGGUUUGCUUAGUAUCUUUAUUGCAUUUCUGAGUUAAUCAUGCUUGAGGGCAAGCAUGAUUUAGGUGUGGGGGGAAUUGAUAGGGUGUUAAUUGCUAGUAAUUUUGUUGUUAAUUUUCCCUUUUAUUCUUGCCAAAUAUUGUUUUAAUUAUUAAUAUUUACUUAUAUUUGGUAUUGGGACUUAAUUUCAGGAACAAAGCAGAAAAUUACCAAAAAGGAGGGACUUUUAUGGGAAAUGGAGACUUCUAAGGACCUUGGACUCUUGAAUUAGUAGGGACCACAAGCUAGUGAAAGGCAUUUAGUCAUUUUGGCCUUUCAAAGAAAGCAACGUAGAGAGACUUGGACCAAGAAGUAAUUUGGAGGCUUUGUCCACAUGUGUGGGGACCACAGGAAAUAGCUUUUAGGCUUCUUUCUUUUGGCUUUUUAAGGGAAGACGUACAGAAGCAAAAGGAGAUCUUUUUUUUUUAGACGGCUCUAGUUUAGCUUUCAGGAUAGCUUUAGUUUUUCUUUCUUCUCACUGGCCUCUGACACACGCCAGGUGUUUGACAAUAUUUCCCAACGGGAAAAACACCAUUUAUCCCUUGUUUUCUGGUAAAAAACCGCAAUGCCUUUGCAAUCCAUUAAUUCGUGUGAUGAUUUAAUUAUGCGGCGUGGUUAAGCCUUCCUUCUAGCCGAGGGAUCAACUGACGAAUUGGUUCAACGUUUACUGUGAGAUCUAAACCGUUUUUAAUUAUUUUCUUCAUUUAUUGGUAUUUAUAUGUUCCCUGAUUUUAAUUGUUAUAGCCUUAUGUAUGAUUGAUUAGUGCGCAAUAAUUGAUUAUUCACGUAGGCUAUUUUGCUAAAUAGAGGUAAUUGAAUCCGUAAUUGUUCGUUAUCUCUACCUUAGUAGCAACUGGCGUAAUUGGGAUUAUGUCAGGGGAGCAUACGAUCUAGCUUAAACAAACCCUCGUAGCGUGUUUGUUAGUUAGGAUUGGGCCUUUCUAAUUAUUAAUGCAAUCUAAAAAUUAAAUCCUACGGUCGUACCUAUGAUUGUUUUUGGGUUAGAGAAAUAGCUAACGGUCGUACCUUAGCUAUCGAUAAAUUAAGGAAGGGUUGGUUGUUUAGCGCGUGCGAGACAACUAUAACCAAUCUAUUAAUAAAUGUUGGAAUUAUCUGUGAUUCGAUGAUCAGUGCAUGAACCAUUUCUGAAGUGUACCCUUGGCUAGAGUUUCUCCAAUUAUUUCUUCAAAUUAAUUAUUUUCUGCAGUUACUUUAUUUUUAGCAUUUAAUCGUGAAAACCCCCAUUUGUCUUGAUUCGAAAAGGAAUAAAUUUCUCUCCAGUCCCUGAGGAGACGACCCUGCUUACCACUGUCUACUAGUUAGUGAAUUCAGUUAAAUAAUUAAUUCAAGUAUAUCGGAUUAAGCAAACUCUUCGGGAAUAGGUUGAAUCAAGUAACCCAUUGCACACCUAGAGUCCCUGCUCCAGUACUAGAAUUGAUUAUUGACUGCUUCAGGUGGUAGUUAGGUUUUAUUUAUUAUUAUUACACAGGUUCGGCACCUGUCAUUGAGCUACUUGUCUCACCUCAGUCUGCAAUUUCUCCAAGAUUUUUGGGUGCCUCAAGAGUUCGGUCAUUGCCCAAUCCAUAACUGUGUGUGUUGUAUCAGUCCCAGCAGCGAACAUGUUCUAAUCAUAGAAAGUGAAGAAGAAAAACAGAUGUUGUUUAAUUGAAAAAGAAAAUGUCAUUGAAAGUUGAGAAACUAAUAUGAGGAAAACAUUUGUAAGAAGUUUAGCUCAUCAAUGGUGAACAUCAUUAAAUACAGAUAAAACAGUUUGGUUUGGCAUUGUAUCAAUUGAUGUGUUAAAGCUGAAGUAUGUAAUAUUCCUCAGCCUGCUAAUAUACAAAUAAGUGGUGCAUAAUACAUACUGCAUACUGAAUUUUAGUUGUAUACACAGUUCAUCAAAUAGUAUAAUUUUGUUCUACCUUCGAACAAGCUAAAACCUUCAUGGUUGAAAUUUCUGUAGGAAAAGCUCUACUUGUUAAUGCCUAUGAUCCUUUAUCCAAAUGUACUUAUCCGUGGAAUGAAUUACUAUGAAAAACCGUCCAACAUGCAAACCAGUAGAGAGGAAAGUAAUUCAUUGAAAAUUCUUUAGCAGACCCAUCUGCUUGGCAAUAAAUUUACACUUAUUUUCAAAAGUGUGUUCAACUACAUAUUAUUGUUAUUGUACUGGCUUCUAACAUGUAUGUGUGAGAUAGAAAAUAAUUGGAGAACGUAUUUUCAAGAUUAAAUUUGUGAAAACCAUCGCCAUCCAAACUAACCUUUAUUCAUUUAAAAAAGUAGACACAAAUUACACUUUAACUCGCUGUGGUUUAGUACUUUUUUAUAUAACUUCCCUAUAAUUUCGAAAACUAUACAUAACCCCCCUCAUGAUUUGGACUAAAAUGUCAAAGUGACGGAAUUUGUAAUCCAUAACGGAAUCAACUAAAAUAUCAAAAAUACUCCAAUGUAAAGUUAAAAAUUAUUUAUUAACCACAUGAGGGUUAUGUAUAUAUUUUGAAAUCCAUAAGGGGGUUAUAUGGUAAAGUACUAAAGUAUAAUGGGGUUAUAUAAUAAAACAUAAAAUUAUAUGGGGUUAAAGUAUCCUGCAUAUUAUGUUUCUAUAUUUUGAUCAUUUCAACCAUUUUAGUUUUUAAAUGAGGCUAAUUUUGAUAUUUUCAUAGGUUCCGUUAUGAAUGAUAAUUUCUUUCACUUUGACACUUUAAUCAAAAUUAUAAAAAGAGUUAUAUAUAACUUUUAAAACUAUAGGGAGUUAUGUGAAAAAUAACUAUACCGCAUAGGGGCAAACUGUAUUUUGUCCAAAAACUAGUUUGAAUAAUUGGUGCUCAUUAAGAGGGGGUUCAAGUAUUAGUUCUUUUUAAAAUGUGUAGUUAAUUUGAAAAAGUGUCUAAAUGCAAAAAUAUGCAAUAAUUGUGAUUGUGUAAAUUCACAUGAUAAAUUAUUUGUAAUUUAAAUGUAUUAAAUCAAUACUCACUGGACAACCAUUAGAAAAAUCUUUAAAAUUGAAUAAUAAAAUGAAGGUAUUCCAAGUUUAGAUCAGCUAUACACAAAAAGAUUUUCAAGAAAAGAGAGAUGGCAUUAAGCCAGUACGGUAGGAUAGCCUAAUGAGUUUAUGGUUGGAGUACCUAUAAACAAGAUUUCUUACCAAAAUGAUUGCUUUGAGACUGUCAAGUUCGAGUAUAAAGCCUGUCGACUUUUCCCCCUGAAUUUCAAGCAAGAUAUCCACCAAAUCUGAGCCUUUUCCCUCUAUACUAUCAUCAGUGUUAGCCUUUCCAUUUUUCCUAUCUUUGUGCUCCUUAAUGACACCCUCCAGAAAUUCAUCAAGUUGCUUAACAACUUUGUCCACUUUAUCAUCCAAAUCAUUAAGAUGUCUCAACCAUCCAAGCCAUGGAACAAAAUCUCCUAUAUCAAUAGUACCUAACAACUCAACAAAUUCCUUCAUGAUUUGCAUACUUUUGCUUCCAUCUUCCCUAUCACUGUACUUCCUCCCCAAGGCCACCCUACAAAUCACAUCAUUUGUGAGUGUCAUAAGAAGAUCACUCAAGUUUAUGGCUGAUAAAGGUGGCGAAGAAGCCGAAAAAUUUCUAAUUUUUUCAACCAUAAGUGAAGUCUCUUCCUCUCUUACAAAUCGAAAUGAUUGAACCCUCUUAUGACUUAGAAGCUGAAGCACACAAAUACUUCUCACUUGCCUCCAAUACUCACCGUAAGGUGAUGCUGCGAUAACCUUGCUGCCAUAUAGAAGCCUAUCACUCAUGCUUGUUUUAGGCCUGUUAGCAAAGACUAAAUCAUGGGUUCUCAGGAUUUCACAAGCUGCAUCAGCUGAAGAGGCAAUAACCACGGGCUUGCUACCAAAAUGAACCAGCAUGAGGGAACCAUAUUUUCUUGAUAAUGAUUGAAGUUUGCGGUGAGGAUAUAGCCCGAGUUUGAAAAGAUUUCCAACAACUGGAAACUUUGAUGGAGAAGGUGGUAGCCUUUGUUGGGGUUUAGAAGAAGCAUAGAACCGUAAGAAAAGGGCUAGAAGUAGCAAAGCCACGGGAAGAAGAGAGGAAAAUGUAAGAUCCAAAAUAAACGCCAUUACAUGCUACUCGAAAAUUGGAGAAAGGGCCAAAUCAAGAAAGCACAAGUUGAUUGUUGCUGCUACAAUUGGCUAUGUAUAUGCCUACUUGAUUAAGCCGAAAAGGAUCACCAGAACCUGCUUCUGUUCUGAUGAUCCUUGAAAUUUCACUUUGUGACGGUUGCAAAUGCAUCCUCAGUAAAUGAAUCAAAGAGCCACAUUGGAAACAAUAUCUAUAGGGCCUGGCCGAUUAUUUUGACUUUAGUGGCUGUACUGGAAGAACAAAUUUUGGAUGAUAAGUCCUACUCGUAAGCAAAUUCCAAAAAUUGGAUUGGACUUAUAUUCGCACCAUCAUACAUGUUGAAAUUGAUUAAGCACUUGGCAUUUGAGCUAUUAGUUUAGACAUUUUACAUCUAAAGAUUAGGGCAAAUUACACUUUAUCUCCAGUAAUUUAGUAUUUUUUUACAUAACCCCCUAUAGUUUCGAAAGCUAUACAUAAUUCCCUCAUAAUUUGUAUUAAAGUGUCAAAGUGGCGAAAAUGAUUAUUCGUAACGGAAUCAGCUAAAAUGCCAAAAAUAUUCUUAUAUAAAGUUGAAAAUUAUUUAUUAAUCAAGGGGGUUAUGCAUAUAUUUUGAAAAACAUAAGGGUUAUAUGGUAAAAUAUUAAAUCAUAAGGGGGUUAUAUAGUAAAUUAUAAAAUCAUACGGGGUUAGUAUGUCAUGUAUUUAUAAAGGUAAUUUUGACAUUUUUAAAAGUUUCGUUACGAAUGACCAUUACCGUCACUUUGACACUUUAAUUCAAACCAUGAGGGAGUUAUAUAUAGCUUUUAAAACUGUAGGAGAAUUAUGUAAGAAAAUGCUAAAUCACAGAGGGGUAAAGUAUAAUUUGUCCUAAAGAUUAUAUGACGUGGCACUUUGCUAGCAUAAUUUACUCAUUCACAAAAAGUUUGGGGAAAAAAAAAGAUCUCGUGCAAUCUUCAAAUUCCCAUUCAAUCUCCAAAAUCAUGUCAACACAAAUCUCACGGUGAUUAAAGCUAAUACUAAACAGAAAUCUUUGUUCGGAAGUUAACAAAGACUUUGGGGGAUGUAACUUCAGUAUGCAAAUGCGAAAUAUACCAUGAAUGAAUAUGAUUACCAACAUAACUUUUGGAGUCCAGAAGAAGCAUAGGAUUUUUGAAGAGGUCAAGCAUAGGAUUAAAACCAAACGAAGAAUUGAAGAGAGCAAAUUAAAAUAUCCAAAACUAAUGGGAUUUUGCUUCUUGCAAUUAGUGUUACACGAUUCUUCAGUGCCAUUGAUUUGAAAGAUCAGCAAUAAAACUGAAAAGGUUAUUGAUAGGCUUUUAGAUUGUGGUUAUGAAUAAUUUGGACGAGAAGCCCUUAAGUGUGGGCUCACUCUUGACCCGUCAAAAGUUCCAUAUGUCUUUCGGAAGAUGGCAAAGGUUAUCUUAUUGAUUUGCUUUCAUCCAAUUCCACACACCUAGUAUCAUUUAUGAUCUUGAAAUUAGCAGCAAAAAUAACAAAAAAAAAGGGGAAAGGUUUAUUUCCCUCUCGAAUAUUAAUAAUAUCAAUGUCACUGUAAAGCUUAACUAAUACGAUUAAAAUUAAUGCAGGCUAAAUAUAACAGGCAAGACAAUUUACAUAAGUUCUCAACUUGAUCUUGUAAAACUUGCCCUAGGACAUGCUAAACUUCUCUGUGCCAGGAGAGACACUAAGGCGAAUAUGGAGUGGCAACAAGAAGUAUAGGAAGUUUCCUAUGCACAUCGAUGCCACCAGCUUCAGUCAUGUCCAUGUCCUCUGGUUUUCCUCCAUCAGGCAAGGCAUAGUCAAAUUUGUGCAGUAAUUUUGCUAAUGCAAGUUCAUUGAUAGCCAAAUUUGUGCAGUAAUUUUGCUAAUGCAAGUUCAUUGAUAGCCAUGGCAAAGGUCUUACCGGGGCAUCCCCUUCAGCCGGCACCAAAUGGGAUCAACUCAAACCUCGAAAAUCUAUAUAAACCAACAUUCAGAAAUCUCUCUGGCUGAAAUUCCUCGGGCUUCUCCCAAUUGCCGCCCAUCCGUUGACGAUUACUCGUGUUCGAAUCGGUAUAUCAUACCCCAUUACUUUGAUGUCUCGAGGAACUAGAAAUGGAACUGAGAAAUGAAGCCGCAGAGUUUCCUUAAUUACUAGCUUUAAACACUGCAUUUUGUCAAAAUCGUCCUCAGUUAUCUCUGAUUUUCCUUGGCCUACAGCUCUGACCUCAUUUUGCAAUUUCUCCAUGACCUUGGGGUCUCUUAGAAGCUCUACCAUCACCCAUUCGAUGACUGUAUGAGUGGUAUCCGUUCCAGCUCAAACAUGUCCUAAUCAUGCAAAGUAGAAGCCAAUUGUGAAUAAGUUGAUGUAAAGCGCAGUUUUAUAUAUUAUAUGCCUUAAAGAGUGGUGACUCUUACCAUGAUCACGUGGGAUCCUUAAUCCAAUGUUGGACUUAUAUGUGAAUAAUUAUAUAUUAUAAAUUAUCAAAUAAGGUUAAAUCCAAUUAAAAUAAUCAAUUAUGAUUUGGGUUUUAAUAUAUCUAAUAUGAUGUAAGCCUUUAAUGUGUAGUAAUUUAAGGGUAAUUUCUAUUUCUAUGAUGGGUUGAAAUAGAAAUCUAAAAAAUAACAGAAAAGUUAUCUAUAAAUAAGGUUAUGAUCUCUGAGUCACAUGUAUUCUUAUUUGUUAUAUUUUUAGUACCACAAAAUAACUCUUUUCUGAUAUCCCAUCGUUAGGAAAGAUAUCAAAAAGAAAUUAAAGAGCUCUCUCAAGGGAUUAGCGAAUACUUGUUGACCUAGAAGACUAUUUCAAAAUCUCUAAGGAUUCAAGUGGCAGUUAGUCAACAUGAAUCCAGGUACACUUCCACAAUUUUACUGUUAAUUUAUUUCUUAAAAAUUACCAUAAAAAUUUUGGACUUAAUAGGUGAUGGUUUUCAUCAAAAUUUAAUGACAAGUAUCGAGCCUGUGCAAUAAUAAUUACCUGCUCGAAGAAAAUAUAAUUUUUGUGUAUAGCGGUGAGCAGGGUCGAAUCCACAGAGACUGGAGGAGAAUUUGUUUCUUCUAGAGUACGGAAAGCGGGGGAUUUUUAUAAAAUCAAGAAUAAUUAAACAACUCAAACAGAGAUAAAAAUCAAUAAAUAACCAAUUAAUAAAAAUAAUUCACGAAAGUAAGCAGGAAUUAAAUCGAUGGUAGACAAUCUCUAGUCAAAUAUACAACCUCGCAAACACAGUCCAUUUAUCCGAUCAUUGAUGAAAAGAUGGUUUGCUCAAUUCAUUAACAGGUUAGUUAUAGUCGCCAACAAGCUCUGACGACCAACUUUUCCUUAGUUUAUGGAUGACCAAGGUACGACCAUUAAUCACCCCUAACCAAAAAAUAACCCUAAAUAUGACCGUAGAAUUCAAUUUUUCAAUUGCCUUAAGAAUUAGAAAAGCUUAACCCUAAUCAAUAACACACUAAGAGGUUAUUUAAAUUAGAUUGCGUAUUCCCCUAACGUGUGUAAACGCCAGUUACCACUAAUAUUAAUCGACUAAACAAUUACAGAUUUAGUGAUUAAUUUGUCAGUAGAUUAUUAGGUUAUUUUGAAUAUCGGGCUCUAGACAUUCAGUUAACGAAAUAAUCUCUAGAAAUUAAAAUAGAGAAUACACAAAUAUCAAUAAAUUGGAGAAACGAGUUGAGAUUAGUUCGAUCUCACAGAUAUUCAAGAUGACGUCGUUGAGUUGAUCUCUGACUAGAUUAGGAAUUUAGCCACACCCCAUAGAGAAAUUUUCACGCGAAUUAGUAGAAUUCAUGAACAUCCAAUCUUGUUCCUUAAACAAUGUAAUAUGUUUCAUGCAAAAAGAGUAAAGGAACGAAGAAGGAAUUAUCUACUGUCUUGUGGCCUCCAAAAAGGACGAAAAGAGAAUGUCCCUAAUCUAAACAAUGACUAGUCUUUAUUCUCGUCUAUCUCCUCGUCGAAUAAGGAAAAGAAAAAAAAAAGAUAAAGCAACUCCCCAAUGUUCCUUGUUUCUUGUUUCCUAAUACUAGUAAACUACUAGUCACGAAAGGAAAGGAAUUGAUUUAGCACAUCUUGCAGCCGGAUUUGCAAAGAUUCUCGAAGCUUCCUACGUGCACAGCUUGUUAUUAAGAAAGUCUCCCUUUUUAGCAUUUUUCUGCCCCGCCUCCUGUAAUUAGGUCCAAAUACUAAAUAUAAGUAUAACUCAAUAAUUAAAACAAUAUUUGGUGAGGGUAAAAAGGAAAAUUAAUCAUAAAUUUCAUAACAAAUUACGUCCUAUCAGUUAAUAUAAACAAUCACCAUCAAUUAAUAUGAUUGAUUAUUAAAAAAUAAUUUGGUAUUAAUAAUUCAUAGUUUUCAAGUUAUUUUUAAUUAGAAUUAUUUUUGUUUUGAUUGUGCGGUGGUUAACAAUCUUGAAUUGUGGUUUUAAUGUAAUUUGUUUGCUUAUAUUUUCGGUAAAUUUGCACUGUCCAAUUCAUUGCUUUUAGUUACAUAUAAAUCCAUGGGUUUGUCGAAAUUAAUAAGCAUGAUGCACAAUAUUUGUGGUUUUAAGUACAGAUAUUUGCUUUGCUUGUUAUGAUUAGUUGGUACAUGGCUCAAAUACACAUGGUUCCAGGAUCUCGCAUGCUUGUCUUGUUUGAUUGUUGAAUUUUGUGAACCUCUUGAUAUGUUGGCACAAGUCAUAAUAUGUGGAACCCACAUACUUUCCAUGAUAUAAAUUAGGGAUAAUAUCAGAAACCUCCCCUGAGGUUUCUUCAAAUAUCACUUAGCUCCCCCCACAUUUUAGAAAUCUCUCUUACCAUCCCUCAAGUGAUAAUGGGUCAACAGUCAACAAGAAAUCUAAUCAGUUGCCAAUAAUACCCUUUGCUUUGCUGUUAACUUAUUCAGCUGAUAAAAUGCAAAAUAUGACUGAGAGAGCAAGCAUGGAACUGUAUAAAGCCCGGGAAAGCAUUGCCGCCUAGAAGCUGAGUUCUGUACGAAUUGCAUGGCGCCAUUUUGUUCUGAUAAGACAUCUAAUAGCCCGGGAAAUGAAGAGGAAUGAGAUACUACUUAUAACUGUGAUUGUUAUUUGAUAGUAUCUUUCUGGAAAUUGGUCCAUGGAUAUUGCAGAGGAGGAGAAAUAUUGCAAAGUAUUGAAUUGCAUGCGUUCGGUUGGAGUGAAAGUGAUUUUGUCAAAACUGAGCUGCACAACAGGUAAAAAUCUUCCAUUGCUAGUUGAUAUGAUCAACAUGUAGAAGGAGAACUUGUCGAGUGCCAUGAACUGUUCUUCAUCAGUUGCCUAUAAUAUCUCUGUUUUCUUGUGUUUUUUUGUUUUGUUGGACUUGCUCUGGCUGAGUUCUAUUGGUAGUUGAUAUGAUGAACAUGUAACAGGACAAAAUACAGGUGUCAUGAACUGUUCUUCAUGAUUUGCCUUUAAUAUCUCAGUUUUCCUUGUGUUUUUAUGGUUUAUUGGACUUGAUGACCAAGUUUAACAUCCAACCAGAGCCUUUGUAUGUGAUCCUUAUAUUAAGUAUUGUUAAUGUUGGAUGCUGUAAAGAAUGUCUGAUUUGAUGAACUAUGCUUGACCUUUAUUUUAUUGGUUCAAAAAAUUUGAUGAAUAUUGAGUUGAAGCUAAGCUGUAAUACAUAAGAACAGCUUAGCUUUGUAGCUUAACUUUGUAGCUUAGCUUUGCAACCUGAGUUUGACUUUGAUUAAGCAUGCGUGUGUUAUACUAUGUCCCUUGUGAGAAUAUGUGAUCCUUAUAGCUAUUGAUUCAAACUUUUCUUGCGAACACACUGAUAUGUAGGAUAGGAAGAAUUAUUGCACAUGAUAUUCUAGUCCAUUACAUGGGAAACACUGUCAGAAUUCCAAAUGUCGAUCCAAAGAACUACCAAUAUAUUGACCUUCUUGGUGAUGUCACUGAUAAGGCAAUGAAUGAUUUGCCUAGAAAUUUGAACAUGCUUGUGCAUAUGAAAUGUGUGAUUCCUAGGACAACAGGCUUUAUAGACAUCAGUAGUGACAAAUCAGUCCUUGAUAUGUUCAAACUUCAUGAAAAUGAUCUUGUUAUAAACUUGUACUUGCUGCACCUGGAUAUUAUUCCUACUACAGAGUAGAAUAUGGUAGACUAUAGGAAUAACCAACUUAUUGUGGCACAGAAAGACAUAGGAAUCGAAAAUGCUCCCAUUCGUGUAGUUGACAGUGAGGGUGAUGAUAAGAUUUAUGCUUCUAGUUCUGAUGACUCUUGGAAGGAUGACAUAGAUAGCGACUUGGAAGAUGUCGUAGCUAAAGAUAGGGCCUUAAUUUCUAGUAGUGAUAAGGAGGAAAAUGACUUGUCUGAUUAUGAGGAGAUAGAGGAUGCACCAGUUGUCCCUGAUUCAGAAUCUGACUAAGAGACUGAUCCUAUGAGAGCAAUCAUGCAGUCAAAAAUGUGGACUUACAAUCCAAGAGAGGACAUUGAGUUUGAGAAAGGGAUGCUAUUUACCAAUGUGAUGCAUUUAGAGCAGUGUUGAAGGACUAUGCUAUUCAGAAAAGAUUUCCAUUGGUGAGGUUGAAAAAUGAAAGAGCAGGUGCACUGUCAAGUGUGGUGCUGAGGGGUGUAGCUGGAGGAUUCAUGCAUCCCCAGUUUGUGGCGACCCCACUUCCCCCUAAGGCGAACCAGAGGGUUGGCGGGCCGUCUGCCCAACUCUCGCCAGGACUCAUGCAAGCACACUAACCCAAAUCCUUCCGAAGAUUUACCUCAUCUAUUACAAAGACGAUUCUCCCGAAAAAAAAAAUUACUAGGUCCACAUUAGCUCCAAAGAUAACCGUAAUUUAAAAUAGCCAGUCGACGGCUCCUAAACAUCUCACGCGUUACAUCCAAGGAAUAAGGUCGUACAAUUCCGGAUAUACAAUUUCAUACUCCACAAUUACAAACAUACAAGCCAAACAUUCGAACUAGGGUUUACACAUUUUCCAGUUUCAAGUGGCAAUCCAAAACCAAAAGUACGUUGUUUAAAUUGAAGCACAAUAGAAUCCACAAAAGAAGCCAUAAUAUUCAUUUACAUCCCAAAAAGAAACAUAGAUAAGUUUCAAGGCUUUCAAUUGCCAGAACCUGUCAAGGAAAACAAAUAAAUGUGGGGUGAGCUAAAGCUCAGUGGUGCCCCAAAACAUGCAAUUAAAUAAAACAACUAACACGUAUUGAUUUCGGCUGAAGUAAACAACUAGGAAAGCGCAUAACAGUAGAAAGUAGGAUACGGGGACUCUCAGGAGCCAUUUUCCGCGCUUGAUCAAAAUUUACCGUAGUUGACCCUCCGUCAACUCUCACUACUUACGGUCCAUGUAGAACUCCUUAUUUUACUUAACUCCGGCCACCGAUCAUACCCCAACUCCGGGCCCGCACGACAAAAUAAAUGAGAGCGGUAGUACUCGAGUAUACCCCCUGGAUAAACUAGUCGAGGGAUUCACCCAACGACGUCACAAACUAGUCGAGGGAUUUACCCAACGACGUCACAACACUUGAGAUAUUCACGAAAACAUUUCACGCAAGUCACCACUCGAACGGCUAGUGUGAUAAAGUACACACUGCUCACUUCGAUGGAUCAGAAACCAUUUUUGCGAUUACCACAUAUCAAGUCAAGGAAGCACUUUAACCAAAUAAGCAUAGAACAGGACACUUACCAAGAGUGAAGUUACUGAUCAAGCUGGGAAUCAAAGUCUGCGUUCUCGUUAAACCCUAAAAAAAAUACCAAAUUUUAAAACUAUAAGCUGGCUAUACUAGUUCCAGGAUUACGUAGGAAAAAUUAUUCGUAGUAUAGCUAGUUUAUUUUCUUGGAAUAAGUCAACAAACCAUGUAGUUUUAAAACUAGUAAAAUACUUUGUAAAGUUUCCUUAAUAUUACUUUUUCUUGUAAAAGUGUUACUAGAACUAAUUUACUUGAAAUAAGGUUUCUUGCCGAACAAGUUUUCUACGCUUUUAGCUAAAGUCACUACAAUCUCGUAUUUUGGAAAUUUUCCUCUAGAAAACUAGCCAGGGACAAUUUUUUUUUAACGAAAGAAAAGGAAUUAAAGCAAGGCUUGAGUUUUUGAACCGGGUGAAAUCAUUUCCUAAAAGUAGUAAGGCUAAUUUAAGCUUAAGUAGGAAACGUCGAGUCGGCAAGGUUUAGAAAAUCCUUACGCAAGAAUUUCUAACUUAAACGUACGAUACUAAGUUUUAUCGUUUACUGCUAAGCACAACUAUAUUUAAAUAAUUUACUUAAAACAUUCUCGAGUUCACAAGGUCGGAACGAGUUUCACAAUUUCGAUUCCACUUCGAAAUCACAUUAUAACUCAAAUUUGCCAACGCAUCAGAAUCACAUUUCAAUAGCAAGUCACUAGGGCUUCGUCAAUCAUUAGCCCUAGGUUUCAAUAAAUUCAUUUCUGAUCAAGAAUAAAAUAAAUGAUCAAGGGUUCAUCAAUCAUUAGCACUUGGUUUUGGCAAGCUCAUAUCACAUUUCAACUUAAUCAAAAUAAAUAUAAGGCCUCCAAGCAAUUCCAGUCGUUAAAUUUCAUCACACUUUAACACUUGUAUAAAAUCAUUCAAACGGCCAAGGGCUUCAUCAAUCAUUAGCCCUUAACAUCCAACAAUUAUUUCUUAUAACAAUAUAGCCAACAUUUCAACCAAACUUUUAUUGUUCAGAAACAAGGGUAACUUAAACAUUUUCCAGCAAUUGUUAUUCCAAACUAUCAAGAAUUCCAUCUCAACAUUUUAACCAUAGUAUAAUCAAAUUGUUAUCCCAAGGUGUACCUGCAUAACCCUCUUAAUAUUUCUUAAAGUGAAAUCAAUGGGCAUAAAAUAUUUUACAGCUCGAAACAGCAGUUUUAGAACUGAAAUUCGCCAAUGAACUCUGAAAAAUUCCUUUACUACUUCCGUUACUUCAAUUAAUUUUUUUUUCUUGUUUAAACCAAUCAAUUUUCUUCAUACAGAGUUUAAUUAUCUUGUUAUUAACUAGCUGAUCGUGUUUAUAAGUUCAAAACAACAAGGUUAACCAAGUAAAGCUGCGAUAUUCAGGAUCAAGCUCUCGGUAAAUCUAAUUUCUUGCGCACAUCAGAGUUUCUUUUUCUAAAUCACUCAUCCGAAUGCCUAACAUCAACAUGCAUGUUCCUAGAUGGCUUAAUCUUCUUGUUUUUGAUUGGUUAAACACAUAAUUAAGCUCAGAUUGUCACAGGUAAAUAAAUCAAGAGUUGCAUUAUCACUUCCCCUCUCGGCCAAACCCAUUCUCAGCGCACGUAAAAAUUUUCUUUUUUAAAACAUCAUCCGAACACUCAACUUCACAUGCAAGUCCAUAGCUUGCUUAAUCUACCUCUGGUUAACUAAUUUCAGUCCAGAAAAUUACCUCAGAUCGCAGCUCACUCGCGUGACAAGGAAACUGAAAAAAAAUUUUCUUCUCGGCUUUGCGCACAGCUUUGGGUUUGGUUGGUCUGAACUGUAGUGGUUGUUGCAGCUGUAGUGGUGUCGUGGUUGGAAGAUUGUUGCAGCUGGUGGAGGUUGAAGAGAAAACGGAGAGGACUCACUCACGAUCUCUCUCUUUCUUCCUUCAACUCCCGGACAGAACUAGAAAAUUUUUGCAGCUCGCGGUUUCUCCUCUCUCGGUUCCUCUUCUUUCUCUCUUCAAAACUCACGAGGUGGGGUGGAGAGUGAAAUGGUGGUGCGAGGUAAUGGUUAUGGAGAGGAGAGAAAGGGUGCGCGGUUGAGUGUGAGUGAGGUUGUGUGUUGGAGUGGAUAAAAUUUACAUUGGCCGAAUGGUGAGGUGAUUAUAAUGUUGUCCGGGAAAUUGGUUGGGUUUGCAUGAUAGUUUUGUGGUUGUAUGAGGGCAUUUUAGUCUUUCCACUUUUCUUCCUCAUCUCCACUUAAAUCCUCAAUUCUAACUUAAUUCCAAAAAGUAUCCCCAAGUGUGAUUUAAACGCCUGAUUAUACACCAAUCUUGCAAGACUUCAAUUGUCAUAAUUUUUUUUACGUCUUAAGUAUGUUUAGUGUACUUGUAUCAUGUUUAUCUAAAAUUUAUUGACUUCGUCUUAACGUGAAAGUUCUUAUAAGUAUCUAACGUUAUUCACUAAUUAGAAUUAAUUAUUGGAUUUCAAGUAAUUUAUUUUAAGGUAGCAAAAUUAAUCGGCUCAAGUAUCAUUAAUUUAGCAUAAUGGAAACUAAGUAUUCUAACGUUUUAUGUUAAGGCGGAAAAUUGAUCUAACUCUAAAGGUAUUAAUUUAGUCUAUCAAAACAAAACAAAAAAAAAAUUUCAUAGUUUAGAAAAGUUAUAUUAUUUUUCACAUAAAAUUGUUUUUACGUACUUAUUUGCAAACAAGUGAAAGUAAUGCUAAAAUUUAUUAAAGAAUUAAAUGAAAUGCAAAUGAAAUAUGCACUAGGGCUUGUAUAUAUUUUCGGGGUUCUCACACAGUUGGUGAUACAACCACAUUCAUGGUUAAGACAUAUACACCUGAGCAUACAUGUGUCAUGAAUAGGAAAAAUUCAGAAGCAACAUCAGAUUGGAUUGCAAAGAAGUUAAUUUCUGUUAUGAAAGAUCACCCAGAGAUGAAAAGCAAGGUAGUAAAGGCUGAAAUGCAGAAGCAUGGAGUCUUGCCAAGUAGAAUGCAAAUUUACAGGGCAAAAAAGAAAGCCUUGGAACAGAUAGAAGGAUCACACAGUGAGGCCUAUGGAAAAUUACCAAAAUAUGCUGAACUGUUGAGGAUGCACAACCCAGGAAGCAUCAUCAAAAUUCAUUAUGAUAGGCCAAAUGUUCUGGUAAAGCCUAAAUUUCUGAGAUUGUUUGUCUCUUUCAAGGCACAAAGAGAUGGUUUCCUGGCAGGUUGCAGGCCAUUUAUUGGCUUUGAUUGAUGGUUGCCAUUUGAAAGGUGCAUUUGGGGGCAUUCUGUUGACUGCUGUUGCUCUUGAUGGGAACAAUAGUUUGUUUCCAUUAGCUUUUUCUGUUGUAGAGUGUGAAAACAAGGAAGCCUGGAGUUGAUUUUUUUAUUAUUUCCAAGAAUUCUUUGGACCAUUUCCAGCCAAUAUUCCAUUCACCUUUAUGAGUGUAGACAAAAGGUAUGUUUUAUAUUUCUGUAUUUUUCAUGUUCAGAUUUUCUCCAUUGCUAUUAUAGUGGUUGAAUCAAGUAUUUGAAGGAGUUUGUUUUUGAAACUUCUGUAUAGGGACUCAACCUUGCUUAUGAGGAACAAGUGCCUAAAGCUGCUGCACGAUAUUGCUGUUGGCACGUCUACUGCAACUUCAAAGUCAAAUUUAUAGGAUUGCUGCUAAGGAGAUUUUUUUGGCAAGCAGCUAAAAGUUAUGAUUUGAUAGGACACAAUGAGGCUAUGGAAAGAAUAAAAAAUAUUAACAUAGAUGCUUGGAGAUACUUAGCAAACAUUCCUAAGUGUAAUUGGGCAAGGCAUGCAUUUUCUGUUAAAAUUAAGUGUGAUCAUGUCACCAAUAAUUUCACAGAAUCUUUUAAUGCAUGGGGUUGGAGAACUGAGGGAAAAGAAUAUACUUGCUCUGGCUGAAGGACUGAGGCAAAAAUUCAUGAAAAAACUGCAUAAGAGGUAUCAAAAAGGCUGCACAUGGACAUCUAGUGUUACUCCACAUGUUAUUGGCAAGCUGAAGAUAUUGCAGCUGAAUCAAGAAGGUGUUUACUGAUAAUGGCAAGUGACAACACGUUUGAAGUAGCAGACUAUGAUAAGUCCUAUAUAGUCAAGUUGAUUGAAAGGAUAUGUGAAUGCGGGGCUUUCCAGUUGGCUGGCAUUCCUUGCAAGCAUGCUGCACUAGGAGCUAUUUAUAGAAGGGAGAAACUGGAACGCUAAUGUGAUGCAGCCUUUUCCAUUGAUCAAUACUUGAAAACGUAUGCAUUUAUGAUCAACCCAAUUCCACAUAUGAAUAGGUGGCCUCCAAUGGAAAAUGUGACACCGGUAGUAGUUUUGCCACCACCACUUAGAUGAAGCGCUGGUAGACCAAGAAGAAAUAGAAGAAGGGCACUUGAUGAAGGAGCUCCUGCACCUCAACACAAGAGAUCAAUCAGUUUCAGGUGCUCAACGUGCGGCAGGUUUGGACAUAAUAGGAGAACUUGUCAACGAGCUCCUGUUGCUGAGAAAAGAGGCAGCAGUACUUCUACAAAUCAGGUAGCAAGUCGAAGAGGAAAACCAGGAAGAGGCAUUGCCAAUACUGGAUUAGCAGGAUCUGUUCUAUGGGUAAUUGAAGCAAUGUCAAAUUAUAGUAUCUUCAUGUGUAUUAAUUCCUUGCAAAUGAGCUUAGCUUUUUGAUCUGAUUUGUCAGGAACAUGCACAAGGAAAUGUCCCAGUCAUUGUAUCAAGUCAAGGCAGUAAUGGAAGCACUCAAAAUCAUGUUGCUGGAGCUCAUGUUCAACUUAAUCAUUCUGCCUGCACUAGUACUAAUACCAGAAAGGUAUAGUUAAUCAGAAAUUAGAUUCAGCACCUAUUGCUAACUGAUAAGUGACUAAUUUACGUAAUAAUUGUAUGACAUUUUAUAUUACUUUUAGUCACUUUGGUUAUAUUAUUGGAAGAAUAUGAAUCAUUUUGGCUAUAAUUGGUGAAUAAAUGUUUUUAAGUGAUUAAAUGAGGUUUUUAUCACUUUUUACUUGGAUUUUGUGUAUUUUGACAGUUUUUGACACAUUUUCGUAUUUCGGCUAUAACUUGAGUUACAAUGAUCGGAUUGGGAUGAUUCUUGAACCCAUUUGAAGAUAAGAGAUAGAUCUACAACUUUGGUGAAGACAUCUAAAUCCAGUGUGAAGGUUUUCCAGGUCAAAAUGCCGAAUUACAAUAGCAAAUUUCUACUGGUCGAAGCUGGAACAGGGCAAUGAGCAGGUAAGGGUAUUUCAGUCAUAUCUCAGCCUACACAGAUCCAAAUGAGGUGAUUCUUGAUGCAUUAGAAAGAUAACUCAAAAGGCUACAACUUUCGUGUUUUAGACAUGAGCUGGUUCAGCCUCUAACAUCAAGAAAAGAUUGGUUGAAGUUGGGCCAAAAACAGAGCAAGUGAUCCACACUCGGAUCCACUAUUCAUCCGAACCCUCGGUUGUUUCUGGGUUAGUGAUCCGAGCUCGGAUCCAUACGGAUCCGAGGUACUGUAGCAGCUCGGAUCACUGGUCAGAAAAGGCUGCUCUGUACGCGUAAAACUCAAUUUCACCUCCACCAACUCACAUUGGAUGCUAGACAUGUGAGAAACAUUCCCAGCUGUAAAAGGGAGAUGUAAUCCUCAUUUCUUGACCACCUUUCAUCAUUAAAUAGCCAAAUUCAUUGCAAAAAAGGAGAUGGGGAGUUCAUAGCAGAAAAAUAGAGAGACAUACGGGAGAAACUUGAAGUUGCAGAAAUGUAGCUCUUUCAUCUCCCUAGUGUUAGUUUAGCUUAGUAUAGAGUAGUGUAGCUUUCCAUUCUUGUUUAUUAUCUAGAUUAGGAUGAAGAUGGAGGAUGAAGAAGGCAAGGAAGAAAGCUCAUGUGACAAGGGUUGUAUUCCUUCCAAACUCUUUAUCUUUUGUAUUUGAUUCCAAGUUUAGUUAAUAUACAAGUUCUAGAUUUUGUGUUCAUUAUGUGUUUCUAAAGUUUAUACCUUGGGUUUGGUUGAACUUUCUAUGAUUGUUAGUGCUUAUUAUUUGGCUAUUUGACUGCUAUGAUUUGAGCAAGUUAUUUAGCACUUUAGCUCUUGAAAUCAUGAUUAAUCUGGUACCAUUAAUUGUGAUUAUCUAAGGUGUUGUUUCUGCAAUGAAAAUUGAGAUUUAACACUAGUUCAAGAAGUGCUAAACAUAAGGAGUACACUCACGAAAGUAGAGGUGCACUUAUGUGGUUUUUAGUGAUUCAUUUCAUGUAAUUUCAUUGAAGAAAUGAACUUGUAGCUAAUUUCAUAACCAUGAAAAUAGGUAUGGAUUAGUUAUGAGUAUAAUUGAUUCACUACGAAAGUAGGAUUCAAAUGCAUAAGGAAAUUACACCAUAAUUAGCCUAGAUGUAGUAUUCAAUGAUCCAAAUAUAGCACUUGCAUGAGUAGUUAGGGAUACCACAACCUAAGGAGCUUUCAUUUGUUAUUUUGUAUAAUUUCAGUAGGUUUAAAUUUGUUAUAAUUCAUUGAUAGUCUAAAUAAUAGAGAAGCUUUAGUAGUACCGGUAAUUGCAAUCUUCCUUGUGGGAUCGACCCUUAAUACCCUAUACUCGCUCACGAUUCGUAUACUUGCGAUAAAUCGCGUGUGGGGUAUUUAGGAGUUUAUAAAUGUAAAACUUGAUUAGGAUGAGCUUAAUUGUAUAUGUAUACUCCGCGCACGUCAAGUUUUUGGCGCCGUUGCCGGGGAAGAUUUGGCAAUAUCGGUGUGAAGAGUAACUUUAUUAGUUUAGACAUUUUAUUAGUUAUUGUGUGAAUGUUAUUUUCUGUCAUUUUAGUAUUUUUUAUGUGUAUGUGUUUUAUCACCUAUUCUUCUUACUAAUUUUGCUCUUAAGUUGUUUAAAAGCAAUUUUAGGUGAUGAGAAGGGUAGGACAAUUUGGAGGACAAUGCUUGAGAAGUGGAAGAUUGGUAAUGGAUGGUUACCAAGUGCAAAGCUCCUUUAAUAGAGGUAACCAAGAAUUUACUGAAUGUAUGUCUUUUGAAGAUGGUUUAAGGUGCUUAAAGGCUAAAUUUGAUGUUAUGAUGUUACAAGUUCAAAUGGACACCAUGAUGCAUGAAAUUGAGCAGAGGAAGAAUGUUAAUGUUUUUAAUUCUUAUCAUGUGAUUUGUGACUUGUGUGGAGGUUAUCAUGCUACUAAUACAUGUAUGCAAGCACAAAAUAUGGAUUAUUAUGAUGAAUUAGAGCAUUACAAUCCUUGUUUUGAUCGAUAUAGUGCUAAUUUGAGCAAUUCUCCUGCUUAUGGUUGGAAUAAUCAAUGUACUUAUAGUAAUUCUUCAUAUUUUUAUGAUUAUUAGCAAUAGAAAAGCUAGCAAAUGCAACUUCCGAUCGUUUUGAUAGGAUUGAGGAAAGAAUAGAUGAAUUAGCUUCUCACUUUGGUCGAAUACAUGAGCAAUUGAAUGCAUUGUGUGAAGUUAUUUCCUCUAAUAAUGUGCAAAAUGAUCCUAGCAUGAAUGAUGGGAAUGUUGUAUGUGAAAAUGGGUUGCAUUUUGAUGAAAAUGAUGAAUCUCAAUUGUGUUUCAAUGAGCAAAUGUCCAUUUCACAUGAUAAUAUCUUUGGAACUAACUUUGAGCCUCAAGAGGUGAGUUUUAAUGACUCAUUUUUCACCCCUCUUGAGGAGUGCAUUGAAAGUAUAGGUUCUAAAGGUAUUCCUGCCCAAGAUACUCUCAUGACAUUUCCUUUGGUAAGUUCUCAAGUGGUGCAUAUUCAAGGUAAUAUCUAUGGAACACUUGGAAUAUGUAAGUCACUUCCAUCUCUCAGAUCAUUAGUUCAUGUGGCUUUUUCUAUUAAGUCACCUUACAAUGAUCCACCAAGGCCUAAAAUGGUGGAUUAUUCGUUAACUAAGCCUCCUUGAAAAAUGAGGUGAUAUAGUCAAGCUAUUGACUUUAAAGAAGCGCUUAUUGGGAGGCAACCCAAUGCUUGUUUAAGUUGGUGUUACUUUGGAGUGAUUUUAUGUUUAAAGUAUAAGUUUGAGUUAUUUUGUUAUUUUUCAUUUGUAGGUUUUGGAAAAAGAUGCAAAAGUGACCAAAUGAGGUGAAAAAGGCGAAGUUUGAUCAAAGAUCUCAAUACCACAAAUUCAGUAAUUGUGAAUUUUGAUGCAUUAAAGAGGUUUAGAAUGCAUGUUUAGAUCAUUUUACAUGUGCGUGAAUGAUUUAUUUUGACAUAGAAAUGAUCUAGGGUGUAUUUUGAAGAAUUGAGGUCAAACUGAAAAUUGCAAAAAUUCUGCAAUAAGUGCAGAUUCAAUGGAUCCAAGGCCUCGGAUCCAUAUGGAUCCAAGGCCUCGGAUCCACUUCUGCAAUCAGAGAAAAACUUCGAGCUUCUUGAUCCGAGCUCGGAUCCAUAUGGAUCCGAGGCCUCGGAUCCACUUCUGCAAUCAGAAAAAAUUUGAGCUUCUUGAUCCGAGCUCACUUAUCAUGAUCCGACAUCGGAUCCUUUCAAAAACGACCUCGGAUCCUUUCCAAACGAAGCCUCGGACCACUUUUCUUCAUUCUUCCCUCUUUUUCCUCCUUCAACUCCACUUUUCUUCUUGUUGGUUGCAAGCUUUUAUUCUUAAGAAUUGUAUUUUUGUUUUUUUUUCAAGGUGCAUUAAUUGAAGUCUCCAUUCUUUCAAGUAAAGUUGGAAAUUCAUCACAUUGCCAUGGAUUCGGAUCACGCAAGUUCAUUAGGGGAGUAUUACUUUCUCUUAUUUUCGUUAUUUUUCCUUUCUCACAUUGAGGACAAUGUGAAGUUUAAGUGUGGGGGAGGAAAGUAUUGAACUUGCAUUUACUUGCCAUGUGAUGAUAUUUUGUGGAUAUAAAUGCUUAGAAAUAUUGGAGUUAUGUUUGAAUUAUUUGCCAUGUGGAUAAUUUGCCUGAAAUUGGGUUUGUUGGCAGGGAGUUUUCUUCCAUUUAUACGGGGAAACUCCGUCAAAAUUUGUCUAACAUCUUGUCCAAUAUGUCACUAUGGCCCAAAAGUUCUUCAAAUUUUUGCAUUUUCAUUCAAAAAGGGCUAAUUUGUUCCAACUUUAAAUGUUUUUAUUCUUCCAAUUGUUGAAACUUUAUGUGUAUUUUGGAAGGUUUAGUCCUCAUUUAACUUGGAAAUAGUUAUUAUGCAAUUAGAAUUUUUACAUUUUAGAAAGUAUUUUUGGUAAAGUGAGGAAAAUUAUGCCUAUAAUUUUACAUGUUUAAUGAGAUUUCUUCUCUUUACUUAAUUUUGCAAGUAAGUGAUUGACAUAGUUGAUAAAAGGUUAUACUCCUCCUUUGAUUAGUCUUAUAUAUUUUCUAAGAGGGAAUAUCUAUUUAUUGUCCUUUAGUUUAAAAAAUAAAAAAAAAAAAAAAAAAAAAAAAAAAAAAGAGAAGAAAAGAAAGAAAAAAUUAUUCUACUCCAAUGAUUUUUGUACCGAGUAACCGGGGGUUGGCAUCUACAAAUGUCGAUUUUCGCGUAAAAAGCUACUUGAAUUAAGAGUAUGCAUUGCAACUUGAAUAAGUGAAAUGUUGAGUAACCGGGAAUCUUCACCUAAAAGUGUCGAUUUUCGCGUAAAAAGGCAUUCUCACUAAUUAAGUAAAAUUAGUAUGAAUAAAUCCCUCUUAGAUGUAAAAUUUUGAGAAAAGGAUGAUUAUAGGAGGAGGAAGGCUAUAAAUCGACUAUGUGGGUUGCUUAUUUGUGAAAUUAGGUUAGGUUAAGAGAUUAAGUUUAACUUGUUGAAUUUAGGGUAUAAUUAUCUUUCCUUUACUUGAUAUUAUGAGUAUUUAGUGUAAAUUGAAUAAUUAUAUAAUAAUUAUUUUCCAAGUCUUGAGGAAUUAAAUUGGACAAAGUGCAUAUAUUGUUUCACCUCUUGAAUCAUUGCAUUUGAUUAUGUGUGAAUUGCUUGAGGACAAGCAAUGAUUUAAGUGUGGGGGAGUUUGAUAAGUGACUAAUUUACGUAAUAAUUGUAUGACAUUUUAUAUUACUUUUAGUCACUUUGGUUAUAUUAUUGGAAGAAUAUGAAUCAUUUUGGCUAUAAUUGGUGAAUAAAUGUUUUUAAGUGAUUAAAUGAGGUUUUUAUCACUUUUUACUUGGAUUUUGUGUAUUUUGACAGUUUUUGACACAUUUUCGUAUUUCGGCUAUAACUUGAGUUACAAUGAUCGGAUUGGGAUGAUUCUUGAACCCAUUUGAAGAUAAGAGAUAGAUCUACAACUUUGGUGAAGACAUCUAAAUCCAGUUUGAAGGUUUUCCAGGUCAAAAUGCCGAAUUACAAUAGCAAAUUUCUACUGGUCGAAGCUGGAACAGGGCAAUGAGCAGGUAAGGGUAUUUCAGUCAUAUCUCAGCCUACACAGAUCCAAAUGAGGUGAUUCUUGAUGCAUUAGAAAGAUAACUCAAAAGGCUACAACUUUCGUGUUUUAGACAUGAGCUGGUUCAGCCUCUAACAUCAAGAAAAGAUUGGUUGAAGUUGGGCCAAAAACAGAGCAAGUGAUCCACACUCGGAUCCACUAUUCAUCCGAACCCUCGGUUGUUUCUGGGUUAGUGGAUCCGAGGUACUGUAGCAGCUCGGAUCACUGGUCAGAAAAGGCUGCUCUGUACGCGUAAAACUCAAUUUCACCUCCACCAACUCACAUUGGAUGCUAGACAUGUGAGAAACAUUCCCAGCUGUAAAAGGGAGAUGUAAUCCUCAUUUCUUGACCACCUUUCAUCAUAAAAUAGCCAAAUUCAUUGCAAAAAAGGAGAUGGGGAGUUCAUAGCAGAAAAAUAGAGAGACAUACGGGAGAAGCUUGAAGUUGCAGAAAUGUAGCUCUUUCAUCUCCCUAGUGUUAGUUUAGCUUAGUAUAGAGUAGUGUAGCUUUCCAUUCUUGUUUAUUAUCUAGAUUAGGAUGAAGAUGGAGGAUGAAGAAGGCAAGGAAGAAAGCUCAUGUGACAAGGGUUGUAUUCCUUCCAAACUCUUUAUCUUUUGUAUUUGAUUCCAAGUUUAGUUAAUAUACAAGUUCUAGAUUUUGUGUUCAUUAUGUGUUUCUAAAGUUUAUACCUUGGGUUUGGUUGAACUUUCUAUGAUUGUUAGUGCUUAUUAUUUGGCUAUUUGACUGCUAUGAUUUGAGCAAGUUAUUUAGCACUUUAGCUCUUGAAAUCAUGAUUAAUCUGGUACCAUUAAUUGUGAUUAUCUAAGGUGUUGUUUCUGCAAUGAAAAUUGAGAUUUAACACUAGUUCAAGAAGUGCUAAACAUAAGGAGUACACUCACGAAAGUAGAGGUGCACUUAUGUGAUUUUUAGUGAUUCAUUUCAUGUAAUUUCAUUGAAGAAAUGAACUUGUAGCUAAUUUCAUAACCAUGAAAAUAGGUAUGGAUUAGUUAUGAGUAUAAUUGAUUCACUACGAAAGUAGGAUUCAAAUGCAUAAGGAAAUUACACCAUAAUUAGCCUAGAUGUAGUAUUCAAUGAUCCAAAUAUAGCACUUGCAUGAGUAGUUAGGGAUACCACAACCUAAGGAACUUUCAUUUGUUAAUUUCUUGUAUAAGUGCAGUAGGUUAAAUUUCUUAUCAUUAAUUGAUAGUCUAAAUAAUAGAGAAGCUUUAGUAGUACCGGUAAUUGCAAUCUUCCUUGUGGGAUCGACCCUUAAUACCCUAUACUCGCUCACGAUUCGUAUACUUGCGAUAAAUCGCGUGUGGGGUAUUUAGAAGUUUAUAAAUGUAAAACUUGAUUAAGAUGAGCUUAAUUGUAUAUGUAUACUCCGCGCACGUCACUAACUAUUCUAACUGUUGACCAGUCAUUAGUUUAAUAACAUUUGUUGCAUGGCUUCAGAGAGAAGGGCCAAAUGCAGGGGUUGGAACUAUUGUUGCUAACACCAAUAAGAGAGCCUGACCUUCCAUUGUUGUUGGCUCAGAACAAACUCCAGCAGUCACUGCAUCUUCAAUAUCCACUUCUGCUGGUAUGGUAUCUCACAUUGACAAUAGCAGCAUCAGUAUGAGGUUCUAAUUAGUACUAGUAUUAUGAGUUUUGCUUUGGGAGACUAAUCUGGUAUUUUUGUAUACGUAGCAUUCCUCAUCAUCUAGAAUGAUGUUUUUAGAUGAUGUUUUCUGAGAUUCUUGUUGAUUGCUACAUACUUUUGUUUAGUUGUAAAUAUGGAUGCAAGUGGUUAAUUGCAUUCCCAGUCCCAGUGAACGACUUCAAAGACAUAUGUUUUGGUACUUAUGUUUGGGAAUUGCAAUUUACUCUUGCCAAGUAUGCUCUGCUGCUACCCAUAGAUCUUGCAAAUAUGACUUAUUACCUUUAUGUAUGGAAUUUGCAAGCCUUCAAAGAUGUCAUGCUGUUGUUUUUUUUUUUUAACUCUAUGACUCUGAUUCCUCAGGAUUACGUGUGAAACUAGUACUGUUGUUUUCCAAUGAACUUAGCAGGAGAGACACAUUGUACCUAAGGAACUGCACCUGAUAGCUUAAUGCAUUUUUUGUCAAGUAUGACUUUUGGUAUAACACUGAUAGGCAACAAAUAUGGGGGGCAUACGUAUGAAGUAAAACAUAGCUUCAACUCUUUUUCAUAUAGCUUAACAUCAUGUCCAAGUUACACAUGCCUUUUGGUUCUUUCAUUUAUGACCAGUAAGGCUCCAAAUAGCUUGGAACACAUCUACUAUUACUGGAACAAGAAACUGUGAUUGCUUUAACAAUUUGAAUGAAAAGAAAAAUUGCUAAGAGUACAAGAUUGAUGAUGAACAAGAAAGUGAUACAUGCAUUCUGUUGAGGCACAAAAGUUACAUUCCUGAUUUGCUUUCCUCAAUGGAAGCACUGCAGAAUCAGCAUCAUUUCUUGUACGCUGCACUUCUUCACCUUCAUUUCUUUGCCUCUGCAACUCUUCGCCUUCAUUUCCUUCAUACCACUGGAAGUAGUUGCACUUUGAACAACUAAAAUAUAGCUUAUCCGGAUUUCUUUCACUCUCUGAGAUUCGUAAUGUGGCCUUGCGGUUGCAUUUACAAUACCGGUUCUUCAUGCUUAAUGAUAAAGGUGAAUUGUAUGACUGACCUUGGAAGGAUGAACUAGCCAUUUCUUUGCUUACUUUCCUUUUUAAGUUUUGCAGCUAUUUCAUGCGGUUCCCUUACCUUUUAAUACCACUGGAAGUAGCCGUUGCUUUUCCUUCACCUUCAUGCGGUUCACUCAAAAUAGCUGUUGCAUGUCCAACGGCCAUGUAACAGUGCUCAUACCAGAAAAUUUAUCUCCAAUUCAUAUUUUCCACCUACUGCAACUUUGAUAUGUCACAGGAUUCAGUCAAACUAAGGGUAUGAAGGGAAUUAAAAUACUCUCCCUCUUCCAAAACCAAUAUUCUAAUGUUACUUUUGCUCAGAGGGGCUGACAUUGUUAAGAAAAUGUCAAUUCAAAGGGUGGUAAGAGAGAUUUCUAAAAUGUAAAGGGAGCUAAGUGAUAUUUGAAGAAACCUCAGGGGAGGUUUCUGAUAUUAUCCCUAUAAAUUAACUUGAUUUCUGGUUUCGGGAAGUUGUUCGUUUUUUCCCUAUUUCAACAGAAAGCCUUGCGGCUUGUUUUGUUAGUUUAUUCAUUCAAGAGUUUUGAUUAACAUAAUAUUUAGUAGGGCCUGCAUGAUAUGUAACUUAUUAAUAUGUUAAGGAAAUUAGGGUUUCUCUAAUUUGUGUGAACCCUAAUAAAGUUAAACAACACAUUUAAGCCUUUGAAAAAAAAAAGUCCAUAAGAUUGGUUCACUAAGUAUAUAGUCUUAUAAGACAUUUAUGGAUUUCAAGAAAAUUUUGAAUUUGAAUGAUAAAUUUGGGUUAAGUUAUAGAUAUGGACUUUUAAUCCAAUAAAUCUUGAUCCAUUUGACUGGUUUGACUAGAAUUUGGCUUGUUUGACUAUAUUUGACCAGAAUUGAUUAGUUUGACAAGAUUUGACCAAUUUGACUGGUUUGACCACGUUUUGAUCAAAAUUGACUAAAGUUGAUUUUGAUCAAAAUUUUUGUGUAUUUCGUGUAAUUUUAAAUUUGAAUAUUGGUAUGAUUAUAUAUAUUUUAGAAUAAAUUAAUUGAAACAAUAUGUAACUAAAGUGACAUCUUUUGUGAUUUAAUUUAUUUUAAAAUAUACCUAGUUAGGUACUUGUAAUUUUGUUAAUAUUGACUCAAAGGAAGGUCAAUAUUUAACAAAAUUGCAUGUGCAAUUGUAGUAAUAAACACGUGAUGAUUAUUCAAAUUUUUUCGUGUGAAUUAUAAAUUGGCCCAAAGAAAAAUUUAUUUUUGACAUGUUAUUAUUGUCAGUGUUUAUUAUUGCAUCAAGAUAUCAUUUAGAAGUUAAUAUUUUUAUUCAAAAAUAAAAUAUUAAUGAAAUAUUGGUAUCUUGAGAUGGGGUUACCUUUAUUUAAAUUUAUUAUUAUUUUUUGGUGAAUGUGAGUUUGAUUUAACUAUUUUAUGUUUUCUGCUCAGUUUCGAAUGAUCUUACAAAUAUUACUACCAAUAUCAAUAAUAUUUCUAUGCUGAAUGGCUUUCUUUUGGACCCUUUUAAGGCAGCUCCCAAACCACCGGAUUGUGACGCAGCUGCAACCGCAAUCACUAGCAGCAGUUCGUACUCAUUAAAUGAUCACUUUAAUUAAUUGGGGACUGGUUAUUUUUUUUUUUGCUUUUUUUUAACGUAUGUGCAUCAUCGAACUAAAGAAUUUUAGACAAAACUACGAGUUAAAAUUUGUAACUUUGGAAGAGUUAAAAAAGGGAGAGAAGCUAAAACAAUUUCACUUGAGUUUUUAUUUUAUUUUUAUAUCUUGAUUAGCCGUUUGUUUUAUUGAAUCUUGCCCAAUUCCCGUCACAAAUAAAAAAAAAUAUGAUUAAACAACAACUGAAUUGUAAUCAAAAUAAUAGUACAACCCAUACUAAAGAAUGGAAAUUAACAUACAAAAUGAAUCUAUAUAUCCAUAAUCCAAAAUGAAUUUGGCAAAUAGAGAGAACAAAAAUAAAACCACAAUUUUAGGGUAAAAAAGAGGAAAAUAAUUAAUUCUUCAACAUUUCAGCUACAGGGCCAUAAUUUGGCGACGGAAAAACAAAGGGAAACCAAUAAAACAACUCUAUUGGUCCAAAAAGCAAACACCACGGAACGGAAGCCCCGUUCUGUUAGCCUCAAUGGACCAAGUGAAUAACUGUUUUUCGGCCUAGGUACUUCUGGACAAAAGUCACAGGGCUCCACACGCGUCUCAGCCCAGCACAUGAAUGUGAUAGACUCGCAAGUCCAAGAAGUUUGCUUGUUUUCAAGCCUGUAUCUCUACAGAAAAUGGCCCGGGGACUUUCCUGGGCCUGGCCCCACAUAGGUGUUGACCUUGACCAUCUCACUUCGUCCGCGGUGCGACGGUUCGACCGACUUCGAAGCAUAAAUUAUACUUGGGCAUACUUCUUAAGAAUUCACGAUGUGGGAGGAGUUAAUUUCUACUCUUAAGCUAUUGAGCUAGCUAGGUAAGGGAUUCGAAAUCCCUUGCCUGCAUUUCUCAUUCAGAAUUUUUUGAAAUUUUUUCGCAAGUAUAGUUUCCCUCAAGUUUUUAAUAGAUUAAUCGCGUUGAUCCCCACACUAGGCAAACCCUUAAGGUAGAGAAGGAAAAGAGCAGGGAAAACCGGUCUUCUCAGUAAAUUAUUCUAGCUGAAAUUCAAAGAUUGAAGAAUCCGAGGUCUGACGUGAUUGAACUUACCACAAAAUGCCAAGACAUUGAGGAUGCUGCAACUGUGCUAAGGAGGAGCAAAGUUUAGGUACUUCCAAAAUGAGUUAUUAUCACUUUAUCCCCUUAAAAUUAUAUCAUUAUUAUCAAUUUACCCCCUAAUAUUAUCUUUUAUUCAUUUCACUCCUAUUGGUAAUUCAAUUUAGCAUGUUAACAAAUUCUGAAUAAAAAUAUCUUUUUAUUUUAUAGUAUUAUUACAUUAUUAUUAUCACUUUAUCUCUUUAAAUUAUAUUGAUACAGUCACUUUAAUAUUGUAUAUUUUAUCGAAUUAAGAUUUUUUUGGAUUUGCAGAAUUUUAGUGAAGAGUACACAUGCUUUGGCAUAAUUAGCACAUGCGUUUGGAAGUCGAACCAGUACGAGUUGGAUCAAGAAUUGACACAAGUAAUUUGUUUAAUUAAUUUUUUUUGUAAGUAAGAGAUAUUAAAUUCAUGACAUUCUACUUAUAAUUUCUCCCGCUUUGCCAUCCAACUCAAUCUUCCCCUCAAAUUAAACUUAUUAGAUAAAUUGUUGAUUAAACUUGCCAUCAAGUUCGAGCAAUAAAAGCGCAAAGCCACCCACAUCCACCUUUUUUUCAUGAGAUUUGGGUCGGACAAUCAAUUGGUUCUUCGUUCAAUCAGUUGAACCGGUCCUUCCGGUCCAAUUUUCAAAACACACCGCCUUCAUUCAUGUCCGUGUCCUCUGGUUUCCCUCCAUCAGGCAAUACAACAUCAAACUUGCCCAAACAUGUUGCUCGAAUGAAGUCAUUAAUGGCAAUGCAAAAGGUCAUUAACAGCCACUAACUGCCAAAUAGAGUUGAUCCAAAGCUGAACGUCGAAAACCAACAUCAAAUGUGGAGAACCUUAAUAAUGGAUUUUGCGGCUUUUCUUCUCAAUAAUGGAUUUUGCCAACUGCCCAACAAUUCUCAAAUAGUAAUAACAUGGUAAGGCUGCGACAGGUCAUGGCCCUUUUCGUUGAUGCUUCGAGCCAAGUCUGACAGGAACCAAUAAUGGAGUAGGAACAUGAGCCAUGAAAACGUUAAUUUUUUCCGUUAUUCAUUUAUAACCCAUACCAAAACUCGGCAGUACUGGAUCCAAAGUGGGGCAACUUAAUUUUUAUUAUUAUCAUUAAUCUUUUGUCUCAUAGCUUUUCUAUACUAUUUUGCAAAUGAUUUGUCUCAUGGCCUCUCUCAUGCAAAUGAUUUCAAUUCUACAAUAUAGAAAUUCAAUAUUUUGGGCAAAUCCCUAGUCAUUAAGUAGGCAUUUAUAUGGAGUACAAGAGCAGAACAAUGGCAAACCGAAGGCACUCAACCUGUACAUGGGUGGUUCUAAGCUUCCCAUGUGUUGACCUACUUGAUAAGUUAUUUAGAUCACUCAAAUGGUUAAUAAAAUUGGAGAUUGGAGAAUACAUAUAUAUAUAUAUACUAGGAGAGGAAUGCCUGCGCAUCGCGCGGGUGUUUGGUGCCAGUGAUUAAAAAAGAUUUUACGGUAGUUCAAGCGAAUAUCAAAAAACUCACGCACAUUAAGUAACACUAUGAAGUAACAAAAUAUCUAAUGUAUACUGUGAGAUAGAGAAGGAAAUUAUGCAUGCUAUCUUGCUUGGUUCAUAUAUUUUGUAACAAACACUUGUAUAUGAGCUUUUCAUUAAUAAGACUAAAUGAACUUUAAAUAGAUACCCUAACGAUUCAGAGAAUGACAAUAAACAAAGUGAUUAUCCACUUAAAGAUGCAUCUACACAACAUUCUUGUUGAUGAAAGUAGCCAACUUUUUUAGCAACGACAAAGUCUAACCUCGAAAGGUUUGGUUCCAUCAGAGGAUUCAACAAUGGAUCAUCAACCCCCGUAGAUUUUGGGUAAACAUAAUGCCAAAUGCCCUUAACAUAGGCGUUCGCCUGUAAUUUCAUUAACUCAAUACUGAUUAGAUUUUUUCCCAAAAAAUAAGGACAAUUGAGAAAAAUCACAUCAAAAUCAAAGUCGUCUAGUAUCUCCAACCAAACCCUUGAUGCCAUGUGUAUGUUCUAAAUUACCACCAGCAUUAUACCCACCAAAAAACACCCUAUCAAAGCCAGCAUAAUCCCUAAGCCAUACCUCAGGACCCUCACCAUUUGAAUGAGGGGCAAUCCAUUUGACUGCAAUCUAAGAAUCUUCAUAAGCAAUAGGCAAAGGAUGCUCAGGGCGAGCUGAUAGUUAAUUGAAAUUGCUACAACACUAACUUCUGCAACUACUACAUUAAGGUGCGCGUGAUAUGUAGGAGAGAAGGCAUAUUUGAUCAAAAAGCCUCCACCAUGUAAGUAGACCAAAAAAGGAAGUUUUGUAUCUCCAAACCUAUUCCAACAAAACCACACCAUUUAAAUUGUAUAGAACAACCAACUUUGUGGGGAAACAAUAAUAUCAACAUUAAAUUGUGCUAACAGACUAUCCAAUUUUGGAAUGAAAGCAUUUAGCUAACAAUAGAAAUUAUGAUUUUACAAAGCAAAUCAUACCAUUAAAAAAAAUGAAACCUCACCUCAAGUUGAACCACCAAGAAUAGCUUCACCAGAGAACCAUAUUGAAAUCCAGAGUAUAAUUACAAUACAAAUAAGUAUUUACCGGAAGACGAAAGGAACAUGACGGAAGAAUGUGAAGGGGAUAUUUGAAGAAUUGAAGUUGAAACUAAUGCUCAAUCAUAAAUUCCUUAAUAAACCACAUUGCCCUUGCUUUAAUUGAGAUGAAAAUGACGUUUGAAGUUCUUCAAGUUAUAAUAGCAAAGUAAAAUUAAUAAUUGAUACAAACCAUAAUGAAUGUCUCUGCAAGGACAUUUAAGUAAUUACGUCAAUAAAGAAGCUUUAUGGGUUGUACCCAUUGUAGAAAAGAUGACCAAAUAAUCUCACAUUCCCAAACUACCCAAACCUUUGAACAAAUCAUCACUGCAUCUUUUAGAAUAUAAGGACAUUUCAGUAAACACAAUAAUAGACAUGUUAUCUAAAGUAGUACCCAAUACUAUAACUACACUCAAAACAACCUCACAAUCCCAAAAUAUCCCUACUCUUACAGUUGAAAUUCAAAGCCAUUCUUUGACCCAAACUCAUUCUUAUAUAGUAUAAGGAUUUAUAUAUAUAUAUAUAUAGUUCCUUCCAAUCUAACUACACUUGUACAUGACAUCAAGUAAACAUAAAACGGUGGAAAUAUGAGAACUUUCAUCACAAUGGAAAAUGUGGUCUCCCACUCCUUAUUACGAGUCACCAGCGUGAACUUCCACUAGAAAUAAGACCACAAAAAUAAAAAAGAAAGCAUACGAAUACAAAGCCAUUAACAAAGAUAUGGAGUGGCAAUAGCAUGUAGAGGAUGUUUUCUGUGAACUGUGAUACCAGAUGCUUCAGUCAUGUCCAAAUCCUCUGGCUUCAUUCCAUCAGGCAAUGCAAAAUUAAAUUUGUUGACCAAUUUUGCCAAUGCAAGUUCAUUUACGGAUAUGGCAAAGUUGAUACCCGGGCAAACCCUUCGUCCGGAACCAAAAGGAAUUAACUCAAAGUUAAAACCUCGAAAAUCUAUAUUGGAAUUCAGAAACCUCUCAGGUUGAAAUUCCUCAGGGUUCUCCCACAACAUGGGGUCUCUUGCAAUUGCACUAGCAUUCACCAACACUAGUGUGCCUGCUGGUAUAUCACACCCCAUUAUUUUGAUGUCUCGAGUUGAUUCCCGAGGAACCAGUAAUGGAACAGGAACGUGAUAUCGUAGAGUUUCUUUAAUCACUGCUUUUAAGUAUCUCAUCUUCUGCAAAUCUAGUUGAGUUAUUUCUGGUUUUCCCUGGGUCACUUCUCUUACCUCAGCCUGCAAUUUCUGCAAGGUUAUAGGUUUCUUUAGAAGUUCUGACAUUGCCCAUUCCAUAACUGAAUGUGUUGUGUCAGUUCCACCGCCAAACACGUCCUGCAUGACGGAAUGAAGGAAAGUGUUGCUUUAGAACAUGCAUAGAUGCUUUUUUUUUUUAAUCUAAAUUUUCAAUUUCAAAAAAAAAUGGGCACCUGUCCAAAGAAAAAGAAAAAUGAAGACAGAUUAACAAUAUUCAUACUAUCGCAAUAAGCGUUUAAUUACCACAUACAAGACGAAACAUUAUGUUUAGGUACAUGUAAAUUUAAAAGUUACAAAAGUUUAAGUGCAUAAAGUUCGGUUAACCCAAGCAACCAUUGAGGUUUUUUUUUUUUUAACAUUUUUUACAAGAGAAGGUAUUCAAAUGCAAUGGAUGAAUUUUCUUUUAAUCUGAUAACAAGGGAAGGUAUUCAAAUACAAGGGACGAAAAUGAGUUUGAUUACAUACAUUCAUAGUAAUUUUGAUAUAACUUAAAUAUAUUAUAGAGUGUAUAUAUUCAGAGUUGUGUGGUAAUUUUAGAAUUUUUAUAGUGAGUCAACCCUUUUUGUUGUUUAUUUAAUAUCCUUACCCCUUGUUUGCAGUUUUGUCCAAAAUAAAAAGAUCUUUCUACCCAAAAUGGCAGUGAUAAAUAUUUAUCAUUAUUCAUUCUUCAAUAUUUAGUGUGAUCAAUAUUUUGUUGUCCGAAAAGAAUACAAUUAAUACGUAUUUGACUUAAUUAUCCUAGAUAUGUUUAUGACUUUUAUUUUUUGUUCUAGUAUGUUAAUCUUUUGUUUACAUGGAAUUUUCACAUUUUUUGCUUUCAGAAUCUUUUGUUUACAUGGAAUUUCUACUAUGUAAUCUUUUGUUUUCAUUUUUUAUAUGAAAUUCAAAAAAAAUUCUGCACAACUAUUCAAAAGUCAAAGAAUAAAGUAUCUCAAAACAUUUGUUUGCUUGAAAAAAAAGAAAAUUUUAUUUUACAUAAAAGAAAAUUUUUUAUUAAGCUCACAAAUGUCUUAAGAUAUGGUGAUACAGUGAAAAGAUUUUGAUAAAUUUGAUAUCCUGCUAUAUUAGGCAUUCUAAGAUGAAAUUGGAAAGAACUUUCUUUAAAUUUUUUGAGGAAUAGAAUUUGAGAAAAAAAAGUUGGAAUAAACAUUUCAAAGGGAAAGGAAUUUCCCUUUAAAUGAUUUAUACCAAACUUAGCAUGUAAUGAAUAAGUUAUAAAGGCUUUUUUCGAGUCUAUUCCUACCUACAAAACAUAGUGUUAACGUAUGGAAUGGAAUCGAUGUUUCCAAACUAUUACUAGACUGACCUAGCUAGACUGAUUGAUUGAACCAAGGACCAACUCUAUCACAAGAUUCUAUGUUAAAGCAAGAAAAAAAAAUAAACAAUGAGUCAACCUUAAACAUAAACUGAUCAAACCGGACAAACCUGGUAAAACUCCAACAGUUGAAUAGGCUAGCCACUAGAAAUUUUUUCCCUUUAUAUAAUUUGGUAUUAUUCAAAUUUUCUAAUUAUAACUAAAGUAAGAAAACAUUUAAUUGAACUAGUGGUUGAACCAUGAAGGCAUGAACCAAAAGCUCUUUCAUUGAACCAUCCGAGUUUAAUAAUAUUGAAUUCAGUAAACCUUACAAACCAAAUAGAUUUUGAUCUUGCACAUCGGAGUAAAGGAGGAGGAUGCCAUCUAAUAGGUUGUCAUGUCCAAGUCAACUAAACAAGAAACAUUUGUAUGACAGUACCAAACAAAAUCUAAACCUUCCAGCCUAGUGCAAGUCACUACCUGCAAAACUAGUACUAGAUGAUCUAUUACCAAUAAACAUAAUUCUUUUCAGAGUUGAAAUCAAUUAUAAAUUCUCAUAGUACGAUGUAAUUAAAGAGAUGGAGAGAGAUCCAAUUUACCAGGAUGAUAGCUUUCAUAUCAUCACGGCCAAGAGCAAAGCCGAUAGUGCUUUCCUUAUUAACCUCGAUCAGAAUGUCCACAAAGUCUAGGCAUCUUGCCUCAACGGAAUAGUCAUUUUCAGCCUCACCUUUCCUCUUAUUUAUGUGCUCUUCUAUUACACCCUCAAGAAAUUCAUCAAUCAGUUUAACAAAUUUCUCUACUUUCAAGUCCAAACCAUUGAAACGAUUAACCCAUGCAAGCCAAGGAAUGUAGUCUCCUACAUCAAAAACACCCAUUAACUCAACAAAAACCCUCAAAUUUUCCAUAAUUUUUCCUCCCUUUUUCUUCCUCACUAUACUUCCUCCCCAGGGCAACCCUACAAAUUAUAUCAUUUGUGAGAGUUACAAAUAUUUCAGUUAAGUUUACAGGUGAAGAAGAACACAUCUGAUUGAUCUUUUCGAUCAUGAGUGAAGUCUCUUCUUCUCUAACAUGCUGAUAUGACUGAACCCUUUGGUUACUCAAAAGAUGCAGCACACAAAUGCUUUUGGCUUGUCUCCAAUACUCACCAUACGGUGUAAAUGCUACGUCCUUACUUCCGUAGAAUAGUCUAUCUUUAACGCUCGAUUUAGGCCUGUUUGAAAAAACCAGAUCAUGGGUUUUCAUGAUCUGGCUAGCUGCAUCAGAUGAAGAGACAACCAGCACUGGCUUGCUUCCAAAACGAAGUAGCAUGAGUGGGCCAUAUUUUCUUGACAAUGAUUGGAGGGAUCUGUGUGGAAGCAAGCCAAGCUGGUGAAUAUUUCCAAUAAUUGGGAGCUUUGGUGGAGAUGGUGGUAGCUCUUUUUGGGGUUUAGAAGCAGCAUAGAACCAUUUCAAAAGGGCUAGAAGGAAUACAACUGAGGAAACUGAGAAGAAUAAAAGAUCAAAAGAGAACGCCAUGAUCUAUAUGAUCUUGUGUUUGCCUAUUAAUGGGCUACUCUUCUUAUAUAAGAUUACAGGCUGCUUUUAGAAUUGAAAUCCCAAUAAUACACCUUACAACAAUAGGACCAGAAAUGUAUAUUUAAUUAUUUAGCACAAGGGAUGAUUUGAGCCCGCAAGUUACACGGGGAGGAAUGAGUUGGGUUGUGCAAAGAAAAGGAGUAUAAGUAAAAGGUUUGGAUGCUAACUCACUUACACUAAAAAGAAAAAAAAAAGGAGCGCAUACGUUACACAAGACAAAACUAUUGGUCUCUGAUUUAUGUUUUGGAGCUAUGGUAUUUUUGUCUGAUUUAUGUGAUUGGUCUCUGAUUUAUCUUUUGGAGCUAUGGUAUUGGAAUCAUGGAGAAAACUCCUUUGUGAAAGAAUAUCCAUUCACAUUUCGCAAAAUUUGACCCCAAGAAAUAGAAAAAGACUAGCUUCUGAUGGGAUCGGUGCAUCAGAAAAAAGACGUUUAUUUUUUUGUUCCUUGGAUGAAGGAAGCCGGAGCAUCAAACAUGCCCUUUCGGCCAUAGGCCAUAGCCCACAGCCGACAGUUGAUUCUCCUUUUUGCCACGGACGUCUUAUCAAAUUAUGUAACAAAAUUUCAACGGUUAGGUACAAAAAUAGGUAACUCCGUCUAGGUUGCCCAAUCAAUUAUGACUAUCAUUUUGUGUCUUUGAAGAAAAUUUGGCAUGCAAUUUUCCUAUGGGAUAAUUUCACAAACCUCCCCUGUAGUGUAUGACAAUUUCACUCGACUCCCCUCAAAUUUUACAAAUUACACUGACCUCCCUUAUUACAAUAAAAUGACUAUAAUGACCUUCACUUAAUAAAUAAUUCAUAGUAUAAUGAAAUGAGAUUAAAAAAAAAAUAAAAAGAAACCUGACUUCUUUGACUAUAUUAUUUAUAAGUUAUAAUCAACGACGAUUCUAUGUCACUUACUGUCACUCCGUUCUCAUCCAUCAACCCCUUCCUCUUAUAACUCGCUUUUAAAUUACUACCAACCAUUGCCUAUAACUACAGCCAAUUACAUCACAAGUGAUCUCUCAAACUCUAUUAUAUAUUUCUACUCCUCCUUUCUUCUCUUUGGAAUUGCCAAAUCACAAGUUUAGUUGAGGAAUUAGAUUUGAUGGUUGAAACAAAAUCCGAUUUCAUGGUCAAACUAAAAGGAGAUGAAGAGCCACACAAUAACAAUGGAACAAAUAAUGCUGUCAUUGGCCAAAAGAGAAAGAGAGACUGAAAUUGAUAAAUUUGCUAACCUAUCUAUCAUCUAUCAAAAAAACUUUUUAACACGUUAAUAAGUACAUUUAUAUUUCUUUUUAUGCUUGACAAUUGCUGGUUGUGAUUCGCUAUGGAGAUAGAGUUUCUUCUCUGUAUUUAAAAUGUUAACAUAUUUGGGGAUUUGAUGGUAGGCUAGAUUAUUUUAUUUUGAGAAGCUGUGAGCAUUGGGUUUGAAAUUUAGGGUGUGAUUAGUUGUAAAUAUAAAUUUGAUUUCGGGCAAAAUGAAUUUCUUGAAGAUCUGUAUAAUAAUAAUGAUGCCUUCCUUCUCUUAAACUUGAUUACUCCAAUCCAUACCUAAAUCUCCCCUAAGGAUUUUCUUCAAGACCAUAAUGUGGCUCAUAUAGUAGGAGUUAGGGUUGCAUACGAACAGAGUCGAGUCAAACUUUGGUCUAAUCGAGCCGAACCUUAACUUAGUUUUAUUGAAUUUAAACUCAAACUCGAGCUCAAGGAGCUGACAAUUUUGAAACUGGAGCUCGAGCUCAAAAAAUAAAAACAAUUAUUUUAUUUUUUAAAAAAUAAAUAAAAUAAUAUUUUUUCUUAAUAAAUAUUAAAAUAUUAAUGAUAUAUAUGUAAUUUUACUAUUAAAAUAAAAAAAUAUAUAUGUACUUGAUUUGAGCUCGAGUUCGAGCUCGAUUUCGACUCGGCCAACUUGAGUUCAAUAUUGAUCGAGCUUGAGUCGAGCUUGACUCGAGCGGCUCGUGAACAGUUCGAUUCGUUUGCACCCCUAGUAGGAGCUGAGCUACUUAGAUGGAAUCAAAUCAUGGCAUCCUAUGUUGAAAAUUAUGCAAAUAUAAGGGUAGUUGAUUGUGAUUUAUCAUUCCAUGAAAUCAUACAGUAAGAAUAUUUCUGAAAGAUGGAACGAAUCUUCAAAAUUGAAUGCAUGCUUUGGGAGAAGCAAUUUUAUGACUAUGAUGAUGGAAUUUCUUGAAUUUAGAAAUUGGAAUUAGACUAUUUGUUAGGCUAGUUUGUUAGUAUAGUGGGUUUUGUUGAAAUAUGGAAGAAAUCAAUCGGCAAAAUAAUUUUUGUUUUAUUUUUUGAUAAAAAGGGUAGUUUAGGAUUUUUGAGAAAAAUAUAGGCUUUUGGACCUAUAUUGUUAUAUAAAUAGUAAAAGCAAUGGAUAUAGGUGUAAUUUAAUAAACUUGAGAGGAGCUCUCUGCAAUUGUCAGAAUCUUAGGGGAGGUUUAUGAAAUUAUCCCUUUUCGUAUUCUUAAGUUUGAACUAAUGUUUAAUAGUAUAAAUGCACCAUAUGCUUGUGAGUUUGAAUUUUCUUUCGAAAUUUUGAGGAACUAAUAUUUGGAAAGUUUAUUAAUCAACUUUUUCUACCAAGGCACAAUAUUCUUCAACUCUAGAAAUAUUCGAAUAUAAAUUAUUACCUCAUGAAAUGUUUUAUCAGGAGCUGAUUAAGAUGUAAUUGGUCUAUGUCCAUAAUACACUGGCUUCGGUAGGUGAGUGUGAUGAGAUCAUCAAUGAUCUUACCACGUGAUUUGAAGAUUAUAAGUAUUAUCUAUAGUAAAUCUGACAAUUGUUAGGCCUCUUAAAACUAAUGAUUAGUCUAAGACCCUAUUUGAUAACUCAGUUCAGCAUUUAAAUUUAAUGGAUUCAAAUCUUAAUAUAUUCAAACCGUUGAUAACAAAAAAUUGAACAUUUGAAUAAUUAAAUGACACUGAAUUUUUUAGACAAAAUUUGCUCCCAAAAUUAAGUGAUAAACUAUUCACUUAUCACUGAAUGUGAUAUACACUCAAAUGUAUUAUAUUUAAUAUUUAAGAAUUCAUUAAUUUAAUAGAUUCAGACUUUAAAUUUUAGAUUUCAGAUUUCAGUUUUAUCAAACAACUCAUUGGAUGAUCAAAAGAUUUUGCUUUUACUUUGUUUUAUGGGAUAAUAACAUAAAACUCCCCUAAGGUUUCUCUUAAUAUCAUCUAACACCUCUAAAGUUUUAAAAAAUAUUACUUACAUCCAUUUUGUUAUUUGUGUUACAAAAUUAUUGAAAAAUCUAAACUGUCCUUUCGCUUGCUAAAUAAAAAUGCUCUUAAGCCACUUUGUUUAUUCCAAGAAAGCCAUCACCUAAAAAACAAUUUGUAGUAGUACCACUGCAUCACAAUGCUACAGUCCAUAAAAUAUAAAUUUAAAAAACAAAAAAGAUAUUUACAAAGAAAAACAUUAGCAUAAUUUAACUCUAUAUGCUCAAAAUUAAUUUCUUAUAAACCAUUGUUUAUUCCAAGAAAAUCAUCACCUAAAAACAAUCUAUAGUAGUACUACCACAUCACAAUGCUACAGUCCAUAAAAAUAUAAAUUUGAAAAGCAAAAAAGAUAUUUACAAAGAAAUACAUUAGUGUAAUUUAACUCUAUAUGCUCAAAAUUAAUUUCUUAUAAACCUUAGAUUUUCUUCCAACUUAUUGUCAAUCCAUGUCCAAGCCUUUAAAUUAUACUGAUCAUUAUAAAAAUCAAUUCAAAAUAAUCAAAGAAAUCAUACCCCCACUCUAUCACAAUCACAAAAUUUAAAAGAUAAAUAAAAUUGAAUUUACUAUUACUUAUAAAUAAAAAAAUCAUAUAGUCAUCCAAAAAAAAAAAGAAUAAGAAAGAAUGUUGGAGAAAGAAGAAAUAGAAGAAAGUGACUUGUGUUACCUUUUUUUUAAAAUUUUUUGAGCUCCAUUUAUUUGAUAUGUGAAUUACGUAUUGAGAGUUAAUCUAGUUUUUUUUUUUUUUUUGCAAUUAUUAGGGGACAUAAGUGAUAUUUUCAAAACCUUUGGAGUGCCAAGUGAUAUUAGUAGAAAUCUCAAGGAAGAUUUUUGAUAUUAUCCCUUGUCAUGUUUGUUAUACAAUAAAAUUUCUGCUCCAAAAAGCCAUACAGGGCAUUUGAAGCUAUGCUGUUGCUGAGAUGGUAUAGUCCCUUGGCCACUCUCUCUGCACUCUUAAUAUCGGCCCUCCAAUAUCAUAGAGUAAUCAAAUUAUCACAAACCAUUCACAUUCAAAAAAAAGAAGUUUUGCGGAUAAAGCAGUUCCUUGGCGCAACUAUGCACCGCAACAUCCUAUCAGAUGAAAGUACAGUUUUCCAAAAUCAAUCGUAGGGAAUUUGGACUGUUAUUCCUUCGAAACGAGGGAUUUAAUUACAAGUGUCCGUUGUUACAAAUUUUCAGCUGUUCCCGAAUUGGUGCAAAUUCUACAUCGAACUCAUAGUUAUCCUGCAACUCCCAUGUACCAAUUGCGUAGUCCUAUGCUAUGAAUUGUUGUAUAGGCAUAAUAAGAUAUAACUCAGAAUACAAACCUUUUUUUGAAUUAUUGAUCAGUAGCUUAAAUACAAUUUGCCAACACUAGAUAUUUGCUGUCUGGUUAUUUGGAGAAUAGAUCAGUAUAAGGUCCACAUUUAUACUUGAAAAGAUAGGUAAAGAAGGCCUCUAACUAGAAUGUGGAAUAGCUACUGCAAAUACAGGAUUUUUUCUGUGGUUGGUGAGACCAGUGGCUUCAGACAUGUACAAAUCGUGUGGUUUAGCUCCAUCAGUCCAUGCAAAAUCAAACUUGUAUACCAAUUUUGCCAAUGCAAGCUCGUUGACAGCCACAACAAAGGUAGUACCAGGGCAACCCCUGCUUCCAGCUCCAAAUGGAAUCAACUCAGAGUUAAAACCUCGAAAAUCGAUCGUACUAUUCAAGAACCUCUCUGGUUAAAAUUCGGCAGGCUGAUUCCAAGCAAUGGAUCUCGUAAAAUUGCCCAAGCAAUUACCAUUACUGCUGCACCUGCUGGUAUAUCAUACACCAUUAUCCUAACGUGUUUAGUUGAUUCUCGACGAAUGAAAUAAUGAGAUUGGAGUAUGAAGUCGUAAAGUCUCCUUGAUCACUGCUUUCAAGUACUCCAUUUUGUGUAAAUCAUCUUCAGUGAUUUCCGAUUUUCCUUCAGUUAAUUGUCUUACCUCAGUUUGCAAUUUCUCCAGGCCCCAGAAGUUCAGACAUUGGCCACUCCAUAUUGAAUCAGUCCUGCAGCAAACACGUCCUAAUCAUGGCAUUUGAAAAAGAAAAAGGAAAUGCUGUUUUAUUGAAAAAAAAUGACAUUCAAAGUUGAAAAACUUAUAGGAUAAGAAGAUAACCCUUAUUAACGUCAAACACAUCUUUUCUAUUUCAAAGUUGACGUGGAUUAUAUGAUUGUUUAUCUGAAAGUUGAAUUGUAUACCAUAACAAAACAAAACUAUAGGGUAGCAUAAUAAUUUGUUCUAUUUUUUGAUACUCUGACAUUGAUUUUAUCUCUCACUUACAAUUAAAAAAAUCUAAAAAGUGUGUCAAAUCAUGUCUCUAGUUUAGGUGGGGUGCUUACCUUUUCCUUAGGUGUAUAGACUUCAAUUUUGAAGGUUCUUGAUAAUAUCAAGGAAAGGUUUAUUUCCUUAGCUAAGGGAAAUGUUUAUUUCCCUCUCCAAUAUUAAUAAUAUCAAGGUCACUGUAAAGCUUAACUAAUACGAUUAAAAUUAAUGACAAUUAUUUGUUAAUUAGUGCAAAGCUUAACUUAUACGAUUGCUUAGUGCCUUAGUUGUCUUUUGAUUUUCUUAUUGAGCAAUAAGAACGCAAACCAACCUGCUAGUGAAACAUGAAUUCACGAGUAACACUCUAAUAUUAAAGUGAUAGACCAUAAAAAUAGUGAGUGUAGGCAACACUAAUAUCAUCACCCAACCACAUAGCUACCAUCUCAAUGUUACAUAUUUCAGGGAGAAUUUCCAAGAGCUACAUGCAGGCUAAAUAUAACAGGCAAGACAAUUUACAUAAGUUCUCAACUUGAUCUUGUAAACCUUGCCCUAGGACAUGCUAAACUUCUCUGUUCUCUGUGCCAGGAGAGAAACUAAGGAGAAUAUGGAGUGGCAACAACAAGUAUAGGAAGUUUUCUAUGCACAUCGAUGCCACCAGCUUCAGUCAUGUCCAUGUCCUCUAGUUUUCCUCCAUCAAGCAAGGCAAAGGCAAAUUUGCGCCGUAAUUUUGCUAAUGCAAGUUCAUUGAUAGCCAUGGCAAAGGUCUUACUGGGGCAUCCCCUUCAGCCGGCAACAAAUGGGAUCAACUCAAACUUUGAAAAUCUAGACCAACAUUCAGAAAUCUCUCUGGCUGAAAUUCCUCGGGCUUCUCCCAAAGCAAAGGGUCUCUUCCAAUUGCCGCCCAUGCGUUAACGAUUAGUCGUGUUCGAAUUGGUAUGUCAUACCCCAUUACGUUGAUGUCUCGAGUUGAUUCUCGAGGAACUAGAAAUGGAACUGGGAAAUGAAGCCGCAGAGUUUCCUUAAUUACUAGCUUUAAACACUGCAUUUUGUCAAAAUCAUCCUCAGUUAUCUCUGAUUUUCCUUGGCCUAUAGCUCUGACCUCAUUUUGCAAUUUCUCCAUGACCUUGGGGUCUCUUAGAAGCUCUAACAUCACCCAUUCCAUGACUGUAUGAGUGGUAUCAGUUCCAGCUGCAAACAUGUCCUAAUCAUGCAAAAUAGAAGCCAAUUGUUAAUAAGUUGAUGUAAAGUGCAGUUUUAUAUAUUAUAUGCCUUAAAGAGUGGUGAUUUUUACCAUGAUCACGUGGGAUCUUUAAUCCAAAGUUGGACUUAUAUGUGAAUAAUUAUGUAUUAUAAACUAUUAAAUAAGGUUAAAUUCAAUUAAAAUAAUUAAUUAUGGUUUGGGUUUUAAUAUAUCUAAUAGGAUGUAAGCCUUUAAUGUGUAGAAAUUUAAGGGUAAUUUCUAUUUCUAUGAUGGGCUGAAAUAGAAAUCUAAAAAAUAACAGAAAAGUUAUCUAUAAAUAGGGUUAUGAUCUCUAGAUCACACGUGUUCUUAUUUGUCGUAUUUUUAGUCCCUCAAAAUAACUCUUUUCUAAUAUCCCAUCGUUAGAAAAGAUUGGUGGCUGUCAAACUACAAAAAAUAAAAUUUAUAUGAAGACCUACUCCCAAAACCGAGCGAAUAUAGUGGUGAGUAGGGUCUCCUCAGGGAACUGGUAGAUUUAUCACACACAGAGAAUUUGGGGGGUUUUAGAAAGGAAGAUAAAGAACAAAUUAAAGAUGUAAGGUUACUGAAUUUUCAACUGCAAGAAGUGCAGUAACUACAGAAUACAAUAAACAAUUAAUUGAUACAACCUAGUUAAGGAGAUAAUUUCGGCACCGGCACACGCAAUUGAUCAUAGAUACCUGAAUCAAUUCACACGUUCGCAAAUAAAUUGGUUAAAGCAAUUUAACAACUUCCAAACUACCAAUCUCUUCUUAAUUAUAUGGUGGUUCACAGAUGCUCAUAAACCACUCCCUUAUAAAAUAGACAACCCCAAAGACGCUUGUGGGAUUUAAUCUAUUCACAACUUUAGGAAUUAGAGAGACCCGAUUCUAAUUAACAAACACAUGUGGGAGUUCAUUUAAACUAGAUUAACUAUUCCGAUGAUCCAGAUUAAAUUACUUGCGAGGCAAUGAAAUUGUGCCGUUUGCCACUAAUUUUAAGACGAUCAAGUGAUACGCUCCCCCGUCUUAAUUGGCAGUAUACUAUUCAGACAAUUGAAUAAUUGGCCACAUUAAUCCAAUAGAUCCAAACAAUAAUAGCCUAUUGAAACAAAAAAUAAUUAAAUACCCACGAACACAGAAUUCAAAAUAGCGCAAAAUAAUUAAAAAGAUCUCACAAUUGUCUGUGCACCGAACUUUGAUUAUUCCUCAACUAGAUAAAGGAGUUUAGCCUUGCCUCAUGAUGAAGACACAAUCCAAAGCUUUAAUGUAAUUUUUGUUCAUGAAAAAAGUAAAGCAACUCGAAAUCCCAACUCACGUUAGGAAGAAAAGAAAAAGAUGACAAGUCCGUCUACUAGUCGGUUGCUUUUGCUCUUUUAAAGUAAUUUCGCUGUCGCCGUCGCCGCUCUUUCCUUAUUUUUCUCCUUGAGUUGUUGCCAAAAGAGUCUCUGAAGAUGUUUCCUAAUCCUACGUAGCUUCAGAACGUAUCUCCCAACAGUAGUGGCGGCUUCCAAGAAUAAGUCUGCGGUCCGUCCUUUUCACACAACUCUGCGGUCUUUGACAUAGGUACGCUUUGGAACGACUAGUCUUCUGGAAUUUGGCCUCUUUUCAUCACUUUUGACACCAAUCAUCUGCAACUAACACAAAUACCAAUUACGAGUAGAAACCCAUUACUUUACAUAAUAAAUGGCUAAAAUUGAGAUCAAAUAUCAUCAAAUAAAAUACACAAUUGUCUCACUAUCAAAUCCCCCCACACUAAGACAAUGCUUGUCCUCAAUGGAGUAAAGAAAAAUAGAAAUAAAAAAGAAAGGAAUGGGAGCUUCCUUAAAGGCCAAACAAGUGCACGAAAGCAUUAUGGGGGAGGAGGGUGAGGCGAUUGAAAGCUAAUGUGGGCAAAGAAGGCUACCAAAUUUUCUAUCUAAAUAGUAGAACGGACCUGCAAGGCUGCGAGGCAAUCAUCCAAACGCUCAACUCGGUCGCCCAACUCAUGAAUGGAAUUCUGCAGAGUACAGAAUUGGGUGUCCCAAGAGAAUGGAGCAGUGGAGAAGGAAGGACCUUCCUGACCAGUCUCUGAGGUGGGCUCAAUAAGAGGGACCCGGGGUUGGGGCACACUAUCUCCUGGAGGUGUUAUCUGAUAGGCAUCACCCACCUUGCGAAUAACACCAUUCGCUCCAAACUGUACAGGUCCAAAGGCUCAAGCUCGCGAGCCAAGGUGAGCUUGUGGUCCUUAUCAAGGUCCAGCACACCCAAAUGGACCGCCAAAUGCAUGAUGAGCGAACCCAUAAUCAAGGGCUUAUGGCGCUUGUGAAGGAUGAACUGCAACUGAGAGGCCACCUAACAGCCAAAGUUGACCGGCACCUUAUUACGCAUACACCAGAGGAAAUAGAGAAAAUAGAAUUCCGCUUUGGCGAGAGUGCCAGAGGAAUCCUUCCAUCCCGAGAAGUUAUAGGCCAGAAACCUGUGAAUGACUUUCAGCACUGGAUUUUUGAGAUACAAGGCCCUAGACUGACUCAGGUCGUAGAACUGAGUGUCUGUGGACCACUCCCUCCAUAUUUCGAUAUAGUUGCUCGCAAAGGGUUAAGUGAAGUCACAAGCGCUAUUGAUAUAAGUCCCAGAGGUAAGGGUGUCCUCACUCACAAACCCCAAAAUCAAGUUAAACUCAUUAAUGGAAUGCUCUUGUGGGGUACCCCGCAGCCUAUAUUUGAUCACCCCCGGUGUGUCUAAAGCUAGAAAAUCAAACUUCUUAAAUUGGAAGGUGGUGUAAAAUUCAUAACAAAGUUACUCAUACGAAGGAUAGUUAAUAUCCAGGUAUUGAUCCCACCAAAUGGCAGAAAGCAACUGCUCUACUUCCCUAGCAAUGUUCAACUAGUCGAGAGUCGGGGGAUGGAAACACUUACAUGGGGUGAAUGGACGCACCACUAAGGAGCUCAAUCAUUCCUUCUGCUUCGGGGUGAGAUCCUUUAGAGGUUUCUCCCACACCCCAGGAGACAAAGUACUCCUAGACAGUCCUAAUUGGGACCUAGUGGGAGGUUGAAUCGGGGCCCGCUUCUUCCGAGAGUUGGAACCUGAUGCAUCAGAAGGGGUGGCUUUUUUUGAAGCCAUAUAAGGGCAAAGAUGUCUAUUACACAAGCACAGAGCCGACAAGAAAACACCAAAUAGAGAGAAGAGACCACAAAUGACAACACCCACAGUCAACGAACAAUUGAUGGAGAAGAAACAAAGAUACCCCACUAGCGUCACCAAGGCAAAUAAAAGUGAUAAAGGCAGACACGGAACGCUCCCGAAAUAUAGUCAACAAUCAAAUUCACCCAAUCACAACCAACAAAUAUCCCCAACCCAAUAAGAGGAUGAAAUUAAACAGGAGAAACUCUAUUUUUGAGUCACUAGUUGGAAAAAAGAAGAGUAGAUAAGGGUACCACUCUGCAAAGCCGCGGAGAUCAGCUACAGCGAGCGGAUUCCAGCGACGGUCGGGGCGGCAGUUGGAGAUGGCAGCGGCGGAUGUCCGUGGGUUGCGUGUAGGAAAUCGAGAGGCAGGGUGGCAAAAGGAUGGCGGUGGCACGCUCAAAGAUAAUGGGUUGCGUUGUGGGUGAGGCGGUAGUGUGCGCGAGGAGGAAGUGAGCAGUGGCGGAUGUUGGUAGUGGCGGAGGGCCGCAGUCGCGCUUGAGAGAGAGAAUCAGGCAGUGACGGAGCGGCGAUAGCAUCGACAUCAAUCGCACAAGAAAGAAAGAGACGCGUGCAGUGGCGGCGAUGGCGAUGGCGACGAUGGUAUGCUGCGAAAAUGGGGGGAACCAGGGAAGACAAAAGGAGAAAAGACAAGAAAAGAAAAGAAAAAAAUAGAAAAAUAGGGUUUAGAGUGGGUCCAGUCACUUUUUACUUUUGUUGUCGCAAUGAUUGGAAGGCGCGGGCAUGCUCUGGAAGCCGAAGUCAUCUGCCUCCCUUGUUGUAACAGGACCAAUGCGAUUCAUUGUGCGGCGUGGGCACGCCUUAGAAGCUUAAGUCUUCUAUUCAUCAAUGUUUAAACGCACCCAUUUGCAUUUAACACAAUGUGUGAGCACGUCUUGGAAGGGAAAGUCUUCUGCCCAAGAAUAUUGCCUCUAAUCUAAAAUUAAACUUCACAGGACAUAUCCAUGACCUGAAAUAAAGAAUUUCUGUCAAUAGGAACCCAAACACCCUAAUUUUGAACACAUAAAUAUGAAAUAAAAACACAAACAUGACUAAAAAUUGAAACUUUUGGAUUGCCUUCCAAGCAGUGCCUCUAUUUAACGUCUGUGGCUAGACCAAAAGUAAUUUAACAAAUUAAUUAGAAUAGGGGUCGAGCAAAUGGACCUCCUCCAUAGUGCCAAUUUCUGAAACAUCAAUAAACGGCUUGAGAUGAUGACCAUUAAUCUUAAAACUUUUGCCAGUCUCUAAGUUUCUAAUUUCAACUACACCACUAGAAAAAACGUUGGCAAUCACAUAUGGUCCAAUCCAUCGGGACUGCAACUUACAUGGCAUGAAUUUCAACCGAGAGUUUGUGCGUUCUUUGUAAAAUCGUGCAUUGUCGCAAGCCUCCAAGCAGAUCUCCUCCUACUCUUGAAGUUAGAGCUUUCUUUUCUUGCCGUCUCUAUCCGUGUUCAAAUUACACUGUUUAACUACUCAAAAUGCACAAUGUUCAAUUGCAACAGGUAAAUUACACAUCUUAUCAUAAACCAACCUAUAUGGAGACAUUCCGAUUGGUAUUUUAUACGCCGUGCAAUAUGCCCACAAUAUAUUAUCCAGUCGGGUACUCCAAUCCUUGCGAUUUUGGUUGAUCAUUUUCUCCAAAAUACUUUUAAUCUCGUGAUUAGAGACCUCCGCAUGCCCCUUGGUCUGCGGGUAGUAGGUAGUACUAACUUGAUGGUAAACUCCAUACUUACGCAUCAAUACUUCAAUGGUGCGAUUGCAGAAAUAAGUAUCUUGAUCACUGAUAAUCGCUCUUGGCACACCAAACCUACUAAAGAUAUUGGAUUUAAGAAAUCUUGCAACGACUCGUGAGUCAUUAGUUCGGGUAACCUUUGUUUCUACCCAUUUUGAUACAUAGUCUACUGUUAACAUAAUAAAAAGAAUACCAAAAGAACUGGAAAACGGUCCCAUAAAAUCCAUACUCCAAACAUCAAAGAUUUCACAAAAUAACAUAGGAACCUGAGGCAUUUCAUCUUUGUGGGAUAAACUCCUAAACUUUUGGCAUUUUUCACAUCUUUUUGCAAAACAAGUAAGCAUCAUGAAACAAGAUUUGCCAAUAAAAGUCAUAAUCAAGUAUUUUUUGAGUAGUUCUUAUAGGACCAAAGUGACCGCCACAAGCAUAAUUAUGACAAUGAGUAAGUAUAGAUUGAAUUUUUUCAUUUGAAACACAUCGACGAAUAAUCUGGUCAGAGUUUAUUUUUCACAAAUAGGGCUCAUUCCAAUUGUAAUAUCGAGAGUCCAAUAUUAUUUUAUCCUUCUUAUUCUUACUCAUACCACUUGAAAAUUUGUGACUAACCAGAAAGUUAACAAUAUCAGCAUAAUAGGGUUCCUCACCUCUAAAUUGAAACAAGUGUUCGUCUAAAAAUAUCUCAAAUAUGGGCACUCUCCCUUCUUCUCGAAUCAAUCGGCUCAAAUGGUCUGCCACUGAAUUAUCUACCCUCUUUCGAUCUUUGAUCUCCCAAUCAUAUUCUUGCAGCAGGAGUAUCCAACGAAUGAGUCUUGGUUUGGACUCCUUCUUUGCCAAAAGGUAUUUCAAGGUUGCAUGAUCAGAGAAAACUGUUACUUUCGAUCCUAAUAAAUACGAUCGAAAUUUCUCAAAAGCAAAAAUAAGUGCUAAAAGCUCCUUCUCUAUGGUGGUGAAGUUGCAUUGAGUCGGCGACAAUGUUUUUUACGCAUAGCAAAUGACAUGCCUACACUUUUCACUUCGCUGACCGAGCACAGCUCCCACUGCAUACUGACUAGCAUCACACAUAAGCUAGAAUAACAUGCUCCAGUCCGGAGGUUGAAUGAUUGGUGUCGUGGUCAACAUACUUUUUAGUGUAUCAAACGACAUUUUACACGUAUCUCCAAAAUCAAAUGGUGCCUCCUUUUGAAGUAGUCGGGACAAUGGUUGUGCAAUUCAUGAGAAAUCCUUGAUGAAUCAUUUGUAGAAUCCUGCAUGCCCAAAAAAACUACGAAUCUCCUUGAUAUUAGUAAGGUAAGGUAAGCUAGUAAUCAAAUCAACCUUUGCUUUAUCAAUUUCGAUACUCCUAAACGAAAUGAACAUGACCUAAGACUAUACAUUCCUUAACCAUAAAAUGACAUUUUUCAUAAUUAAGAACCAAAUUUGUUUCAAUGCAUCGCUGUAAAACUUUUGUUAAAUGAUACAAGUAUUGAUCAAACGAAUCACCGUAGACUGUGAAAUCAUCCAAUGAAUAUGUCAAUAUAAUUUUCAAUCAUGUCAGAAAAAAUACUCAUCAUGCAUCUUUGAAAUAUUCCUGGAGCAUUACACAACUCAAAAGGCAUAUGGCGAUGGGCAAAAGUGCCAAAUGGGCAAGUGAAAGUGGUUUUGUGCUGGUCCUCCUGGGUAACAGUGAUUUGAUAAUACCCAGAAUAGCCAUCAAGGAAGCAAAAAAAAAAACACUUACUUGCCAAUCGCUCAAGCAUCUCAUUGAUGAAUGGUAAUGGGAAAUGAUCCUUCCUUGUGACCGCAUUCAACUUCCUGAAGUCUAUACACAUUCUCCACCCAUUUUAGAGUCUCAUUGGCACCAACUCAUUCUUCUCAUUCCGCAAAAGUGUAAUUCUAAUCUUUUUAAGGACGACAUGCACUGGACUUACCCACUCGCUAUCGGAGAUAGGAAAAAUAAUUCCUAACUCCAAUAGUUUGAGAAUCUCCUUCAUUACCACCUCUUUCAUGGCUGGGUUAAGUUUCCUCUAAUGUUCCCUUACCGAUUUUGCAUCUGGUUCAAGUAGAAUAUGGUGCAUGCAAAUGGAUGGAUUUAUACCUUUGAUAUCUGCCAACAUCUAUCCAAUUGCAGGUUUAAAUUCUCGCAACACUCUUAAGAGUUUUUCUUCUUGUACUGCUGUCAGAUCACUUGCAACGAUGACCGACAGAGUGUUAUGAUCUCUCAGAAAAGCAUACUUCAAAUGCUUUGACAAUUCUUUUAAUUCCAACUUGGGUGCCUGUUCAACAGAGGGUAAAAUUCUCUCAUUAGAAAUAGGUAAUGGUAAAAAUAAGUCUACUGACCUGUUGGAAAAUGCAGGAAGUGAAUGAAGUGAUAUAAUUGCUUCUAUGGUAUCCCCAUCAUCUGCUCUUUUCACUUCCUCAUUCGUCUUGCUCUAUUAUAACACAAAUUUCAGCUUGUUUUUCACGAGAUUCUGUUCAAAAUAAUCUUGCACAAUGGAAUUAGUGACACAAACACAAUUAACAGACUCAGUAUCAUCCGGGUAUUUCAUUGCAUCAAAAAUGUUAAAAGUGACUGUUUCCCCGUUCAAAUUCUACCGAUAGGGUACCUUCGUGCACAUUUAUCUUUGUUCUAACAGUACUCAUGAAUGGUCUACCUAGAAGAAGUACAGCUGAAUUGGCUGAGUUAUCAUCAUUCAUGUUAACAAUAUAGAAAUUCGCAGGAAAGAUAAACUCAUUAACUUUCACUAGAACGUCUUCAACUACACCGUCAAGGUAAACUUUGACCUAUCGGUUAAUUGAAUUAUUACCCUUGUAUCCUUUAAAGGUCCUAAGUUUAAGGCCCUAAUUAUGGACAAAGGCAUGACAUUGAUAGAUGCCUUUAGAUCAAGCAUACCUUUUUCUAUCCUCUUCUGACCUAUGAUGCAGGGUAUAGUGAACAUACCUGGAUCCUUGCAUUUGUGCGACAACUUCUUUGGAAGAACUGCUGACACAUUCUCACCUACCUUCACUUUGUCUUGAAAAUUCAACUUGUUCCGAUUAGCAUAGUUAUUAAACCCAACUCGACCCGGUGGUCGAACCAGUCAAACCAGUGAAUCGGCCAUUGGACCGGACCAGAUUUCAAAAUCACAUCGUUUGGGCAAGGGGACCGUUGACUAGUCGACGACCCGGCGGUCCGACCGAAUUAAAUUGAAAACCCGGCCAAUUUUGUCAACAAAUCCAAUUUUGUGGAAAAAUUUUAAUGCCUUCUUUGGAAUUUGAAUCUUAGACCUCUGCCCAACACUACAACAUACUUACCACCAGGCUACUUCGAAAUAUGCUAAGAGAAUAGCUUUAUUAUAAUAUAUAAAUAUUUUUUUAAUUCUAUCUUUUUUUUCUCUAAAACAAAUAUAUUGGAAUCUUUUAAUAAAAACUUAUUACCCUCCAAACUCUAUAAGUUAUAAAAUGGAUUUAAAAAAUAACAUAUUACAUAAUUCAUUUUAAAGACAAAUAUUAUUUUUAAUAAUUUUUUACACUUAAAAUUCAUAAAUAAGCUAGAUAAUUGCACUAAAUAUAGAUAAAAUUUUACACUUGAAAUUUGGUAUUUACUAAAUAAUUUUAUAUUUGAUUGAUUCUUAUAUGAAUUAAUUAUUUUAUAGCAAAUUAAAUUAAAUGAGCUUUUGCUAUUGCAUUAUUUAUUCCAAUUUAUAUCAUAUAUCUUAUAUAAAAAAUUAUGAAAUAAAUAUUUAAAUAUAUUAAGUAACCCACCGGUUCAACCACUCAUCCACCGGUUGAAUCAGUAACUCGUUGACCCAGCUCCUUCGCCGGAUUCCUUCCCAAAUUGGGUUUAAUAACUAUGCCGAUUAGUACACAAUCCCUUCAAAAACUUCGCAUAUUUAGGCAACUGCCUAAUGGCAUCAAGCAAAGGGAUGUUGAUUUUCACUUUCCUAAAGGUAUCUAAAAUCUCCUUCUCAGACUCCUCUUUCUUGGCUUUAGCCAACUUACCAGGAAAAGGAAGGUUAAUAUUAAAUGUCUUAGGAGCAUUUUACUGGUGACUUACCUUUUUCUCUUCACGCUCCCCAGACACUUGUUCAUCUUCAACUCCUACUGCUUCCGAUUCUGAGGACUGCACCUCCUUGCCACUUUAUAGAAGCACUGCACUGACAUUCUUCUUUGGAUUGGGAAUUACCUAAGAUUGUAGCUUCCCUUUGUCAUUCUCAACGCUGCUCAUUGAAGAUGCCAGUUGUGACAUUUGCGUCUCCAAAUUCUGAAUGCUAACGCGAGUCUCUUGUUGAAAUCUCUGCGAGUCCUCCUGCAUUUGACAAGUGCUAUUAGCUAGAGAUUUGACCAUAUCUUCAAAGGACAUACCUGAAUUAAAUGCAGAUGAUUGUUGUACUAGUGGUCUCUGCAGGAAUGAACCAAGGGACUGCGGCGUGAGCAGCCGAGGCGGCCGUGGACUGCGGCGAGCUUCGGGCAGCAGCGGCGCGCUGCGGUGGGUGGCGUGCGGUGCGAGACGGCAGCGCGCGCGAGGGAGAUGGGCUGGUGGAGCGCGCGGCGGCAGUGAUGGAGAUCUGCUGGUUGGCAACAGAGGAAGCGUGGGUUGCGACUGAUGGUUGCGAAUCGAAGAGAGAGGGAGAGAGCUCGCGGCGGGAGCGGAGAUGGUGGGAGGGCGGCGCGGCUCUCGGUCGGCGUGCGCAGAGAGAAGGGGAGCAGCGGGGAAGAAAGAAAGAAAAGAAAAAGAGAAAAGAAGAAAGAAAGAAAAGAAGAAAAGAAAGAAAAGAAAAGAAAAAAGAAAAAGAGAGAAAUUGAUGUUUUUUUUUUUAAAUGUUUCUUUUCUUUUCCUUCCAAUUAUGAGGCUCUUUGAGCCACGGAAAUAAAUUUUUUAAAAUUUGGAAACUAAAGCUACGGUGAUAAGAAAUGUUUAUUCAAAUUUUUUUUUUUUUUUUGAAUCCCUACCUUUCCCGCGAACGUGACGCGGGCACGUCAUGAGGGCAAGAGAGCUCCCAGAAGUUUCAGAAGUUUCAGAAGUUUCUGAUCGUGAGCUUCCUGCACAUCUCCACGCGGGCGCGUCAUGAGGGCAAGAGAGCUCCCAGAAGUUUCAGAAGUUUCUGAUCGUGAGCUUCCUGCACAUCACCACGCGGGCACGUUAUGACUGAAGGGCACCUAUAGAUCAGCAAAAACGCAAAUUGAAACCCAAAAUCAGUCUAAUUCAGGGAGAACACAUCUAAACUAUCACACGAAAUUGAACAAACAAUGAAAAGGAACAAUUGGGUUGCCUCCCAAUGAGCGUCUUUCUUUAAUGUCUUUGGCUAGACAUCGUCCAAAACUUUGCUUAAACUAAGCAAAUCGAGUCUUCCAAGUGCACCAUCUCCACCCGUUCAAUUGCAACCCCUUCAUAAUACGGCUUGAGACGAUGACCAUUCACUACAAAUUUCUUCUCAGUCUUCAAACUUUGGAUCUCUACUGCACCAUAAUGAAAGACAUUAGUCACAACAAAAGGACCAAUCCAACGAGAACGUAACUUACCUGGAAAUAACUUCAAUUUGGAGUGGUACAGGAGAACUUUUUGCCCACACUCGAAUGUCCUCCUCGAGAUCUGUUGGUCAUGAAAAAUCUUAUUUUUCUCCUUAUAAAUUACCGCAUUCUCAUAGGCCUCAUUGCGAAUCUCCUCCAACUCCUGUAAAUCCAAUUUCCGUCGGGCACCGGCCUCUUCUAAGUUCAUGUUGCAUUGCUUUAUCGCCCAAAAAGCCUUGUGCUCGAACUCCACUGGAAGAUGGCAAGGCUUACCAAAUACUAACCUAUAGGGAGACAUCCCUAUAGGCGUCUUGUAAGCGGUCCUGUAUGCCCACAAAGCAUCUUCCAACCUUGAACUCCAAUCUUUCCUAUCGGGGCGCACCAUUUUCUCCAGAAUAGACUUAAUCUCCCGGUUUGAUACCUCCGCUUGACCAUUGGUCUGAGGGUGGUACGAUGUCGAGACCCUGUGGAGUACACCAUACUUGCGAAACAACGCAGCUAUGGUUUUGUUGCAGAAGUGCGUCCCCCUAUCACUGACAAUGGCUUUUGGCAUUCCAAAUCGUACAAAAAUAUUAGACCUAAUAAAAUCUGCAACUACCUUCGAGUCAUUAGUCCGAGUGGCCUUAGCCUCCACCCAUUUGGACACAUAAUCAACUGCCAGCAAAAUAUACAGAAAACCAAAUGAAGUAGGAAAAGGCCCCAUGAAAUCUAUACCCCAGACAUCAAAAAUUUCUACAAAAAUCAUCGGGACUUGGGGCAUAUGAUCCCUACGGGUUAUAUUACCUACCCUUUGACAGCGAUCACAUGACUUACAAAACACAUAGGCAUCCUUAAACAAUGAAGGCCAAUAAAACCCACUUUCUAAAAUCUUAUGAGCAGUCCUCUUGGGUCCAAAAUGACCUCCACAGGCAAAAGUAUGACAAAAAGCUAGAAUCGAUUGAAAUUCCAUUUCACUUACACAUCUCCUCAUUACCUGAUCUGCACACCUCUUCCACAAGUACGGGUCAUCCCAGAUAAAAUACUUGGCGUCGCUCUUCAAUUUAUCCCUCUUCGAUUUUGGCCAACCUGCAGGAAAAUUACCAGUUACCAAAUAAUUGACCAGGUCAGCAUACCAAGGCAAUUUAGAAUGUAAGGAAAAUAAAUGCUCUUCAGGGAAUGCAUCCUUCAAUGGCUCAUUGUCCUCCCCGACUGGUAUGCGACUCAAAUGGUCUGCUACUAGAUUUUCUGAGCCUUUUUUGUCCCUUAUCUCAAGGUCAAAUUCAUGUAGUAGCAAUAUCCACCUGAUGAGUCUCGGUUUGGCAUCCUUCUUGGUCAUUAGGUACCUUAACGCUGCAUGAUCAGAAAAUACAAUUACUUUAGCUCCUAACAAAUAUGACCUGAAUUUUUCUAAAGCAAAAAUAACCGCAAGAAGCUCCUUCUCAGUGGUGGAAUAAUUCAACUGGGCUCCAUUCAAGGCCCGAGAUACGUAAUAGAUGACAUGAGCCGCCUUUCCUACUCUUUGCCCCAGGACAGCCCCAACAGCAUGAUCACUGGCAUCGCACAUGAUUUCAAAUGGCAAACCCCAAUCGGGGGGCUGGAUGAUUGGGGGUGAAGUCAACAAUUCCUUCAGCUUGUCAAAGGCUCUCUCACACUUGUCAUCAAACUCGAAGGCUACAUCUUUUUGCAAGAGUUGGAACAAUGGGGCCCCAAUUUUUGAAAAAUCCUUGAUGAACCUUCGAUAAAAACCUGCAUAACCAAGAAAAGAACGUACCUCCCGCACACUAGCGGGGUAACGCAAAGCAGAUAUAAUAUCUAUUUUAGCCCUGUCAACCUCGAUGCCCUUAGACGAUACAAUAUGACCCAGGACUAUCCCGUGCUCAACCAUAAAAUGACAUUUUUCCCAAUUAAGCACAAGAUUAGUCUCUAUACACCUUAUCAGGAUCAAUUUCAGGUUAUCUGGACAUGUAUCAAAACUAUCACCAUACACACUGAAAUCAUCAAUGAAAACUUCAAUUAUCUUCUCCAUAUAUUCAGAAAAAAUACUUACCAUACACCUCUGAAAUGUUGCAGGUGCAUUGCACAACCCGAAUGGCAUUCGUCUAUAGGCAAAGGUCCCGAACGGGCACGUGAAGGUUGUCUUCUCUUGAUCCUCCGGUGCAAUUGCUAUCUGAAAAUAUCCUGAAAAUCCAUCCAAAAAGUAAUAGUAAGCCCUACAAGCUAGACGUUCAACCAUCUGAUCAAUGAAAGGGAGAGGGAAAUGGUCCUUUUUAGUGACGGCGUUUAGCCUACGGUAGUCUAUACACUGCCUCCAUCCAGUGGGUUUGCGCACUGGCACGAGCUCACCCGUUUGGUUAGCCUCUACCGUCACUCCUGCCUUCUUUGGGACUACCUGGACCGGACUCACCCAAGAGUUAUCAGAUAUUGCAAAGAUGAUCCCCACAUCUAGCAAAUUUAAAAUCUCUUUCUUUACAACUUCCAUCAUGAGGGGAUUGAGCUUCCUUUGAGCCUGCCUAACAGGUUUGGCAUCCUCAUCUAGUCUAAUCCGGUGCAUACAGAUGGCCGGGCUGAUUCCCUUAAUGUCCGCAAUUGUCCAACCUAUCGUCUCUUUAUGCUCUCUAAGGACCCGGAUCAGUUUCUCCUCCUGGGUUUUUGACAGUGCCGAUGAGAUAAUCACCGGGAGUGUCUCAUUAUCACCCAGAUAUGCAUAUUUCAGGUGCUCUGGUAGAGGUUUCAACUCCAGUACAGGUGCCUGCACCACAGAUGGCAAUACCCUCUGGUGAGGUUCGGGAGUAAAAAUAGGUAAGACUUCAUACCUUUCGUGGUGGUCUACAAUGAGUGUAAUGCACCUAUUGUGCAUUUUUUAUCUUCACUCCACUCCACCUCAGGAGUUGUUUCCAACUCGAGGUGCUUGGUCAAAACUACCUCCAACUCAUCCCUGCCAACAGUUUCAAAUACUUCCUGCACCGCAGGGUCAAUAGCACUCACAGAGAAAACUGAGCUAAAGUUGGAGUUUGAGGGAUAUUUCAUAGUAUCAAAGAUAUUAAAGUGCACAAUUUCCCCAUCAAAUUCCAUGGAUAAGGUACCCUUAUUAACAUCAAUUUUUGUUUGUGCUGUGCUCAUAAAGGGUCUACCUAACAACAAAGGUGAGGGAUCGGGGGAGUGAUCAUCAUCCAUAUCAAGUACAUAAAAAUCAGCUGGAAACACCAAAUCAUUAACUUUCACCAACACAUCUUCAACCAACCCAUCAGGAUAUGCAUUAGUGCGGUCAGCUAAUUGAAUGAUUAUUCCAGUUUCUUUUAAUGGACCUAGCUUUAGAGAAGCAUAUAUAGAUUUAGGCAUGACAUUAAUUGAUGCUCCCAAGUCCAACAUGGCCCUUCUAAUCACAGUGUUCCCUAUCUUACAGGGGAUAGUAAACAUACCUGGGUCCCCGCACUUGGGUGGAAGCUUUCUCUGCAGGACCGCUGACACAUUCUCCCCAACAAUAACCCGUUCAUCUCCCCUCAAUCGCCUUCGGUUGACACACAAGUCCCUUAGGAAUUUGGCAUAUUUUGGUACUUGUUUGAUUGCGUCUAAGAGAGGGAUGUUUAUCUCAACCUUGCGAAAAACCUCCAAAAUCUCCUUUUCCAUAUCCUGCUUCUUCGAUUUUUCCAACCUGCUAGGGAAAGGAGGCGGGUUAGUUUUAGCUGUAAUUAUUGGGUCAGGAAGUACCUUUGGAUCUGCACCAUUGCUGUCCUCCCUUUCAAGCUCAUUUUCGAUCUUUUCCUCAUCCUUAUCCUUAGGGAUCACAGGUUCAGACCCCUGAAUUUCCUUCCCGCUCCUCAGGGUCAUGGCGCUCACAUUCUUCAGGUUCAACUCAGGUUGAGAUGGCAGCUUCCCUUGGUUCUGGGAAUCCAAACGGUUGAUUGUUGUGGCCAUUUGACUUAUCUGAUUCCUUAUAUCCUGCAUUUCGGAGUCCGUCCUUUGCUGAAUUUGCACCAUGGUUGUCAUCAUUUGUUGAUUUUGCGCCAUGGUUGUCAUCAUUUGUUUCAUCAUCUCCUCCAAAGAUGGACCAGAGCUUGGGGGCGGAGGUGGUCGAGGUUGGUAUUGCUGCUGGUACCCCGGUGGCUUAUUUGGCACAAAGUUAGACUGCCUGUUCGGUGUAAAGUUGGGUUGCCUAUUCCCUCCAUAACUGAGGUUGGGAUGAUCUUUCCACCCGGGGUUGUAGGUGCUUGAGUAAGUGUCGUACUGCUUCCUUGGCGCGGGCGCGUGGUCAGCCAUGUUCACCUGUUCUGCAGUUUCUUCCUGAAUCAUUGGGCACAUAUCUGCAGAGUGACCUAUACCAGUGCAAAUCCCGCAUACCCUGGCUUGUGAUGCAUUUCUCACAGCCUGUUGCCUAACAAACGCGGUCAACUCAGUUAGCUGCUGCUGCAUGGAGGGUGUCUCUACCUCAUUCACCCUGCGUAUUGGACAAUCCUCUCUCGUACCGAAUUGUUGUGAAUUCUCUGCCACACUCUCAAUCAACUCUCGUGCUUCUUGAGGGGUUUUGUUCACCAGUGCCCCUCCACUUGCAGCAUCAAUUAUGCUCCUGUCCCCAAAAAGGAGCCCCUCAUAAAAAUACUGAAUGAGCAACUGCUCACUUAUCUGGUGCUGGGGACACUUGUGCAACAAGAAGUUGAACCGUUCCCAAUACUCAUAGAGUGACUCCCCUGGGUGCUGCUUGAUCCCACAAAUUUCUUUCCUCAGACUUGCAGCCCUGGACGCAGGAAAAUAUUUAUCCAAAAUUUUUUUCUUCAAUUGGUCCCACGUGGUGAUGCUACCUGGUGACAGGUAGUACAGCCAGUCCUUCGCAGAAUCUGUCAAGGAGAAGGGAAAUGCCCUCAUUUUUAUCUGCUCUUCUGUAAUGCCCGGGGGCUUCAUACUGUUGCACACGACAUCAAACUCCUGCAGAUGCUUAUACGGCUCCUUACCUGGUAAACCAUGAAAAGAGGGUAAAAGAGAAAUCAAACCAGAUUUUAACUCAAAUGAAGUGUUUUCACUCAAACUCGGGAAAGUAAUGCACAAAGGCUGCUGAUUUAAAUUAGGGGUAGCCAACUCCCUUAAUGUUCGUGCAUUAGCCAUGGGAAUUUCUUCUUGCUCCGAGUCACUCGAAGUGUCACCAAAUGAAUCUGUUGGUUCAACUCCUGACUCAGGUCUCUGAGAUGUAGCACUGGAGUGCUCCUCUCUGAGCUGUCUGGUUUCCUUCCUCGUUCUACGCGCGGUCUUCUCUACUUCAGGGUCAAAAAUCAAUUCACCUGUACGAAAAGAUCGAGGCAUACACUAGAAGAAAACCAGAAAAUUAGGACAAAAAAUGAAUUUAAAAAGAAACAAAUAAUAACGCCAGUCCCCGGCAACGGCGCCAAAAAUUGACAGGUUGUCAGCCUGUGCAAUAAUGAAACCUGCUCAAACUAAAAGUAAUUUCUGUAGACAGCGGUAAGCAGGGUCGAAUCCACAGGGAUUGGGAGUAAUUGUUUCUUUUCAAACUCACAGUGACAAAAGGGGGGUGUUUUUGUGGAUAGGCAACUAAAAAUAAUUAAACAAUCCAACUAAAAAUAAAUAAUUAACUAGCACAAGUUUAGCAGGAAUUAAAUCAAGAAUAAAUAAAUUCUAGCCAAGGACGCAACUACUCUGGCACAGUCCAAUCAUCCGAUCAUUGAUGUAAGAGAUGUUCACUUAAUGUAUUAAUAGGCUAGUUAUAGUCUGACGACCAAUUUUUCCUUAAAUUAUUGAUAACAAAGGUACGACCGUUGAUUACCCCUAAUCAGCAAAUACUCCUAGGUACGACCAUAGGAAGUAAUUUUCCAAUUGCAUUAAUAACUAGAAAAACCUAGCCCUAAUCAAUAACACGCUACGAGGAUUAUUUAAAUUAGAUCACACGUUCCCCUAAUGUGUAAACACACCAGUUGCCACUAAUAUUAAUCAAUCAAACAAUUACGGAUUUAAUUGACUAAAUUGGCACGAGAUUAAUAAAUCACAUUGAACACCGGGCCCUUGACAUCCAAUUAAUAAAAUAAUCCCAUGAAAAUUCAAGCAGACAACGUGCAAAUAUUAAUAAAUUAAGGAACACGUGAAAAUUAAUUAGAUCUCACAGAUUUUCGGGACUGCGCCGUCGAGUUGACCCUUGACUAGAUGGAAGGCUUAGCCACGCCGCAUAAUGAAAUCACCACACGAAUUAAUAAAUUGAAAAGGCAUUGCGUUUUCUAUUAGGAAGUAAGGAAUAAAAGGUGUUUUUCCCGUUGGGGAAUAUUGUCGAACACCUGGCGUGUGUCAGAGGCCAGUCAGGAGAAGGAAAGAAAAACUAAAGACUAGGCUAAAAACUAAACUAAAAGAUAAACUAAAAACUAGCCAUGUCUUCUUUCCCUACGUUCCCUAUUUAAGAAACAAAAGAAAGAUAGACUAAAGCUAUCUAGGUGGUCCCCACACAUGUGGACAAAGCCUCCCAAGUACUUCUUGUUCCAAGUCUCUUUUACGUAGCUUUCUUUGAAGAGCCCAAAUGACUUAUAGCUUUGUGGUCCCCACCAAUCCAAGGGCCCAAGGAUUGAAUCCCUUAGAAGUCUCCAUAUUCUUCAUAAAAUCCCUCCUUUUUGGUAGUUUUCUGUUUCAUUCCUGAAAUUAAGUCCAGAUACCAAAUAUGAGUAGAUAUCAGCAAUUAACACAAUAUUUAUCAGGGGUAAAAGGGGAAAUUAAUAAUAAAAUUACUAACAAAUUAUACCCUAUCAGUCUCUGCAGGAAUGGUUGUUGAAAGCCUGAGGGAUUUGGAGCAUAGCUGAAGUUGGGGUGGUUCUGCCACCUCGGAUUAUAUGUGGGCGCAUAUGGGUCAUUUCUCCUUUGGGAUGGUCCAGGCAAACCUCCCAUGGCACUGGUUUGCUCGUGAGGGUCUUCUUAGAGGGUCGGGCACAUAUCGGUCGCAUGUUCAGGGGCAGCACAUAUCCCACAUGCUUUAGUUGCAUGUACUUGCCCUAUAGCCAUUUGACGAACUAAUGUAGUUAGCUCCGUUAAUCUAUUUGCGAGGUCAGAAUGAUUUACCUUAUUGACCCUUCUAGUCACUGCCUCAAAUCUGACUCCAAACUGUUGAGAAUUCUCAGCCAUGUUCGAGAUAAGGCGUUUGGCUUCAUCUGUUGUCUUAUUUACUAAAGCACUGCCACUCGCUGCAUCUACCAUACUUCUAUCCAUGGGUAGCAGUCCCUCGUAAAAAUACUAGAUCAGCAAUUGGUCAGGGAUCUGAUGGUGCAGGCAACUAGCACACAACUGUUUGAACCGCUUCCAAUAUUCAUAGAGAAUUUCUCCAUUAGCCUGCCUAACUUCACAUAUUUCCUUCCUGAUGUUGAUGGCCCUAGAGACUGGGAAGAACUUCUCAAGGAAUUGCCAUUUCAAUCUUUCCCACGUAGUGAUGGACCCCAAUGGCAAGUAAAAUAACCAGUCCUUAGCCUUGUCUACUAGGAAGAAAGGAAACGCGCGCAGCUUGAUUUGUUCUUCCAUAACUCCAUGAGGUUUCAUGGUUGAACAUACUACAUGGAAUUCCUUCAAGUGCUUGUGUGAGUUCUCACCUGCAACACCGCGAAAAGUAGGUAACAAAUGAAUCAAUCUUAAUUUUAAUUCAAAAGCCUACUCAGUGUCAGGAUACGUAAUGCACAGAGGCUGUUGGUUAACAUUUGGGGUUGCAAGUUCCCUCAAAAUCCUUUGGGCUACCAUUGUUUCGUUGGGUCCAAUCAAGUCUGCUUCCAAUUCAACGGAUGAAUCACUUAAGUCAGAAUUUUGUUCCAGUCCGAGAAGUAUUGCCGCUGAAACUUGUUGCUUUUGCAACUUAGUCUCCCUCCUUGCUGCUUUCUCGAUCUCUGGUUCAAAUUCGAGUGUUCCUGUACAGGAAGAUCGAGGCAUAAAACAUGGGCUAAACAAAGCCUGUGCAAUAAAUAACUUCAAACACCAGAUCCCUGACAACGGUGCCAAAAUUUGGUAGCUGUCAAACUAUCAAAAAUAAAAUUUAUAUUAAGACCUACUCCCAAAAUUGAACGAACAUAGUGGUGAGUAGGGUCAUCUCCUCAGGAAACUGGUAGAUUUAUCACACACAGAUAAUUUGGAGGGUUUUAGAAAGGAAGAUAAAAAGAACAAAUUAAAGACGUAAGGUUACUGAAUUUUCAACUGCAAGAAGUGUAGUAACUACAGAAUAUAAUAAACAAUUAAUUGACACAAUCCAAUUAAGGAAAUAAUUUUGACACCGGCUCACACAAUUGAUUAUAGAUACCUGAAUUAAUUCACACGUUCGCAAAUAAAUUGGUUAAAACAAUUCAACAACCGCCAAACUACUAAUCUCUCCUUAAUUAUAUGGUGGUUCAGAGACGCUCGUAAACCACUCUCUUGUAAAAUAGACAACCCCAGAGACGCUCGUGAAAUUUAAUCUAUUCACAGUUUUAGGAAUUGGAGAGAUCUAAUUCUAGUUAACAAACACACAUGCGGGCUCAUUUAGAUUAGAUUAACUAUUCCUACGAUACAAAUUAAAUUACUUGCAAGGCAAUGAAAUUGUGCCGUUUGUCACUAAUUUUAAGACGAUCAAAUGAUACGCACCCCCGUUUUAAUUGGCAGUAUACUAUUCAGACAAUUGAAUAACUUGCCACAUUAAUCCAAUAGAUACAAACACUAAUAGCCUAUUAUAACAAAGAAUAAUUAAAUACCCACGAACGCAGAAUUCAAAAUAGCGCAAAACAAUUAAAAAGAUCUCACAAUUAUCUGUGCACCGGACCGUGAUUAUUUCUUAACAAGAUAAAGGAGUUUAGCCUUGCCUCAUCACGAAGACGCAAUCCAAAGCUUUAAUGUAAUUUUUGUUCAUGAAAAAAGUAAAGCAACUAAUCUAGCAACCUCGAAAUCCCAACUCACGUUAGGAAGAAAAGAAAAAGAUGACAAGUCUGUGUACUAGUCGGUUGCUUUUGCUCUUUUAAAGUAAUUCCGCUGCCACCUCUCUAGCCAAUCAAGUGGUUUGUAUCUAUAAGGGAUCCAUUUCCUUAUUUUUCUCCUUGAGUUGUUGCCAAAAGAGUCUCUGAAGAUGUUUCCUAAUCUUACGCAGCUUCAUAACGUAUCUCCCAACAAUAGUGGCGGCUUCCAAGGAUAAGUCCGUGGUCUGUCUUUUUUACACAACUCUGUGGUCUCUGACGUGGGCACGAUCUAGAAUGACUAGUCUUCUAGAAUUUGGCCUCUUUUCAUCACUUUUGACACUAAUCGUUUGCAACUGACACAAAUACCAAUUACGAGUAGAAACCCAUUACUUUGCAUAAUAAGUGGCUAAAAUUGAGACUAAAUACCAUCAAAUAAAAUACACAAUUGUCUCAUAAUCAAAGAUAUCAGAAAGAAAUUAAAGAGAUCUCUUAAGUGAUUAGCGAAUACUUGUUGACUUAGAAAAUCACUCCAAUAUCUCUGAGGAUUCAAGUGUCAGUUAGUCAACAUGAAUCCAGGUACACUUCCGUAAUUUUACUGUUAAUUUAUUUCUUAAUAAUCACCAUAAAGAUUUUGGACUUCAUAGGUAAUAGUUUUCAUCAAAACUUAAUAUAAACAACCACCAUCAAGUGGUAUCAGAGCAGGAUAUGGUUGAUUAUUAGGAAAUAAUUUGGUAUUAAUAAUUCAUAGUUUUCAAGUUAUUUUUAACUAGAAUUAUUUUUGUUUUGAUUGUGCGCUAGUUGACAAUCUUGAAUUGUGGUUUUAAUGUAAUUUGUUUGCUUAUAUUUUCGGUAAAUUUGCACUAUCCAAUUCAUUGCUUUUGGUUGCAUAUAAAUCAAUGGCUUUGUCGAAAUCAAUAAGCAUGACGCACAAUCAAGUAUAGAUAUUUGCUUUGUUUGUUAUGAUUAGUUGGCACAUGGUUCAAAUGCACGUGGUUCCAGGAUUACAUGUGCUUGUCUUGUUUGAUUGUUGAAUUUUGUGAACCUCAUGAUAUGUUGGCACGAGUCAUAAUAUGUGGGACCCACAUACUUUCCAUGAUAUAAGUUAACUUGGGGCUUGUUUGGAAGUGAAGUUUUUGGCCAAGUUUUUUAGCUACUAGUUUUUUAACAACUUUUGCUACAGGAACCCCAAAAAACUUAUCAAAAUUUUUUACCUACACACUUUAAAAUAAUAUACAAAAAAUUUCCCUUCAAUUUUUCUUCUUUUUCCUCCCCACCCAACCGGCCACAACCUCCACCACCGCUUCCGGUGCCGGUAAUGAAAUCUCAACACCCCAAGCUAAAAAUUGCACCCCGUCCACUUUUUUCUUGCGGGUUUUUUCGCAACUGUACUCAAACAGUGCUCAGUCCGACCACCACCACUUCUCCAACACUCCCUUUCCCGGCCACCUCUGAUCAGUCAACGCCAAAACCAACAUCACCACCACCACCACCACCACCACCACCACCUCCUCCUCCUCCUCCUCUCCCUCCUCCACCGUCUUCCUCUCAUCCACCACAUGCACCGACCAAACCCGAUUCGGAAUCAUCCUCAUCUUCCUCAAACACCUCCCAGAGCUUCACCCAAUUGAGGUUCCCACUGACUAACUCCCUCAUCUCUCACCAUUUUAUACACCCGUAUCAGCAAACUCAAGAAAAGCCAAAGAUUUCGGAGCCCACCCCACCAAGAAAAGCGCCUGAUUCUCUGCCGCCGCCGCAACUAUCUGCUACCAAGUUGGAAGAAACUUUUCAUGUUGCGGAGCUUCAUUUCAGCUCUGGAUCCGACGAAGACAAGCUCGGCGCGCUACACCUGCUAGAAAAGUCACUCGUUCCAAACCCACGCGCAGUCGCGGACGGUGGAGAUGCAGGGGCAUGCCCGGCUACGGUCAUGAAAUGGGUAGUGGGCUGUCUAAAAGAAAGGGUCAUGGCUAAGUCGGCGCAGUCGAAGCCGAGGCAGUUGGGGUUGUGGUGGACGCAAUGGCGGAUUUGGAGGGUGCGGUGGCAGAAAGGUCGUUGGCAGUAUUGGAGUGGGGGAACUUUUGCAGGGGUGGGGAAGGGGGGUGGCGGGCAGAGGGAGAGAGAGGGAGAGCUUUUGCAGGGGUGGGGGAGGGGGGUUGCGGGCAGAGGGGAGCGACGGGGGAGCUUUUGCAGGGGGCGGCGGAGGUAACGGGGAAGAAGAAGAAGAAGAAGAAGAAAAGAAAAAGAAAAAGAAAGAGAAAGAGAAAAAAAAAGAAAAGGAAAAAAAAUUUCACCUUCACCUUACAAAAAUUUCUACAAAAUUUUUUCAAAAACUUCUACAGUACACUACAGUAAAGUUUUAGACAAACUCCCAAAAAACUCAGGUUCCAAAUAGGCCCUUGAUUUCUGGUUUUGGUAAGUUGUUCGUUUUUUCCCUAUUUCAACAAAAAGCCUUGCGGCUUGUUUUCUUAGUUUAUUCAUUCAAGAGUUUUGAUUAACAUAAUAUUUAGUAGGGCCUGCAUGAUAUGUAACUUAUUAAUAUGUUAAGGAAAUUUGGGUUUCUCUAAUUUGUGUCUAAUUUGUGUGAACCCUAAUAAAGUUAAACAACACGUUUAAACUUUUGAAAAAAAAGUCCAUAAGAUUGGUUCACUAGGUAUAUAGUCUUAUAAGACAUUUAUGGAUUUCAAGAAAAUUUUGGAUUUGAAUGAUAAAUUUGGGACAAGUUAUAGAUAUGGACUUUUAAUCCAAUAAAUCUUGAUCCAUUUGACUGGUUUGACCAGAAUUUGGCUGGUUUGAAUACAUUUGACCGGAAUUGAUUAGUUUGACAAGAUUUGACUGAUUUGACCACAUUUUGAUCAGAAUUAACUAAAGUUGAUUUUGAUCGAAAAUUUUGUGUACAUCGUGUAAUUUUAAAUUUGAAUAUUUGUAUGAUUAUAUAUAUAUAAGAAUAAAUUAAUUGAAACAAUAUGCCACGAAAAUGACCUCUUUUGUGAAAAUUAAUUAAUUUUAAAAUAGAACUAGUUGGGUGCUUGUAAUUUUGUUAAUAUUGAUCAGCCCAAAUGAAGGUCAAUAUUUAAUAAAAUUGCAUAUGCACUUGUAGUAAUAAACACGUGAUGAUUAUUCGAAUUUUUUCAUGUGAAUUAUAAAUUGACCCAAAGGAAAAUUUAUGUUUAACAUGUUAUUAUUAUCAGUGUUUAUUAUUGCGCCAAGAUAUCAGUUAGAAGUUAAUAUUUUUAUUCAAAGACAAAAUAUUAAUGAAAUAUUGGUAUCUUGAAAUGGGGUUACCUUUAUUUAAAUUUAUUAUUAUUUUUUGGUGUAUGUAAGUUUGUUUUAACUAUUUUAUGUUUUCUGUUCAGUUGCGAAUGAUCUUACAAAUAUUACUACCAAUAUCAAUAAUAUUUCUAUGCUGAAUGGCACAAAUUUCAAGUUCUAAAAAGAAAAUCUCUUAAUUGUUCUUGGAGUAAUGGAUCUCGACUUUGCGUUAAGGGAUGAUUUUCCUCCACCUCUUAUAGAUUAGAGUACAUUUGAUGAAAAGAGGAAUAAGGAAAGGUGGGAGAGAUCAAAUCGCCUGUGUUUGAUGAUCAUUAAAAAGGACGUUCCAAAAGCAUUCAGAGAAACAAUAUCAGAAACGACAAUUAUGGCAAAGGCGUUCCUCCAGGACGUUAAAAAAAAGUUUGUCAAGAACAAAAAGUUUAACAAAUAAUAUAUCUCAAUAAUCACUUAACUAAUACGAUUAAAAUUAAUAUAUCUCAAUAAUUGCUUCACCUACUUCCAAAAUAUAUACACAAAAUAUAUUUAAGACACUUUUUUCUUUUUUUUUUCUUUUUAUUUUUUUCCUUCGCCUACUUCCCUCCAGUCCAAUGCAAAAAAUUUACUAAAUAUCCUAAUUCUUCACACCCAUUUCUGAUAUGUUAUCAUGCUCAUCUAGGAGUCCAGGCAAACUUGAUGUGCCUCGAAUAUAAGUCGUUAACUUUUAAAAUAAAAACAGCCAUAUUUUUAUAAAGGAAAAUUGAAAUAAUUGAAAUCGUGCUCAUUUGAUUUACUCCAAUUAAUCUAAGGCACAAACAAAAUUAUGUAAUCGAAAGUGCCAAUUGCAGAAGUCCUUAUUCCUUGCCGUACAACUCCAUGUAUCCCAAUUGCUAAACUCGUAGAUACAAGAUGACUUGUAAUGAACUCUAUUUGUCCGUGUAGUUGACUUGAUUGUAUUGGAUGUUUUAUUCUUUAAGACGUGAUGCUGUUGCAAAAAUUCAAUAUAUAUAUAUAUAUAUAUGUAUAUAUAUCUAUCUUAGGUCCCUUUUCAUUAACUGUAAGGGCAAAGGGGGCCUUUUGAUCAUCAUUUCGAUUACUAAAUUAGUUUUUUGAUUUCUUGUCAAGAGAUGUAAAAUAAGCUAUCUUUAGAUUUUGUUCCCAAUGUCUAGCAGCCAAAAAUGAUGCCACGGACAAAAAGCUUCAGCAAUUAUCUCAGAAAGCAAUAUUCAGCCCUCCGUAGAGCUGAAUUCCAAGCUUCAGUGGCCAAAAUUAAUGAUAUUGCUUUUUGGUUGGAUUUGUAGUCUUGUUCCUUGGCAAUUUCAAAUUUUCAAUUUUCUGACGGCUAACAAGAUUGUUUAAAUCGAUUUUAUAAGGGAUUAUUUCAUAAUGUUUUGCAUAAUAGAGUGCUGUGGUCGAUUGGAAGUUGGCAUUACUCUAAUCCAUCCCAUCACAAGUUAUAAUUACUAUUGUACUAUUCACGAUAACAAGUUUGGUAAACUUGUAAUAAAAACAAAAAAGCUUCGGGACUGAUCUAAAAUGUUUGGACUGAAUUGGUAAUUCCUCAAUGUACCUACUUAACUACAACCCAAGAAAAAACUAAGGGCUUUUGGUUUAGCGAUUUUUCAUAUAACUUCUCUAUAAUUUCAAAAACUAUAUAUAACCCUCUCAUAAUUUAUACUAAAGUAUAAAAAUGAUGGAAAUGACUAAAGUGACUAAAAUAUAUAAGCGAAAUAUGUAUGACACUUUAACUCCGUAUGGUUAUAUAUCAAAAUUAUCAAAAUUACCAUUGUUUAAAAAUUAAAUUUACUAAAGUGACUAAAAUAUAUAAACAUAAUAUGUAUAAUAAUUUAAUCCUGUAUGGUUUUAUUUUUUACUAAAUAAUCCCCUUAUGAUUUAAUGUUUUGCCAGAUAACUCCCUUAUAUUUUUUUAAAUAUAUACAUAAUCCCCCGUGGUUAAUAAAUAUUUUUGAACUGUACAUAGGUGUACUUUUGACAUUUUAAUUGACUAUAUUGUACAAUGUAGAUUCCAUUAUUUUGACAUUUUAAUUCAAACCAUAAGUAAAUUAUGUACAGCUUUCGAAAUCAUAGAGGAUUAUGUGAAAAGACGCUAAACCAUAAGGGGAAAAAUUUUACCCAAAAAUCAAUGAUGUGAUUGUGAAGACAAUAGCAGUCAUCCAUCUUCUCAUCGAACCAAAUGAUUAACCAAAUUUGCUGUCAUCUUUAGAUUAGUAUUUCUAAACAGAUAUUCUACUCGAAUUGAUGUACCAAUUGUAGAUCCAGGAGUCCUAAAGAGUCAUUAAGCAUGAUUGUUCUAUACUUCAACUGUGAACAACGGGCUUAAGGAUCGAAGGCUCUAAUUGUGAUCUGUAAUUUAUAUGAUCAAACAAUUAUUAUAUACUCAACAAACAACAUGUCUAUGCAGUAACACAACUGAUCUGCAUGGGGGUAUCAUUCAAUUGCAGAUUUCACCAUGAAUGUUAUGUUUUCGCUCAAAAUUUAUUUCAACCAUUCAAAAUUGAAAUGGGGUGAUCUCAACCAUCAAUCUUACCCUAAUUUCAAAAUCCCAUCAUUCUUCCGGCGUACACUUAUUCCCUUUUUUUAAAAAAUAAAAAUAAAAAUCGAAGGUUAUGAGUUGCUACCAAACUAAUUUUAACAAUUAUAAGAAAACGAAAAGGAAAGCUUAGUUCUACCCACUGUAUACCUCCAAUUAGGUCCAUUUGUUAAUAAACACCAGCAUAUAGCCACUCUAUGCCUCUAAUUUUAGUCUAAAUUUUUUGUUUUAACUUGGUCCUUUAUGCCUUUGUACAUUGUCCUAAAAUAAGGAGCCUGUCAUUUUCUAUACUACAAUUUUUUGAAGAUGAAAUGAAGUAGGAUUACUGCAUAAACUAUGUAGUUGAGCCGGAAACUUUCAGUUCAAUUGGUUGGUUUGGCUUAUAGAGCCAACGAGACUUUGAUCUGGUAACUAAAACAAAAAAGAUUGAAGUCCCAAGAAAAAUGAUUCCGGUCUUUGGCAUUCGAACAAUGUGAUUACCCUAUCAAUAGUCCUUUUCCGUGGAACAAAAUUAUAGCAGAGAUGAAAGAUUUUCUUUAUUUUCUGUACUGUAACGGGGAAAUUUGCUAAGGCCAUAAUUACAUAAAUUUACUAGUUUUUAUUACAAGAAAGAAGCGGCCUGGAGAAAGAGCACGAAGAGUAAGAAUCAAGGUUUUGGAACAUCUGUAACCACACUGUGCAAUGGACGGUCUCAGAUCGAGUCGAAGGAGGCCGACUAAGUUUGCCAGUUUGGGAGGUUGAUGAAAAAAUGUUCCAGACUUACCACGGCUCCUAGGCCAAAGAUGAGACCUUGUAUUGCACAGUGCGAUUGCAACCCUUCUCAAGAAUCAAUCCAACACUUGUAUCAAGACAAGAAUACAGAAUCUGCAGCAUUCGGCCAUGUUAAGAAUUCAAGGAAGUGGGGAUGGAAUAACAAGAAGAGGAAUUUUGCGACGAACUGCAACGUCAGGGCAUUCUGUCAUAUCCAACUCUUUUCCCUGUGCUCCGGGAAAUUGCCAAUCAAACUUGCUUACCAAAUUUGCCAACACAAGUUCAUUACUAGCAACAGCAAAAGCGAUUCCAGGACAACCCCUCCUACCAGCACCAAAUGGGAUUAACUGGAAAUCAUGCCCUUUAAAAUCCACAGAGGAAUCCAAAAAUCUCUCUGGCUUAAAGUUCUCAGGUUCAUCCCAAUACGCGGGAUCUCUACCUAUUGCCCAAGCAUUGAUGAUCACCAUUGUACCAGCUGCAAUAUCAUAUCCCAUUAUUUUGACAUCUUCUCUUGCCUCUCUAGGAACCAGCAACGGAAUUGGAGGAUGUAAGCGAAGAGUUUCCUUGGUCACUGCUUUUAAAUAAUGCAUCUUUUCUAAGUCAGCCUCAGAUAUCUCUUCCUUGAGACCAACAACCUCUCUAAUUUCAGUUUGCAGUUUCUUUAGGACGAUGGGGUGUCUUAAGACCUCUUGUCAUUGUCCAUUCUGCAACUGUUGCCGUGGUAUCAGUUCCAGCAGAGAAUACAUCCUACAGCUAAAAAAUGUGCACUUGUACAGUAAUUUUGUUGAUUCUCUUGACCAAAGCCCAAAGCUUUUUGGCAAUAGUUUUACAGUAAUUUUGUUGAUUGCCCGUGAGAAUGAUCAGAGAUGACGCAAUGAGUUAUGACUGAGAAAAUGAAGCUUAAUGAUUUUAUAUUCACUGCAGAGAAAAUUGUGCUUACCAAUAUUAUAGCUUUGACGCUGUCCCUGUCCAUGGUUACACCUGUUGCGUUAUCUUUAUAGAUUUUCAGCAAAAUAUCAAGAAAGUCUUCUCUGCUUUCACCAUCAAUCGUCUCACCACUUGGCCUGCAGGAAUAUUUUUCCACUGCACCAUCCAACCUUUCUUGGACCACGCCCUCCAAGAACUCAUCUACUUCUCUAGCAACGCGAUCCACUCUGGCAUCGUAACCAUUAACUCGAUUAAUCCAGCGGAGACAGGGCACAGAUUUGACUAAACUUCCUCCGUUCAGUAACUCCAAGAAUUGGCCCAACAGCAGCUUGAAUUUCUUUCCAGUUUCCCCUCCACCGUAUUUCCUCCCAAAGCCGAUCUGCAUACAAUAUCAUUAGUCAGCGAAACAAACAUUUCGCUCAAAUUCACAGGUGUCGAAUCCAAAGAAGCGUCUUUAAUCUUCUGCAUCAUAAUCGACGUUUCCUCUUCCCUUAUAUUACGAAACGCCUGAACUUUUUUGUUGCUCAGGAGCUGAAGAACACAAAUACUCUUUUAACUGUCUCCAAUACUCGCCAUAGGGUGCUACCGAUAUAUCCUUCAUGUUAUAGAGAAGUUUAUUAGCUGUGCUCGAAAAUGGCCUAUCAGAGAAAAUCAAAUCGUGGGUUUUCAUGAUUAGGCUAGCUCCAUCAGCUGAUGAAACUACAACCGUUGGAACACUACCAAAUUUGAGAAACAUGAUUGGACCAUAUUUUUGGGCUAAGGAGUGGAGAGGAUAGUGAAGCAGUGAGCUUAGCUGAUGAAGAUUUCCAAUAAUCGGAAGUCCUGGUGGCGAUGGUGGCUGAUUCUUUCUCGAAUUUGAAACUAAUUUGAAGAGAAACCACAGUAAGAUUAAAGGAAAAAGCGAAAAAAAGAUUGGAUGAAACAUAUAUACAUCAAUCUUUAGCUCCGAUACCAAGCCUGAGGAGCUUGCCAUUUGCUUUCAUCUCCCCUGUAUUUUGCUCAGGCUACAAGACUCUGAUUUCAGACAAAAAAUUGGAAAACAAGAACGGACAAGCUUGUGUCAGUUGGCAGGCGUGUGGUAUCUAUAUGGAUAGACUUGCAGAAAAAUGACAAAAGAGGAAGAGGAUGGAAAAAUAAGGACAAAUCUAUAAGGAGAAAAUUACACUUUACUCCCAUAUAGUUUAGUAUUUUUGUAUAUAAUUCUCUUAUAGUUUCAAAAAUUAUAUAUAACCCCUUUUACUUUGGAUUAAAGUGUCAAAAUGACGAAAAUAGUCAUUCGUAAUGAAACCUUUUAAAAUGUCAAAAUAACCAUUGUUUAAAAAUUAAAAUGAUUGAAGUAACCAAAAUAUAAAACAUAAUAUACAUAAUACGUUAACUCCACAUGGUUUUAUAUUUAUCAUAUAACCCCCUUAUGGUUUAAUAUUUUAUCAUAUAAUCCCUUUAAGAUUUUCAAAAUAUACACAUAACCCUCCUGUGGUUAAUAAAUAAUUUUUCAACUUUAUAUAGGGGUAUUUUGACAUUUUAUAUGAAUUCGUUAUGACAUUUUAAUUCAAAUCAUGAGGAGAUUAUAUAUAACUUUUGAAACCGUAGGGGGUUAUGUACAAAAAUACUAAACCACAAGGAAUAAAAUGUAAUUGCCUGAAAAAUAAGGACAAAUCGAAACCUCUUACAACAUGAGAACAUAUGAGAACAACAAGGACUGGUUUUUUUUUUUUAUUUUUUUACUACGUGCAUUGAACUAUAGAAUUUCAGACAAAACUACAACUUAAAAUUUAUAACUUUGGGAUAGUAAAAAAAGAAAGGGAGAGAAGCUAAAACAAUUUCACCUGAGUUUUUUAUAUUUUUAUAUCUUGAUUAACUGUUUGUAUUCUGAAUCUUGCUCAAUUCCCGUCACAAAUGAAAAAUAUGAUUAAACAACAACUGCAUUAUAAUCAAAAUAAUAGUACGACCCAAUAUCCAUAUAUUGGGAACAAAAAUACAAAAUGAAUCCACAUAUCCAUAAUCCAAAAUGUAUGGAAAUCAACAUACAAAAUGAAUCCAUAUAUCCAUAAUCCAAAAUGAAUUUGGCAAAUAAAGGGAACAAAAAUAAAACCACAAUUAUAGGGUAAAAAAGAGGAAAAUAAUUAAUUCUUCCGCAUUGACGUUUAAAAUGAAUUCCGGUCUAGAAAAGCCAGGAACAUAAUUUGGCAACGGAAAAACAAAGGGAAACCAAUAAACAAUACUAUUGGUCCAAAAAGUAAACACCACGGAUCGUAAGCCCCGUUCUAUUAGCCUCAAUGGACCAAGUGAAUAACUGUUUUUCGGCCAAGGUACUUCUGGACAAGAAUCACAGGGCUCCACACGCGUCUCAGCCCAUCACAUAAAUGUGAUUGACUCCCAAGUCCAAGAAGUUUGCUUGUUUCCAAGCCUGUAUCUCUACAGUAAAUGGCCCGUGGACUUUCCUGGGCCUGGCCCCACAUAGGUGUUGACCUUGACCCGGUCACUUCGUCCGCGGUGCAAUGCUUCGAUGGACUUCAAAACAUAAAUUAAACAUGGGCAUACUUCUUAAGAAUUCACGAUGUGGGCGGAGAUAAUUUCUACUCUUAAGCUAUUGAGCUAGACCCCUAGGCAAAACCUUAAGGUAGAGAAGUAAAAGAGCAGGGGAGGGAAAACCGGCCUUCUCAGUCAAUUAUUCUAGCAGAAAUUCAAAGAUUGAAGAAUCCGAGGAUGCUGCAAAAUGCUAAGGAGGAGCAAAGUUUAGGUACUUCCAGGAUGCGUUAUUAUCACUUUAUCCCCUUAAAACUAUAUUACUAUUAUCAAUUUACUUCUUAAUAUUAUCUUUUAGUCACUUCACUCUUAUAAGUAAUUCAAUUCAACAUUUUUUAUAUACAAAAAAAUUAAACAAAAUACCUUUUUAUUUUUUUAUAUUAUUACAUUAUUAUUAUCACUUAUUAAUAGUACGAGAACUUCCACUAGAAAUAAGACCACAAAAAUAAAAAAGAAAGCAUAUGAAUACGAAGCCAUUAACAAAGAUAUGGGGUGGCAAUAGCAUGUAGAGGAUGUUUUCUGUGAACUGUGAUACCAGCUGCUUCAGUCAUGUCCAGAUCCUCAGGCUUGAUUCCAUCAGGCAACGCAAAAUUAAAUUUGUUGACCAAUUUUGCCAAUGCAAGUUCAUUUACGGAUAUGGCGAAGUUGAUACCCGGGCAAACCCUUCGUCCGGCACCAAAAGGAAUUAACUCAAAGUUAAAACCUCGAAAAUCUAUAUUGGAAUUCAGAAACCUCUCAGGUUGAAAUUCCUCAGGGUUCUCCCACAACAGGGGGUCUCUUGCAAUUGCACUAGCAUUCACCAACACUAGUGUGCCUGCUGGUAUAUCACACCCCAUUAUUUUGAUGUCUUGAGUUGAUUCUCGAGGAACCAGUAAUGGAACAGGAACAUGAAAUCGUAGAGUUUCUUUAAUCACUGCUUUUAAGUAUCUCAUCUUCUCCAAAUCAUCUUGAGUUAUUUCUGGUUUUCCCUGGGUCACUUCUCUUACCUCAGCCUGUAAUUUCUGCAAGGUUAUAGGUUUCUUUAGAAGUUCUGACAUUGCCCAUUCCACAACUGACUCUGUUGUGUCAGUUCCAUCGACAAGCAUGUUCUGCAUGACGGAAUGAAAGAAAGUGUUGCUUUAGAACAUGCAUAGAUGUUUUUUUUUUAAAAAAAAAAAAUCUAAAUUUCCAAUUUCAAAAAUAAUUGGCACGUUUGCACCCAAGUAAUAAAUUUGUAUCACACCUUUCCAAAGAAAAAGAAAAAUGAAGACAAAUUAACAAUAUUCAUACUAUCGCAAUAAGCGUUUAAUUGCCACAUACAAGACGAAACACUAUGUUGCUUUUCCCUCUAAAAUGUUGAUUAUUAUUGCUCUUUUUUCCUCCAAAAUCUGCAGUUCUGGUAUGCAAUCCAAUUUUAGAAACUCAAUCGUGAAGUGCAAAAACUGAAGAUUUACGUAGUAGAGUUGAACUUGUCAAAAGAUUAAUAGGGUUAGGUACAUGUAAAUUUAAAAGUUACCAUGUUAUACAUUUAUUUCAAGUUUUCUGCAUCACUGGACAGAUAACAAAUCCUUAAACCUUAUCGUUUUGGAAACAUUAAAUGGUCUCAAGUUUAAGUGCAUAAAGUUCGGUUAACCCAAGCAACAAUUGAGGAUUUUUUUUUUUUUUUUGAAAAUUGUUUACAAGAGAAGGUAUUCAAAUGCAAGGGAUGAAUUUUUCUUUUAAUCUGAUAACAAGGGAAGGUAUUCAAAUAUAAGGGACGAAAAUGAGUGUGAUUACAUACAUUCAUAGUAAUUUUGAUAUAAAUUAAAUAUACUAAAGAGUGUAUAUAUAUAGAGUUGUGUGGUAAUUUUAGAAUUUUGAUAGUGAGUCAACCCUUUUUGUAUGUUUACUUAAUAUCCUUACCUCUUGUUUGGUAUGCAGUAAUGUCCAAAAUAAAAAGGUCUUCUACCCAAAAUGGUAGGGAUAAAUAUUUAUCAUUAUUCAUUCUUCAAUAUUUAGUGUGAUCAAUAUUUAGAUGUCAGAAUAGAAUACAAUUAAUAAAUAUUUGACUUAAUUAUCCUAGAUAUGUUUAUGACUUUUAUUUUUUGUUCAAGUAUGUUAAUCUUUUGUUUACAUGGAAUUCGCACAUUUUUUGCUUUCAGAAUCUUUUGUUUACAUGGAAUUUCUACUAUGUAAUCUUUUGUUUUCAUUUUUUUUAUGAAAUUCAAAAAAAAAAAUUCCAUACAACUGUUGGACAGAAUCAGGUCAAACCUGAUGAAUCCGAAAAAAAAACAGGUCAAAUUUAGGUCACCCAUAGGUUGACCUAUUAACCCGUUUAUGAACUAAAAAUAAUUUAAUAAAUAUAAAAAUAUUUUAUCUAACUAAACUAAGUUAUUCUUUUUUUUUUCCAAAGGCAUUAACCACUUAAUCCUAAAUGAAUUUGUUAAACUUGUGUGAAGUUGGAAUCAUUAUGUUUGGACAAAUGAUGUAUUACAUUAUUUUCUACUUUUAUAGUGUCUUAAUUUAUUUUAGAUCUGGUUUGGGAUAAAAACACUUUUACAGUAUUUUAAUUUAUUUCAGAUUUGGUUUGAAAUUAUUUUAUCGAGAUUUUUAUUACUUCAUAUGUAAUUAGUCUUAUGUGAAAUUAGUUCUGUUAAAAACUACAGUGGUAAAUUAGUAAAUUGAAAUUAUGUUUGGAGUCAUUCGGGUGACCUGCCAACCCGAAAAUUUCGGGUUCAGGUCAGGUAUCCUGACCCGUUACGAGUUGACGGGUUGUAUUCGGGUCAGCAGAUUGUCUAUUGUACAUGGGUCUCAACCCGAUCCGUCAACUCAUAUCCGACCCGAUUGCCAUUCACAAGAUUUUAUGUUAAAGCAAGAAAAAAAAAUAAAAAAAUGAGUCAAACUCAAACAUAAACUGAUCAAACCGGACAAACCUGGUAAAACUCCAACAGUUGAACAGGCUAGCCACUAGAAAUUUUUCCCUUUAUAUAAUUGUUAUUAUUCAAAUCUUCUAAUUAUAACUAAAAUAAGAAAACAUUUAAUUGAAUUAGUGGUUGAACCAUGAAGGCAUGAACCAAAAGCUCAUCUGGUUCAUUCAACCAUCCAAGUUUAAUAAUAUUGAAUUCAGUAAACCUUACAAACCAAAUAGAUUUUGAUCUAGCACAUCGGAGUAAAGUAGAAGAAUGCCAUUUAAUAAGUUGUCAUGUCCAAGUCAACUAAACUGAAAACAUUUGUACGAUAGUACCAAACAAAAUCUAAACCUUCCAGCCUAGUGCAAGUCACUACCUUCAAAACUAGUACUAGAUAAUUUAUUAGCAGUAAACAUAAUUCUUUUCAGAGUUGAAACUAAUUAUAAAUUCUCAUAGUGCGAUGUAAUUAAAGAGAUGGAGAGAGAUCCAAUUUACCAGGAUGAUAGCUUUCAUAUCAUCACGGCCAAGAGCAAAGCCGAUAGUGCUUUCCUUAUUAACCUCGAUCAGAAUGUCCACAAAGUCUAGGCAUCUUGCCUCAACGGAAUGGUCAUUUUCAGCCUCACCUUUCCUCUUAUUUAUGUGCUCUUCUAUUACACCCUCAAGAAAUUCAUCAAUCAGUUUAGCAAAUUUCUCCACUUUCAAGUCCAAACCAUUGAAACGAUUAACCCAUGAAAGCCAAGGAAUGUAGUCUCCUACAUCAAAAACACCCAGUAACUCAACAAAAACCAUAAAAGUUUCCAUAAUUUUCCUUCCUUUUUCUUCCUCACUAUACUUCCUCCCCAGGGCAACCCUACAAAUUAUAUCAUUUGCGAGAGUUACAAAUAUUUCAGUUAAGUUUACAGGUGAAGAAGAACACAUCUGGCUGAUCUUUUCGAUCAUGAGUGAUGUCUCUUCUUCUCUAACAUACUGAUAUGACUGAACCCUUUUGUUACUCAAAAGAUGCAGCACACAAAUGCUUUUGGCUUGUCUCCAAUACUCACCAUACGGUGUAAAUCCUACGUCCUUACUUCCGUAGAAUAGUCUAUCUUUAAUGCUCGAUUUAGGCCUGUUUGAAAAAACCAGAUCAUGGGUUUUCAUGAUCUGGCUAGCUGCAUCAGCGGAAGAGGCUACCAGCACUGGCUUGCUUCCAAAAUGAAGUAGCAUGAGUGGGCCAUAUUUUCUUGACAAUGACUGGAGGGAUCUGUGCGGAAGCAAGCCAAGCUGGUGAAGAUUUCCAAUUAUUGGGAGCUUUGGUGGAGAUGGUGGUAGCUUUUUUUGGGGUUUAGAAGCAGCAUAGAACCAUUUCAAAAGGGCUAGAAGGAAUACAACUGAGGAAACUGAGAAAAAUAAAAGAUCAAAAGAGAACGCCAUGGUGUAUAUGAUCUUAUGUUUGCCUAUUAAUGGGCGACUCUUCUUACAUAAGAUUACAGACUGCUUUUAGAAUUGAAAUCCCAAUAAUACACCUGACAACAUUAGGACCAGAAACGUAUAUUUAAUUAUUUAGUACAAGGGAUGAUUUAAGUGAGAUAGUGCAGAUAGUGCAGAUAAAUGCGCGUAUUACAUGUGAUUGGAAUGGAUUAGAUAGUGCAGAUAAAGGGCAUUUAAGUGAGUGGUGUCAAAUUCAAAAUUUUUUAUCUAUGUUUAAAAGGAAAAAAAGGGGCCACACGUUACACAGGACAAAAUUAAUUGAUUGGUCUCUGAUUUAUCUUUUAUCUCUUUGUUGGUUGUGGGCCAUCAUAUUUGUGGGCCAAAUCACGCAAAAACAAACACGUAGGUUUUCAUUCUUAAAAGGAGGAAAAAAGCUUCAGCCACAAGACUGGAAAACCGAGAAACAUAUAAGGAGCAGCCACAAGAAGACUUACCUUCUUGUGAGAAGAUUUCCAGCCGCAUAAUUCAAGAGAGAAACAAAGAGGGAGAAAGGGUGAGAGCUAGACUGAAAGUUCUUUGCAACUUUGAAAUCUCAAUUGAAAUGUGAUUUGAAAUUCGAUUGAGAUGAAAUUUUAUUCACACGAUUCUCUUGUCAAAUUCUACUCAUCUUUGAUAGUUAUAAUUUUUAGGGGUGAUUUUAUAGUAAUUUCGCUUGGUUGAUAUUGAUGAUAUUAUUGUCAUUCGAAUAUUUUCAGAUAGAUCUGUGUAUUUCUAUUAUUGUGAUAGUAAAGAUUUUUUACUGAACUAGGUCCAGUGAUUUUUUCAAUUUGGAUUUUUCACGUAAAAAUGUUGGUGUCCUGUGUCUUUUAUUUUUCCUACAUUUUAUUAUCACUAUUGGCAUUAUUACUUGGUGAUUUGAUUUAUUCCUAUUUUAACUAGUACUUGAAAAAAGUGAAAUUUGUCUUGAGCAAAUUCUAACAUUAUGUACGUGUAUCGGUACCCCUUUCCCAAUGCUCUUGGACCUAUGGUAUUGGAAUCAUGGAGAAAACUCCUUUGUGAAAAAAUAACCAUUCAUAUUUUGCAAAAUUUGAUUCCAAGAAAUAGGAAAAAGACGUUUAGCAUGGCAUAUCUUUUUCUCCUUGGAUGAAGAAAGCCGGAACAUCGAAUAUUCCCUUUCGGCCAUAGUCCCACAGCCGGCAGUUGAUUCUCCUUGUUACCACGCACGUCUUAUCAAAUGAGCUCUGGCGCAAGAGGGCAAGCCCAAACAAAUGCCUAUGAAAUGUCACUGGAAUUGUCGAAAUUUACAGCAUAAUCAGUCUAUCUGCCUAUGAAAACGCCACCGAAGUUGUUCAAAAUUACCGAAUAACCCGUCCAUGAGCACUGUAGCAACUCCAACUCGCACUUUUAGUAUAGUGAGGAUAUCUCAAUAAUUGCUUCACCGACUUCCAAAAUAUAUACACAAAAUAUAUGUAAGACAUUUUUAUUCUUUUUUUUUUUUUGGCUUUGCCUACUUCCCUCCAGCCCAGUGCAAAAAAUUUACUAAAUAUCCGAAUUCUCCACACCCAUUUCUGAUAUGUUAUCGUGCUCAUCUAGGUGUCCAGCCAAACUUGAUGUGCCUCAAAUAUACGUCGUUAACUUUUAAAAUAAAAACAGCCAUAUUUUUACAAAAGAAAAUUGAAAUUAUUCAAAUCGUGCCAAAUUAGUUGUUUUGAUUUCUUGUCAAGAGAUGUAAAAUAAGCUAUCUUUAGAUUUUGUUCCAAAUGUCUAGCAGCCAAAAAGGAUGCCACGAACGAAAAGCUUCAGCAAUUAUCGCAGAAAGCAGUCUUCUGCCCUCCAUGGAGCUGAAUUCCAAACUUCAGCCGCCAAAAUUAAUCAUAUUGCUUCUUGGUUGGAUUUGAUUAUCAUGUUGUGAUUGUAGUCUUGUCCCUUGGCAAGUUCAAAUUUUCAAUUUUCUGACAGCUAACAAGAUUGUUUAAAUCGAUUUUAUACGACGGGAUUAUUUCAUAAUGUUUUGCAUAAUAGAGUGUUGUCGUGGCAUUACUCUAAUCCAUCCCAUCACAAGUUAUAAUUACUAUUGUACUUAGGGGUGGGCACGGGUCAGGUAUCUGUCCCUAACAAGAUAUGGCUGACCCGACCCUAAAAUAUCGGAUCAGUCAUUUUGCGACCCUAACCCGCUCCAAUAAUCAAACCAAUUUCAUAAAUUUAGUACAUAUUAGAAUUAUAAUAUCUAAUAGAUAAAACGAAAUUUUAUGAUAAUUUUGAGUAUAUCACCGUUCUCACGCAUUUCAUCCUUCUAUAACAUAACAAAUACAAGGAUAAUAAGUGUAUGGCAACUUUUCCAACUUUUCCAACUUUUCCAAACACAAGGAUAAAACGAAGUUUUAUGAUAAUUUUAAGUAUAUCACCAUUCUCACGCAUUUCAUCCUUUUACAACAUAACAAACACAAGAAUAAUAAGUAUAUUACAACUUUUCCAACUUCCUUAAGGAUAUUAUGGUACAAGAUUGCAUCCAAAAUGAGUCGAUUGUGGAAUCAAGUUCGGAAAAGAAUUGAACAGAGCUAAUAAUUUUUGAAGAAAGUAAAACCAAAAUAAUCUUGAAAAAUUUUCCCCAACUUUCUUACAUCUUUGGAAUAGACCUUGUUGCAUUAAAGGUGAUGAAAAAGAAAAAUAAAUUUCUUGUACUAAAAUAAAGGAAACAAAUUUAAGAGACACAAUUGCAAUAAAAUAAAUAAAUAAAUGAAAGAGACAAAUGUUUUAAUUAUCUAGCUAACAGAAAAUUGGAGCUCCAAACACAAAUUUUUGAUUGAAUUGAUCAAAAUUUUGCAGAAAAGAUCGAUGGAAGUAGAAUAAAAAUGAAAAAGGAUGAAAGGGAUGAACAAUUUUUAUGAUAGAGUUUUACAAAUUUUUCUUUGUUUAUUCAUUUGGUUCAGGUUUCACCAAAAAUAUUCACUUUUUUUAGACAAGAUGAGCAGAGGCAGAUCAUAUGAGAUUAAAAUAUGAGGUUGUGAACCACUUUACUUACAGUUAUGAUUAAAAAUUAUAAAAUUAUAUAAUGAACCCUUAUUUUUUUAAUAUUUAUAUAAUAUACCCUACGGGUCGGGUAUCCGCGAGUUUUUAUUUUGCUGAUCCGUAUCCGUAUCUGUUUUUGCGGGUACUCGACCCGCAUCUACCCCGCCAAGAAAAAUAUGAUCGGAUAUCCAAUUUUUCGGAUCGGAUCGGGUUGGUCGGGUUUCGGAUCGAAUCGAAUUUUUGCCCACCCCUAAUUGUACUAUUCACGAUAACAAGUUUGGUGCCUCCUCAUUUUCUAUACUACAAUUUUUUGAAGAUGAAAUGAAGUAGGAUUACUGCAUAAACUAUGUAGUUGAGCCGGAGACUUUCAGUUCAAUUGGUUGGUUUGGCUUAUAGAGCGAACGAGACUUUGAUCUGGUAACUAAAACAAAAAAGGUUGAAGUCCCAAGAAAAAUGAUUCCGGUCUUUGGCAUUCGAACAAUGUGAUUACCCUAUCAAUAGUCCUUUUCCAUGGAACAAAAUUAUAGCAGAGAUGAAAGAUUUUCUUUAUUUUCGGUACUGUAACGGGGAAAUUUGCAAAGGCCAUAAUUACAUAAAUUUACUAGUUUUUAUUACAAGAAAGAAGCAGCCUUGGGAAAGAGCACGAAGAGUAAGAAUCAAGGUUUUGGAACAUCUGUAACCACACUGUGCAAUGGACGGUCUCAGAUCGAGUCGAAGGAGGCCGACUAAGUUUGGGAGGUUGAUGAAAAAAUGUUCCAGACUUACCACGGCUCCUAGGCCAAAGAUGAGACCUUGUAUUGCACGGUGCGAUUGCAACCCUUCUCAAGAAUCAAUCCAACACUUGUAUCAAGACAAGAAUACAGAAUCUGCAGCAUUCGGCCAUGUUAAGAAUUCAAGGAAGUGGGGAUGGAAUAACAAGAAGAGAAAUUUUGCAACGAACUGCAACGCCAGGGCAUUCUGUCAUAUCCAACUCUUUUCCCUAUGCUCCGGGAAAUUGCCAAUCAAACUUGCCUACCAAAUUUGCCAACACAAGUUUAUUACUGGCAACAGCAAAAGCGAUUCCAGGACAACCCCUCCUACCAGCACCAAAUGGGAUUAACUGGAAAUCAUACCUUUUGAAAUCUAUAGACGAAUCCAUAAAUCUCUCGGGCAUAAAGUUCACAGGUUCAUCCCAAUAUGCAGGAUCUCUACCUAUUGCCCAAGCAUUGAUGAUCACCAUUGUACCAGUUGCAAUAUCAUAUCCCAUUAUUUUGACAUCUUCUCUUGCUUCUCUAGGAACCAGCAACGGAAUUGGAGGAUGUAAGCGAAGAGUUUCCUUGAUCACUGCUUUCAAAUAAUGCAUCUCGGCCAAGUCAUCCUCGGAUAUCUGUUCUUUGCCACCAACAACCCCUCUUAUUUCAGUUUGCAAUUUCUUUAGGAUAAUGGGGUGUCUUAAGAUCUCUGCCAUUGCCCAUUCUGCAACUGUAGCCGUGGUAUCAGUUCCAGCAGAGAAUACAUCCUACAGUCAAAAACAUAUACACUUAAAAUCAAUGAUUUGUUGAUUGUCCGUGAGAAUGAUCAGAGAUGAAGCUUAAUGAAGCUUAAUGAUUUUAUAUUCAGAAAAAAUGAUUUUAUAGAAGCUUAAUGAUUUUAUACUCAGAAAAUGAAGCUUAAUAAUUUUAUAUUCACUGCGCAGAGAAAAUUGUGCUUACCAAUAUUAUAGCUUUGACGCUGUCCUUGUCCAUGGUUACACCCGUUGCGUUAUCUUUAUAGAUUUUCAGCAAAAUAUCAAGGAAGUCUUCUCUGCUUUCACCAUCAAUCGUCUCACCACUUGGCCUGUAGGAAUAUUUUUCCACUGCACCAUCCAACCUUUCUUGGACCAUGCCCUCCAAGAACUCAUCUACUUCUCUAGCAACGCGAUCCACUCUGGCAUCGUAACCAUUAACUCGAUUAAUCCAGCGGAGACAGGGCACAGAUUUGACUAAACUUCCUCCGUUCAGUAACUCCAAGAAUUCGCCCAACAGCAGCUUGAAUUUCUUUCCAGUUUCCCCUCCACCGUAUUUCCUCCCAAAAGCCGAUCUGCAUACAAUAUCAUUAGUCAGCAAAACAAACAUUUCGCUCAAAUUCACAGGUGUCGAAUCCAAAGAAGCGUCUUUAAUCUUCUGCAUCAUAAUCGACGUUUCCUCUUCCCUUAUAUUACGAAACGCCUAAACUUUUUUGUUGCUCAGGAGCUGAAGAACACAAAUACUCUUUAACUGUCUCCAAUACUCGCCAUAGGGUGCUACCGAUAUAUCCUUCAUGUUAUAGAGAAGUUUAUU